Molecule: long non-coding RNA, 132692 nt
Filed under: Hordeum vulgare
Lineage: Eukaryota; Viridiplantae; Streptophyta; Magnoliopsida; Poales; Poaceae
Description: long non-coding RNA (HVUL_LNC013401)
Source: RNAcentral
UAGGCGGAGCCCGGCCACGGCGGGCGGGGACAGCACGGCGGCGGUGGAGGUGGCCAUGGUCCUCACUCCUCCUUCGGAGCUGGAGCUGUGUGGGUGGGUGGGUGCUCAGGGACCAACGCGCCGCGAGUCCUUGAUCUCGGUAGGGCGGGCGAUACGUACGUGGUGGUUGGCGGUGUGGGUAUAUAGGGGGGUGGUGACGUGGGGGAUAUGGUGGGGGCGCGGGAAUGCGAGGUUAGUGGUGCAGGGGAGCGGGAUUUCGUGGUGUGCUCAUGGCGUGUGGCCAUUGGAGGGUGCUGGAUAAGGUAUCUGAGCCAUGCUUUUUUCCUUUCUUCUCUUCUCUUCUCACGGUAAGUCAGCAAUGCAUCGUGUCACUUGUGUGCCCCUCGAAAGUUACAUGUGUAGAGGAACCAGAUGCAAUUCUCGAUGUAUUAAUCGGGUGCAAGCACACGUAUAUAUGAUGUAUAAAGUGGGUCAUAAUCUUAACUAUACAAGAAACUAGAAGGGGGUCAGGUAUACAAGAGACAUGUGAAACAUACUCCCCCCCCCCCCGGCAGUCGAAGCGUCACCGGUGCUGACGCAAAGACUAGACCGAAAAUCUUCAAACGACGCCGUAGGCAAACCCUUGAUCAUGAUAUCUGCAAAUUGUUGGAAAGUAGGGACCUCUGAAACACGGACAUGGCCAAGGGCCACCUGUUCCUGAAUAAAAUGAAUAUCCAGCUCAAUAUGCUUGGUCCGACGAUGAUGAACGGGGUUAACAGAGAGGUAGACGACAGACACGUUGUCGUAGUAGACCACCGUGGCCUUAUCAACAGGACACGAGAGCCCGAGAAGUAACGGGCGAAGCCACGAACACUUCGGCGACGACGUUGGCCAUGGCGCGAUACUCAACCUCCACACUGGAACGGGAGACUGUAGGCUGUCGCUUGGACGACCAAGAGAUGAGCGAUGGUACAAGGAAGACAUAAUACCCCGAGGUGGAGCGGCGAGUGUGUGGGCAGCCGGCCCAGUCGACAUCUGAGUAGGCAGUGAUGUCGGUGACGGUGGAGGCGUGCAACGUGAUGCCAAGAUCCAUAGACCCCUAAAUGUACCGAAGAAUCCGCUUCACUGCAGUCCAGUGAGCAUCCCGGGGACAUGCAUAUGAAGGCACACCUGCUGGGCUGCAUACUGCAGCUCCGGUCGAAUGAGGGUAAGGUACCGAAGAGCACCAACAAUAGUCCGGUAGAAAGGUGCAUCGGGAGCAAGUGACCGUCAGCUACAUGGAGCUUGGCCUUCGUAUCGACCGGCGUAGAUGCAGGUUUGCAAUUAAGCAUCCCGAGUGGUCUAGAAGCUCAUGAGCCUACUUCCGCUGAUGGAGAAAGAAGCUGUUGUCGCGACGCACCACCUCAAUACCGAGGAAGUAGUGCAAAGGACUGAGGUCCUUGAUGGAGAACUCAACGCGAGGAUGAUCAGUGAGCUAGCGGAGUAGGCCAGGCGUGCAUGCCGUUAGGAUGAUGUUGUCGACGUAGACAAGCAAUAUGCCAUGUCAGCGCCCUGGUGGUAGACAAACAACGAAGCAUCGGAGCGUGUGAGACGGAAGCCAAGUCGGUGAAGAAACGCCGCGAUGCGCUAGUACCAGGCACGGUGAGCCAGCUUGAGCCCAUAUAGUGAGCGUGAAAGCACGCACACAUGAUCCGGGAGGGUCGGACACAGAUCCCCUUAGGCUGCUGACAGAACACCUCCUCGUCAAGAUGACCAUGAAGGAAGUUGUUGGAGACAUCCAUGUGAUGCACUGGCCAUGCACAAGACACCGCAAGUUGUAGAACGGUCCUGAUCGUCGCUGGUUUGACAACGGAGCGAAGGUGUCGGUUAAGUCGAUGCCAACACGCUAUCGAAAACCACGGACAACCCAACGCGCCAUGUAGUGGUCCAGAGUGCCAUCCUGGCGGAGCUUGUGCUAGAAGACUGAUACGUCUCCAUCGUAUCUACUUUUCCAAACUCUUUUGCCCUUGUUUUGGACUCUAAUUUCCAUGAUUUGAAUGGAACUAACCCGGACUGACGCUGUUUUCAGCAGAAUUGCCAUGGUGUUGUUUUUGUGCAGAAAUGAAAGUUCUCGGAACGUCCUGAAAAUUUACGGAGAAUUUUUCUAGAAAAUAUGAAAAAUACCUGCGCAAAGAUCCACCAGAGGGGGUGGGCCAGUGGGCCACAAGCCCUGUUGCCGCGGCCACCCCCUAGCCACGGCAACCAAGCUUGUGGGGCCCACGUGGCUCUGCCGCCCCCAAUCUCAGCUCUAUAAAUUCACUUUCGCCUAGAGAAAAAUAAGAAGAGAAGAUUUCGUCACGUUUGCGAUACGGAGGCGCCGCUACAUCCUGUUCUUCAUCUGGAGGACAGAUCUGGAGUCCAUUUUGGGCUCCAGAGAGGGGAAAUCGUCGUCAUCGUCAUCAUCAACCUUCUUCCCUCUCCAAUUCCAUGAAGCUCUUCAUCGUUCGUGAGUAAUCUAUUCGUAGGCUCGCUGGGCGGUGACGAGUAGGAUGAGAUCUAUCAUGUAAUCGAGUUAGUUUUGACGGGGAUUGAUCCCUAGUAUCCACUAUGUUCUGAGAUUGAUGUUGCUACUACUUUGCCAUGCUUAAUGCUUGUCACUAGGGCCCGAGUGCCAUGAUUUCAGAUCUGAAAUUAUUAUGUUGUCACCAAUAUAUGUGUGUUUUAGAUCCGAUCUUGCAAGUUGUAGUUACCUACUAUGUGUUAUGACCCGGCAACCCCGGAGUGACAAUAACCGGAACCACUCCCGGUGAUGACCAUAGUUUGAGGAGUUCAUGUGUUCACCAAGUGCUAAUGCGUUGUUACGGUUCUUUAUUAAAAGGAGAACCUUAAUAUCCUGUAGUAUCCUUUUGGACCCCGCUGCCACGGGAGGGAUGGACAAUAGAUGUCAUGCAAGUUCUUUUCCCUAAGCAUGUAUGACUACACACGGAAUGCAUGCCAACAUCACAUUGACGAACGGGAGCUAGCCACAUAUCUCUCCGUGUUAUAACUGUUGCAUGAUGAAUGUCAUCCAAACGAAUCACCGACCCAUUGCCUACGAGUUUGUCCCACUGCUGGUCUUACUGCUGUUACUACUGUUGCUGCUACUGUUACUUGCUGCUACUGUUACUUGCUUUGCUCUGCUGCUGUCACUAUUGUUUCUACUUGCUACUGCUGUUAUUACUGGCGCUUGCUACUGUUGCUACUUGCUACCGCUGUCACUAUUGUUUCUACUUGCUACUGCUGUUAUUACUGGCGCUUGCUACUGUUGCUACUUGCUACCGCUGUCACUACUGUUGUUCCUUGCCACUGCUGUUACUCGUUACACUGCUGCUACCUGCUACAAUUUUGAUUCGCUGGUCGUUGACGGGAACAUACAAUUUCCGUCAACGGGCAACUUCUGGCGCCAUUGAUACGACAGUUAGGAAUAGUCUACCAUCAACAGAUCGUUUCUGACACCGUUGUUAUCAUACUACUUUGCUGCUGACUCUUUGCUUGCAGAUACUAAUCUUUCAGGUGUGGUUGAAUCUGACACAUUCAGCUGCUAAUACUUGAGAGUAUCCUCUCACCUCCUUUUGGCGUAUCAACAAAUUUGGGUCGAAUACUCUACCCUCGAAAACUGUUGCGAUCCCACGCGCUGGUGGGCCAUCAACAACAUUCUUCUAGUUUCGUUGCCGGGGAGUGCUAGCAGCAUUCUUCUGGUGCCGUUGCAGGGGAAGGUCUGUUGUCACAGAGACAANNNNNNNNNNNNNNNNNNNNNNNNNNNNNNNNNNNNNNNNNNNNNNNNNNNNNNNNNNNNNNNNNNNNNNNNNNNNNNNNNNNNNNNNNNNNNNNNNNNNAAUAUAAAUUAAUUAAUUAGCUAACUUAAUUAAGACUAAUUAAGUAAUUUUUUUUGACCGGCGACUAAUUAAGUAAUUGAUUAAUCUGUUAAUUAGCUUAAUGAAAUUAAUAAGGUUAAUACGUAAAUCAUGUUAAUUAGUUAUUUUAGUCAGUGAAUGACACGUGGGUCCCCCCAUUAAUUAAAUUGUUUAAUUAAUUUUUAAAACUAAUUAAAACGGUGUCAAUGACAUGUGGGGCCCACUGGUCAGUUGACCAGUCGACAGAUCCUGUUGACUGCUGAUGUCACAAUGACAUCGUGAUGAUGUCCUAAUACAAAUAUCUAAAUUAAUUUAACCUGUUUUAAUUUCUGAAUAUUGAUUAAAUCUUUGAAAAUUAAUAUAAAAUAAACCGUAUCUCAUAUGAAAAUACUUUGAACAUGAAAGUUGAUCAGCACAACGAGACGAACCCGGAUACGCUAUCCGUUCGUCUGUCACGCGUCCCUAGCACAGCAAAUGUGGAACCUUUUUUUUCUCGUUUGACGGGUAGUAGCCAAAGACCCAGGAAAUAUCAUCUGACAUUUUGCCGACCCGUCUAUGACGGAUAGCACUGCGUUAGCUCAUGCCUAGACCUGCAUAUUGCCAUGUCAUGCAUAGUGUUUCAUAUAUUUUUGUUUUAAUUGUUUCUUCCCCCCCCUCUUCUUACCGGUAGACCCCGAGACUGACGUUGUUGUCGGGUUCAUCUACCCUCCCGACGACCAGCCCUUUGCCGCAGAGCAACAAGGCAAGAAAACCCCCCUUGAUCAUUCCGAUAUCGCCUAUUCUUUCUCCCUGAUGUUUGCAUUAGAAUUUUGCUACUGUUGUAGUUAGCUCCUAUAUCUCAUGCAUAGCCUAUUUUUGAUGAACUGCUACUUUUAGUACCGUACCUUUAAACUAUUUAGUAUAGGUGGAGCAUUCAUCCCCAGUCCAGUUGCCCCGCUUUAUUGUCGAGUCUCGAACCCUGAUCAACGAGCCAAGAUCCAACACAGCACUUACACCCCCCUAAGUUGUAAGACGCUGCAGGGCUACUAUCGGGUACCGAGGGUGACACCUCACGAAGUACUCAGGAUGAUAUCUCUUUAGUACAGCUAGUCGGUCGUGGUUAUCGAGGGUGAUUCCUCCUUCACCUCUCCCGACGAUGACUCUGUCGCGCAACCCCUAAAGUGUGAGACUCUCGAGGGUGAUUCCUCUAAGUCCACCUUGACGGUUACAUCGUUCGGGAUCCAACAAGGGUGAUACCUCGGAUCCCCCUGAUGUUACAACCACAGAGUUACUUGACCAUGUGACUGGGAUCUUUGAUGAAUAGAUGUUAGGUGGGUGGUUUCCCUCAUGGAUGUGUCGAUGACUUAAUUAAAAUGAUAAUGGAUUUGGGUAUUUGAUCUAGGUUGGACGAAAGGCCUUAUUAUGCACUAAUAGUCUGCGUGGGAAGAAUUAUGGGUACUCGACGUCGUAGAAUCAGCCGAAGCUCUCCAGACGUCAGCAAUGGAGCGGCGCGCGCCCGAGUGGUCCCAAGAUGCAUCGCGCUUGUAUUAAGGGGUGAUAGGGCUCACAUCGGCUGCCCUUGCAUCAUGCAGGAGCGUAGAGGGCAAGUGGGCUAAUGACCCCUUUGUGCUUAGGAUUUGGACCGGCGGGCUGGCCUCUCUGUUGAACUUAGGUGGGACAGUGACGUGUCGAUAUUCCGAGGCUAGGCAUGACCCAGAAAAGUGUGUCCGGCCAGAGUGUUAUCGAGCGUAACGGGGAAUAUGUUGUGCACCCCUGCAGGGAAGAACUUAUCUAUUCGAAUAGCCGUGUCCAAGGUUACAGGACGACUUGGAGUUGUGCCCUCAUCUUAUACAAAUAGAACUGUUACUUAACUGGAUUGUUGCCCUGGGAUUGCUUCCUCGCAGGGAGUCGAGGAAGGAUCUCUGGGCAUGACCUCAUAUUAAUAUUGCUGCAACAAUAUGACUAUUUUUUGUGUUAUUUGUUCGACUCUCGUCUAUUGCUGCAAGACCCCCUGAAGAUGCUAGUCUUCAAUAGGACUAGGCUUUUCCUCUCUUUCUCGCGUUGCUGCAGUCAGUCCACAUAUAAACCCCUUCUUUGAUACUGAUGCAUACUUAGCAUAGUAAUGAUGUCAGUCUUGCGAGUACUUUGGAUGAGUACUCAUCGUUGCUUUGCUCCCCCUUUGUCCCCUUGAUCCGUUGCUGCGACCAGAUGAUGGAGCCCAGGAGAUGGAGUAUCCCGCCGACGAUGACUGCUACCCCGACGAUGCCCUACUACGUGGAGGCCGCUGAAGAACAGGAGUAGUUAGGAGGUUCCCAGGCAGGAGGCCUCGCCUCGUUCGAUUGUUGUAUCUUUUGUGCUAGCCUUCUCGAAGCCACCCCAUGUUUAAUGUUUGUACUCAGAUAUUUGUUGCUUCCGCUAACUCGUGUGUUUAUCGAGCUUCUGUAUUCUAUCCCUCGAGGCCCCUGGCUUGUAAUAUGAAGCUUGUAUGUUUUAUUUGUGUCUAGAGUUGUGUUGUGAUAUCUUCUCGUGGGUCCUUGAGCUUGGUCAUACGCAUUUGUGUGUAUGUUUAGUGUACGAUCGAGAGUGGAACUACCCGAGAUGCUUGGUAGAUACGAAGGUCGUCAAUGUCAACAAAAGUAUAUUUGAUAUACAUGUUAUUGAUGUGUGCCUUACUAGUGCUCGUUGUAGCUCCUGAGUAUUUGAUGCCGGUUCAUAUGCUGAUAUUAGUAACUCAAAACAGGAGUUGCAGAAUAAACGGAGACAAGCUAAGGGUGAGGUGUCGAUGUGUGUUGGAAGUGUUUCCAAGGUUGGUGUGAUCACCAUCGUACGCUUCAUUGACCUUCGAGAUUAGUGAUAAAACCAAAUAAAUGUUAGUUGAUGUCUACGUUGAGCAUGAACCUUAUAUUGAUUUUCUUUAUUGCGAGAUGAUUAUUCACGUAAGUUAGAGAAUAAUCGGUUAUUCUAUUUACAUGAAUAAUAUCUUUUAUGAUCAUGCACCGAAUGUGAAUAGUUUAUUCAAUCUCGAUCAUAGUGACACACACUUUCAUAGUAUCGAUGCCAAAAGAAGUAAAGUUAGUAAUGAUAGUACCACUUACUUGUGGCACUGCCGCUUAGGACAUAUUGGUGUAAAAUGCAUGAAGAUACUCCAUGCUGAUGGAUCUUUGGACUCUCUCGAUUUUGAAUCACUUGAGACAUGCGAACCAUGCCUCUUGGAUAAGAUGACCAAGACCCAUUUUCCAGUAAGAUGGAGCGGGCAAGUGACUUAUUAGAAAUAAUACAUUUUGAUGUAUGUAGUCCAAUUUGUGCUAGAGCACACGGUGGAUAUCUUUAUUUUCUUACUUCACAAAUAAUUUGAGUAGAUACAAGUACAUUUACUUGUUGAAUCACAAGUCUGAAAUGUUGAAAACUUCAGGCAAUUUUAGAGUGAAGUUGAAGGUCGUCGUGAUAAGAGGAUAAAUUGUCUAUGAUGUGAUCGUGGAGGUGAAUAUCUGAAUUACAAGUUUGGUAUACAUUUAAGACAAUGUGGAAAUUGUUUCUCAACUCAUGCCACCUGGAACACGAUAGUGUGAUGGUGUGCUCGUACGUCGUAGCCGUGCCCUAUUGUAUAUGGUGCGUACUAUGAUUUGUCUUACCGGUUUGCCACUACCGUUUUGGGCUUAUGCAUUAGAGACAACCACAUUCAAUUUAAUUAGAUGGUAACCACAUUCACUAUGGUUUGGCAACAAACCUAAGUUGUCGUUUCUUAAAGUUUGGGGCUCCGAUGCUUAUGUCAAAAGGCUUCGGCCUGAUAAGCUCGAACCCAAAGCAGAUAAAUGCGUCUUCAUAAGAUACCCAAAGGAAACAGUUGGGUAUACCUCCUAUCUUUGAUCCGAAGGCAAAGUGUUUCUUGCUAAGAAUGGGUCAUUUCUCGAGAAAGGGUUUCUCUCGAAAGAAUUGAGUGGGGGAUGGUUGAACUUGAUGAGGUUAUUGAAUCGUCACUUCAACUAGAGAGUAGUAGGACGUAGGAAGAUGUUCAUGUGGCGCCUACACGAGUUGAACUGGAAGCUGGUGAUGGUGAUCAUGAAGCUUCAGAUCAAGUUACUACCAAACCUCGUAGGUCCAAAAGGACACGUACUACUCCAGAGUGGUAUGGUAAUUCUGUCUUGGAGAUCAUGUUGUUGGACAACAAUGAACCUACCAGCUAUGGAGAAGCGAUGGUGGGCCUGGAUUCCGAUAAAUGGUUGGAGGCCAUGAAAUUCGAGAUAGGAUUCAUGAAUGAAAACAAAGUGUGGACUUUCGAAGAACUACUUGAUGGUCGUAAGGCAAUUAAGUACAAAUGGACCUUUAAAAGCAAGACCGAUGAUGAUGGUAAAUAUUACCAUUUAGAAAGCUCGACUAGUCGCAAAGAGAUUUCCGACAAGUUCAAGGAGUUGACUAGGAUGAGACAUUCUCACCCCUAGCGAUGCUAAAGUCUAUUGGAAUUAUGUUAGCAGUUGCUGCAUUUUUCAAUUAUGAAAUCUGGCAGAUGGAUGUCAAAACAUCGUUUCCUUAAGAGUUUCCUUGAGGAAAGGGUGUAUGUGAUACAACUAGAAGUUUUUGCUAAGGAUGCUAAAAGGCAUGUGAGUUCCAUCGAUCAAUUUAUGGACUGGUGCAAGCAUCUCGGAGUUGGAAUAAGCGCUUUGAUGAGUGAUCAAAGCUUUUGGUUUAUAGAUAUUUUAUGAAGAAACUUGUAUUUACAAGAGAGUGAGUGGCAGCACUAUAGAAUUUCCGAUAAGUAUAUCUGGUUGACAUAUUGUUGAUCGAAAAUGAUGUAGAAUUUCUGGAAAGCAUAAAGGGUUCUUUGAAAGGAGUUUUUCAAAGGAAAACCUGGAUAAAGCUAAUUAAAAUAUUGGGCAUAAAGAUUUAUAGAGGUAGAUCAGGACUCUUGAUAAAACUUUCAAUGAAGUCAUACCUUGACAAGAUUUUGAAGGGGUUCAAAAUAGAUCAGUCAAAGAAGGAGUUCUUGACUGUGUUCUAAGGUGUGAGUUUGAGUAAGACUCAAAGCCCAACCACGGCAGAAGAAAGAGAAAGGAUGAAGGUCGUACCUUAUGCCUUAGCCGUAGGCUCUAUAGUAUGACAUGCUGUGUAGCGCACCUAGUGUGCCUUGCCAUUAGUAUCUCAAGGGGUACAAGAGUGAUCCGGAAGUGGAUCACUGGACAGCGGUAAAAGUUAUCCUUAGUAACUAGAGGACUAAGGAAAUACUUCUCAAUUAUGGAGGUGAUCAAAGAGUUCGUAGUAAAGGGUUAGGUCGAUGCAAGAUUUGACACCAAUUCGGAUGAGUCUGAGUAGCAAACCAGAUUCGUAUAGUGGAGCAGUCAUUUGGAAUAGUUCCAAGUGGAGCGUGGUAGCAACAUCUACGGUAUGACAUAGAGAAUCGCAGAGUACACACGGAUCUGAAUGUUGCAGACCCAUUGACUAAAGCCUCUCUCACAAGCAGAACGUGAUCAAACCCCGAAACUCAUUGGGUGUUAAUCACAUGGUAAUAUGAACGAGAUUAUUCACUCUAGUGCAAGUGGGAGAUUGUUGGAAAUAUGCCCUAGAGGCAAUAAUAAAUUGGUUAUUAUCAUAUUUCCUUGUUCAUGAUAAUCGUUUACUAUUCAUGCUAUAAUUGUAUUGAUUGGAAACACAAAUACAUGUACGAAUACAUAGACAAAGUGUCCCUAGUAAGACUCUACUAGACUAGCUCGUUGAUCAAAGAUGGUUAAGGUUUCCUAGACAUAGACAUGAGUUCUCAUUUGAUAACGGGGUCACAUCAUUAGCAUAUCAUUUGACCGUAUCCAGUUUACUGCUAUUGCUUUCUGCAUGGCAAUGUAUGUGUUCCUAUGAUCAUGAGAUCAUGCAACUCACUAACACUGGAGAAAUGCCUUGUGUGUAUAAAACGCCACAACGUAACUGGGUGAUUAUAAAGGUGCUCUACAUGUAUCUCCAAGGGUGUCUGUUGAGUUGACAUGGAUCAAGAGUGGGAUUUGUCACUUCAUGUGACAGAGAGGUAUCUUGGGGCCCACUCGGUAAUACAUCAUCACAGUAAGGUUGCAAGCAAUGUGACUAAGGAGUUAUUCAUGGGAUCUUGUAUUAAAGAACGAGUAAAGAGACUUGCGAGUAACAAUUAUGAACUAGGUAUGGAGAUACCGAUGAUCGAAUCUCGGGCAAGUAACAUACCGAUGGACAAAGGAAACUCCAUACGGGAUUAACUGAAUCCAUGACAUCGGGGUUCGACCGAUAACAAUCUUCGUAAAAUAUGUAGGAACCAAUAUGGGCAUCCAGGUCCCGUUAUUGGUUACUGACCGUAGAGGUGUCUCGGUUAUGUCUACAUAGUUCUCGAACCCACAUGGUGUGCACACUUAACGUUCGGUGACGAUAUAGAUAUAGUUGAGUUAUUGUGUUGGUGACCUGAGGUUGUUCGGAGUCCCGGAUGAGAUUCUGGACGUCACUAGAAGCUCCGGAAUGGUCCGGAGGUAAAGAUUUAUAUAUAAAAGUGGUAUUCGGGUUCCGAAAAAGUUUUGGGUUUUUACGGUAUUGUACGUGGUGUGUCGAAAGGGUUCCGCGGGUCCACCGAGGGGGUCCACCCACCCCGGAGUGGCACAUGGGCUUAGGAAUGAGGCAACCCAGCCCCUGAUGGGCUGGGCACCCCACCCAAAGAGGCCCAUGCACCCAAGAGGUAGCUGGGAAGGUGCCUUGAGGAGGAGCCCCCCCUCCUUGGGCGCCCACCUCCCUUGUGGGAGGUGGAUUCCUCCCCACUUGGCCGGACAGCCCUCCCUUGGAGGAGGGGCCAAGGAUGCCAACACACCAAGCCUUCGCGGCGUGUUUCAGCACAUCAACUUACACAAGUUCAUAAUCCUGAAUUUGUUUAUGCGGGUCCUUGUAAGCAUUCAACCAAGCCUUCUUUAUAGUGUUCAUGUAUCUUUUCAAAUGCUCAAUAAGAGAAGGACUAUCUUGUUCGCGAAAUGAAUCUAGAACUUUGAACCAUUUUGCCCUGGGAUUUAGUGACAACACAUACCAAUGCCCAGAAGGCGGCUCAUGGGAGGGCCGCCUCAGAGAGAAGGCCAAAGAAGAGGAAAGACUCCCCCGAAAAGUAAACAAGGCCCCGAUUUGGAUUCAAGAGAGACUAGUCCUAGUCCUACUCCUAGUAGGACUCUACAUGUAAACCUACCACUUCCACUUAUAUAAGGAGGGGUAAGGCACCCCAAGAGGGACAAGUCCAAGUCAUUAGAGAUAGAAAAAUUGGACACCCUCGAGAUUAGAGGUAGCGAUUCCGCACCCUUGUAAUCGAGAUCAUCAUCUUCAUCAAUGAAACACAAGCACGACAUAGGCUUUUACCUCCAUCGUAGGGGCCGAACCUAGGUAAACUCGCGUCUCUCGAUUCCGACUAACCCCUCUCAAGACGCCACAUAGUUGCGAUGGACUCACACCUAAGUUCUCUCACGAGGACAUAUGCCGUGAUAAAACUACGACACUAGGGUAAAAAGAUACUGAAUUUCACAUGCAAAGCAACUAAAAAUUAUAUGGGCAUUAAGGUUAAAAUUGAAGUUACUAGUGUGGACAAAUAGGUAAUCAUGACAGAGAGAACAAAAUUACCAAGAUAAUAAAAUACAGAAAUUAACAUGAAAGCAAAAAUGAAAAAAAAUAAAAAUUAGCAGGACAGUCAUUGUUAAAUCAGGAUAUUUAUAGAAGGGUUGCCAUGUUUGGGAGCAAUACAACAGAUUAAAAACAGAUAACAUAUGAGGAAAGAGACAAAUUUUGAAAAAAGACAGCAAACAUAACAUACAUGAUCCUGGUGACUUGGAAUGUAAAACUAGUCCCGUCGGAAAUGCUUCAAUACUGACUUGGAGUUGAAGUCUCCUACCAACAAAUACACACACAGCAGCAUAGGGAAGAUGACCCUUUUGGGGGUUUCCUUAUACUGAAGAAUAUGAACAUGUAACUUAGCAAUGCUGGUUGAUAGUUGCCCGAUUCCCUUCACAUAGUCGGCAAGCUCGCCAAGAGUGACCCACCUCCCAUCAAUGUCAAUAACCCUAACACUACAUUGCAAAAAAAUACAUUACAAAGUGGCAUGAAAAAUGUUUUACAUUGCAAAUGACGGAAAAAGAGAAAAGUUCAUUGUUACACCUUAAUCUUGGAGUUAGAAUCAGUAGUAUCCUUGAUAACUUCAUUGUAAAUAACCUCUUCCACAUCAGUGGGUGAGAGGCUAGCACAAGCCCCCCCCCCCCCCCCAUUUGGACGGGUGGCUGACCCUAACUUUCUGAAUAAAGGAUUUAGGGGUGGCACUGCGUACUAAGUGCUCUGUGCGAGGUGGCAAUUCUGGCGUAGCAAACAUUGGACUUUGAGGAUGGUCUGGUAAAAAACAAACAACCAAAUUAAGAUGUAUAUUGCAACAAAAUAUAUGAUUUAGCAAGGUAAAAACAUUGAACAUAAAUUAUCAACAAAUGGAUAAAGAACUUAUCAAGUGGUGAGGCAUAACCUAUCGGCUCUCACAUGUUUUGCAUUGUUGAAAGAACGAAAAAAGGUAUUUAUACACGGGUUGCAAUGUAUUGGCAGAAGAAAAAUUUUCACCUUCUAGAACAUUGGAUUUCCCUUUUUAUGUUGAUUUGUCACGCUCAAACUCUUCCCACCGCAUGAGAACCUCAUCAGCAUCAAUUUCAAUAUCAUACACUUGCACACGACGAUCUUUCGGGAUUACAAAAAGAAGAAGAAAGGAGGGAUAAGUACAUGAACAAUAGUGAUAAGCAACGUAAUAUGUUGAAAGAAAGUGGUAAAAAUGAGUAAAUGUAGAUAUAAGGGUGAAGUUACCAAACCAACAUUAUAGAAAUUAUCAGGUAAGGUGACUGUGGUUUACCAGCACACCGGUAUGGACUUUUAAGCACAUAUUAGGAAAUAUUAAGUUGGGGCAUACUAAGAAUCAAGAGUGAUAAUCGAAAAGCAUGUAUUAAAAGAUGACCAAAGAACUUUAUGGGGUUCUCAUGUCCAUAUUACAGAACUUACCAUGCAAUGAACAAUUGAGUUACCAAGAUAUUGGCAGGGAAUUAUCAGGAUAGUUAAAAUGAAAAAAAUGAGGGGACAAUAACAAAUUACAGAGAAAAAGAGUACACAACUACUGGUAAUAGUGCAAGCAUGUUAGCUAAGCAUGACAAUGUAACGAAAAGAACUACAGGAUGAUAGGAGAUGUAUGUAUCACACGCUUACAAUAAUUAGAAAUAGAAAAAAUGGUCAUUUACGAGGCCCAUAGCAUGUGUGAUAUCAAUAGCUUUCAACACUGACAAACUUAUCCGGGGGAGAGGUUUGAGUUAUCACCAAUAUGGUAGGCAGUUUACCAUAAGAAAAAAAAUCGUAUGAUAUCAUCUUAGCUAGCGUCGUACAAUAUGACAUGGAUCACGAUAAAACAAAUAUUCAUGGAACUGAAAGCACGAAUGAUCUUUUUCACACCACACAAGCAUAGAAGUCAUUUUACAUUCAUCCAUAUACACACCACACAACCACAAAAGUCGUUAUAAUUCAUCCAUAUACACACCACACAAGCAUACAAGCCAAAACAUAAAUAACGAAAACACGACCAACCGAAAAAUAAAAGGUCUUCAGUGACAUAAAUCCAUACAUCACUCUCGCUACAAAAGCAAAGACACAAGGUCUUCACUUACCAGACUUGCGUGGCGCAGCCCGAGCAUCCGGUUGCGCAUCGAUAACUUUCCCUCCUUUAUUACCCCUGAAGUCGGAAGCACCGGGGGACGCAAGCCCAAUAACCGCGAUAGGGCCAGUUGCUGCAAGCCCAAGAACUGUGUAAGGGCCAGUUGCUGGUGCUGGAGGUGGUACUUCUAGUGCUGGAGGUGUAGCUUGACACGUAAGAGCCGAUGGUGAUGCAGCUUCACCCGUUGUAGAUGCUUCACUCGAUGGUGGUACUUGUGGCGUCGCACCAAAAAUGGCAUCAAGCCCAAGAGAGCAGCUUGGCGGUGUAAAAUCACCAGGAGCUUGUUGGAAUUAUGCCCUAGAGGCAAUAAUAAAUAUAGUUAUUAUUAUAAUUCCUGUAUCAAGAUAAUCGUUUAUUAUCCAUGCUAUAAUUGUAUUGAAUGAAGACUUAUAUACAUGUGUGGAUACAUAGACAAAACACUGUCCCUAGCAAGCCUCUAGUUGGCUAGCCAGUUGAUCAAAGAUAGUCAGUGUCUUCUGAUUAUGAACAAGGUGUUAUUGCUUGAUAACUGGAUCACGUCAUUAGGAGAAUCACGUGAUGGACUAGACCCAAACUAAUAGACGUAGCAUGUUGAUCGUGUCAUUCUAUUGCUACUGUUUUCUGCGUGUCAAGUAUUUGUUCCUAUGACCAUGAGAUCAUAUAACUCACUAACACCGGAGGAAUACUUUGUGUGUAUCAAACGUCGCAACGUAACUGGGUGACUAUAAAGAUGCUCUACAGGUAUCUCCGAAGGUGUUCGUUGAGUUAGUAUGGAUCGAGACUGGGAUUUGUCACUCCGUGUGACGGAGAGGUAUCUCGGGGCCCACUCGGUAAUACAACAUCACACACAAGCCUUGCAAGCAAUGUGACUUAGUGUAAGUUGCGGGAUCUUGUAUUACGGAACGAGUAAAGAGACUUACCGGUAAACGAGAUUGAAAUAGGUAUACGGAUACUGACGAUCAAAUCUCGGGCAAGUAACAUACCGAAGGACAAAGGGAAUGACAUACGGGAUUAUAUGAAUCCUUGGCAUUGAGGUUCAAACGAUAAGAUCUUCAUAGAAUAUGUAGGAUCCAAUAUGGGCAUCCAGGUCCCGCUAUUGGAUAUUGACCGAGGAGUCUCUCGGGUCAUGUCUACAUAGUUCUCGAACCCGCAGGGUCUGCACACUUAAGGUUCGACGUUGUUUUAUGCGUAUUUGAGUUAUAUGGUUGGUUACCGAAUGUUGUUCGGAGUCCCGGAUGAGAUCACGGACGUCACGAGGGUUUCCGAAAUAGUCUGGAAAUGAAGAUUGAUAUAUAGGAUGACCUCAUUUGAUUACCGGAAGGUUUUCGGAGUUACCGGGAAUGUACCGGGAAUGACGAAUGGGUUCCGGGAGUUCACCGGGGGGGCAACCCACCCCGGGGAAGCCCAUAGGCAUUGGGGGUGGCGCACCAGCCCUUAGUGGGCUGGUGGGACAGCCCAAAAGAUCCCUAUGCGCCAUAGGAAGAAAAAUCACCCCCCCCCCCCGAGGAGGUGGGAAAAGGGGGAAGGACUCCUCCUUCCAAACCUAGUUGGACUCGAUUUGGAAGGGGAGAACUCCCCCCCUUGGCUCGGCCGAAGCCCAUAGGGGUCCUUGGACCCCAAGGCAAGGCUCCCCCUCUUCCCCCUAUAUAUACGGAGGUUUUAGGGCUGAUUUGACAAAACUUUGCCACGGCAGCCCGACCACAUAUCUCCACGGUUUUACCUCUAGAUCGCGUUUCUGCGGAGCUCGGGCGGAGCCCUGCUGAGACGAGAUCAUCACCAACCUCCGGAGCGCCGUCACGCUGCCGGAGAACUCUUCUACCUCUCCAUCUCUCUUGCUGGAUCAAGAAGGCCGAGAUCAUCGUCGAGCUGUACGUGUGCUGAACGCGGAGGUGCCGUCCGUUCGGCACUAGAUCGUGGGACUGAUCGCGGGACAGUUCGCGGGGCGGAUCGAGGGACGUGAGGACGUUCCACUACAUCAACCGCGUUCACUAACGCUUCUGCUGUACGGUCUACAAGGGUACGUAGAUCACACAUUCCCUCUCGUAGAUGGGCAUCACCAUGAUAGGUCUUCGUGCGCGUAGGAAAAUUUUUGUUUCCCAUUGGACGUUCCACAACAGAGCUCUAUAUACAUCGGCUUCAACUCCAGCUGCAGGGGUGCUCGACUCUAUGACAUGGUCAUCUUGAACUCGAACAUGAAGAUCAACAACUCGAGCAUCCGCUUCCACCCUAGGUGAUGUAUCGGAUACUUCUGCAAAUACAGUAACACCGAUAGGGACAACAAAAUGGAAAAGGCAUCAUAUAAUUGUAUUUGUUAACAUCAGAACAAUAAUAUAAGUUCUCAUGACCAUAGAGAGACAAGUUAUCAACAGAGAAUGGACAAGUUACCAACCUGGGAAUGCUUCCUCUUCAUUAGAACUUUUGGCCACCAGAGGGUUCUGCUUAUCAAGCUCUUAACCAUCAUAUAUUGCCAUAUCACUAGGCACAUUGACUUGGGUACCCACAACAACAUAUUCAAUGACACGAAAGGAUGCAAUGGAAAAAAAUGAACAUAACGUCAACCUAAAAUCAUCAGUAUUAUAGAAAAAAAAGUAACAGGAUCUAGAUAUAACCUAUACCUUCAUAUUCAUCAUGUCCCAUAGUGGCAACAUCUUCGGAUUCAACUACAAUGGUCGCGCUAGCAAUAUCAUCUACAACAGCAGGAAUAGUGGCCGCUGCAGUAGUUGUUCUACAGGGUCGACGAAAACACUAAUGGAGGUCGUCGCAACUGCAUCAGAUGCACCCGAGCUAGCUCCUACAGCUUCAGCAGAAUCUGAUGAAGCACCCGACGCAUCAAGUUCUCCAAGCGCAAUCGGAGAUGUUGUUGUGGGCGUUACAUCAAAAUGAAUAACAUAUGUUGUCUGCGAUGAAGUUGUCUGAGAUGAUGCUGCUCCCAGCCGCGGAGAAGAUCUGGUCUUGUAAAAUCACACCUUUUUUACAGCGUUUUUCUGACUUGAACGACUGGAAAAGGGAUACACAUGAUGAGGUGUGAGAUUACACAUGUUGGUAAACUCAAGUUACCAGAUGUUACCAACACGCAAAAAAGUUAUGACAUGAUUCAGGCAUAAAAACUACCAGGAAAUUAUUACUAAGAUCUCAAUGACUAAAUAAUACAAAGUUAUUGGAUGAUAUGAAAAAACAAUACCAGCCUUUUAUUUUCAUUAACUUGACACAUAGAAUAAUUCAGUGCAAAAAUAAUAAUCUACACGGAAAAUGCAAGCAAGAAAGCACUGUGAAUAACUUGUUCCUGAUACACUGGGUGAAGCCUUAGCCAUAGCAACUUGUUUGCUAGCAUCUUGUUUCCGAGGUGCCCUGCAUAAAAAAAAUAUCAGAAGUUACAAGCACAAAGAAGUUAUCAAAUGAUGUAGGAAUAAAUUAUCAGGAAAGUCUAACUUAGUUAUGAAUGUUCAACAUCAUAAGUUAUCAGAUACUAAAAAACUAUUGAAAAGCUAAUUAUCGGGAGCUAAGUACUGAAACUAACAUACAGAAACAACUAGAUAUACCAUGUAAUAUCUGGUACAUCAAAAAACAUGGAAAAAACAAAUUCACCUGUGUGGCGCCUCCUUCCGUUGGGUGGAUGGUGAGAUGGUGACACGAGUGCCCUUUUCAGCGCAACGGAUACCAAGCUCUUGGACAACAAUUUUCUUCAUAGAUAAGUGAAUUUCAUCUGUUGACGGCACAUAUGGUGAACUUGGCCUUCACGAUGGGCUUGGCGGUAGAACCGGUGAAGAAGGUCGUGGUGGCACAACUGGUGAAGUUGGAUGGGAUAGCACAACCGGUGAAGCUGGACGUGUGGGAGAUGGAAGCCUCAAUUUGUUGCGCCUCUUGUAAGCCAAGUUUUUCACAAGCUCAGAAGCACGUCGUUUCACAGAAGAUUCAGUAGCCGCCUCUGAUGAGUACAUCAAUACCAUUGUUACACCCACAGCCUCAGUUGCUAUACAUACUGGACCAGUUACUAGAGCUCGUGCAUGCCAAUUGAAUUAACACGUACUUUCGUUUCUUGGAAAUCCUUCUAAUGUUCAUGAACAUAUGAUGUUGCCUAAGUUAGAUACUUGUGUUGUACUUAUGAAUGAAGGACCUAGCAUGGACAAGAAGGAUUUCUGUUGGAGCGGGAUCAAACAUGGGGAAGAAGAUGCAUGCGCGGGGAAUAACAAUGGAGCUUCGGUGAUUUUCGCACUUUGAAGCCGCCAUAAGUAGAGCAUGAAGGCUUGGACGAAAUAUUCAAUAUGCCACUUUAUAAAUUUCGUCCAUAGGUUAUUAUAGGUGAUGUGUCACCUUAUUUUUGGUCCAGGCCCAUGUAAUUUCGAAAUACUAUCAUGUAGGUCGUUUUUAGAGUCCGUAUGUGUGGGGAAACCGAGUUUAAGGUAGUUUUCGGGCCCCUCCUCCGAGGGUCACGAAAAUCCCUCUCUAUUCCCUCAUAUAUACAACCCUUAGGGCACCGUUUAGGCUUGGUUUUUGUUUAGAUUACAAGUUCGCCAUAGCUGCAACUUCCAAUCGUCAAAGUUCUUCAUUUGUGUUCCACGACCACGCAAAGGCGUCAUAGAACCCCAUCUUCAACAAUAAAUAUUUCCUCUUAUAUUCACAAUAUCCAGAUUGUAAUCUUAGUUUCUUUCUUGUUCUUUGUUUGCAUGCAGGAAACAGACCCUCGUGGUCAGGUUGAUCGUGCUCCGGCAUGGUCAAUAACCUAUGGAAAUUGGUUUAGCGAUUUCUAAGGCGCGACAUCCUCACACGUUCGUAGUCGGAUCGUCAAAGUCCACUCCACCAAAAACGAUAACCAUAAUCUCAUCGAAAGAUAGGGACAAUUUUGCCUCUAUCAAGUCGGAUCAGAUUUCCAGGUUGCUCGGUGAGAUUUAACCAGUUUUCAUAGUUAGAUCGCAUUUGUUCUUCAUACCUAUAGUCCAUGGAAAAGCCACAAAAAAUUAGGGUUAUAUCAUCAUAUCCGAACCAAUCUAAGCCUUUGCAUAGUCUUUUCAGUAUUUUGCUUUGUUGAAUUUGUGGUUACAUCAUCCUGUCGAGUUGCUCGUCUUAGUGUCUAGUCCUUUAGGGUUUUGAGUUCUAUUCACAUGUUGUCACGCUGCCACCACGCCAUCUUUCGUCGCUGCCAUAUACCACCACCACGCUACCAUCAUCACGGCUGCCAUAUCCCACCACCAUGCCACCAUCAUCCUUGCUGCCAUAUAUCACCACCACAUAUCCACCACCAAUCCUAGUUCGAGUCCUUUUCGUAUUAGGUUAAUUUCGAGACCCUCUUCUUUUCGGUUUUGCGCUUCCUUACCUGAGUAGUUUUGGGAAAAAAACACAGAAAAAGAAAGAAAAUCAGAGUAGCUCUUCCAUUGAUCGCGUGCAGCGUCGUGCUUUUGUUGGUGUUCUAGGCUCACGUCUCUAGUACGGUCUAGCCUAAUACCAACACAAUAUUGUCGUUGAGCGUUCUUUCAACUUUGCAUCUCUGAACUGAUUAUUGUUGACCCUUUUUUCUACCAUAUUAUAAGUCUUCCCAGCUCCACAUACAUCUACAUCAUGUGUAUGACACCACCUGGCAAUCGCUCUAUCCAAGCUUUGAGACUUUUGACUACACCGGUUGCCGAUCACCACCUGAUGUUGGUUAAGAACUGGUAAGAAUUUGAGAUUCGCUUGACAAAUUUGUGACACAACACCACCACCACCACCACUUCAUAGUAAUCUGUAGGUUCAUAUUCUUAUGUGUUCCUAUUACUGCUAACCAUGCCAGGAUCACAAGGCGACGAGAUCGACUGGGAGAGUCUCACCAACAAGGAGCUUCAUGCUAAAUUUCAGCAAAUGAUGGCUGGCCAGGUACAAGACUUCGUGGCCAGCAUUGGAGAGGCCAUGGAGAAGACAUUCGACGCAAACAUGGAUGCCAAGUUCAAUGAGGUGCUUUCCCGUCUACUACCACCAGCUGCAGCUUCCGUCCCUCUCCAAUAACAACAACAACAACGAGGACAGCACCGAGGCCCGUACAUGGUGGAACGAGUCCGACGUGUGCCUUCCGGCCAAGUUCAGAAUUCCCCCCCCGCUGCUCCUGCUCCUGAUACUACUACUUAGGUUUCUGUGGCUGAGAAGAAUAAGGAUUAUGAUGGUGAUUACGACGAUGAGGGAGAGGUUGCUCCAAAUCAGCACCAGGGACAACAACCACCACCAGAAGCCGCAGGUCGCCCACAUGGAUACAAUCACAAUGGUAGGGCUGCACUACCCCCUCGGGUACGGGAUCAUGACCAUCUCCCUAAACUUAAAUUGAAUAUUCCUACAUUUGAUGGUCAAUAUGUUCCUGAUAUAUAUCUUACCUCGGAGUUAGAAACAGAGCAACGUUUUACAUGCUUACAAUUUCCUGAAGAUAGAGGUGUCACUGUUGUUGUUUCUUCAUACACUAGUUUUGCUUGUGCUUAGUGGUGUGAACAUUGUCGAAUACAUCAUGCUAAUAUUCCAACUACUUGGGCUCUUUGAAAACUGCUAUGCGUACUCGUUGGGUUCCACCAUAUUAUCAACGAGAAUUAUUUCAAAAAUUGCAGCAUUUCAGACAAGGAAAAAAUUAUGUAGAAGAAUAUUAUCAGGAAUUACAAUCUGGCAUGAUCAGAUGUAGUAUUGUUGAGGACAAUGAAGUUAUGCUUGUACGUUUUAUGGAUGGAUUAAAUAGACAUAUUCAGACUAUCCUAGAAUAUAAGGAUUAUAACACUACCACUCGUUUAUUCCAUCUUGAUUGCAAAGCUAAAUGUGAAGUGCAAGAUCGACAAGCAUUGGCGAGAACUAACUUUUCUGCAAGACGCACUUACUCAUGGAUGCCCCGGAUCUCAUCUACUUCUACACGUCCUCCUGCAUCAGCACUGCCUACUUCAGCCACCAAUUCCAAUAGAGAUACCAGGAAACAGGCCCCUGCCCCACCCUUCGCCAAGAGCACACCUUUCGGGCCAGCAUAGAGCUCUUCUUCAUCCAUGGCACCCACACGGCAAACACAUGAGGUUAUCUGUCAUCGUUGCAAGGGUGGAGGUCAUUAUGCGAGAGAGUGCCCAUCCAAGCGUGUGAUGAUUAUUACUGAGCAUGGUGGAUAUGACUCCGCUAGUGAUUAUGACGAGGAGACUCCGACUCUUAUUGAGAGUGAAGAACAGGGUGUAGAUGAUGCUGAACAAGAGACACAAUACAUGGUUGCUGACUACGCUGAUAGGUAUGAAAGCUUAGUUGCUCAACGUGUUUUAAGUGUGCAGGUAACACGGGCUGAGCAAAAUCAGAGGCACAACUUGUUCCAUACAAAGGGAGUUGUGAAGGAACGUUCUGUUCGUGUAAUCAUCGAUGGAGGAAGUUGCAAGAACUUAGCUAGCAUGGAUAUGGUGGAGAAGUUGUCUCUCAUUACAUCUAGUCGUUCAACAACAGUGGCAAGGUUAAGGUAACACGUAAUGUUUGUGUGCAUUUUAGCAUUGCUACAUAUUCUGAUUUUGUUGAUUGUGAUGUGGUACCCAUGCAAGCAUGCUCCGCUUUACUUGGUAGACCAUGGAAAUUUGAUUAAAAAAAUGUACACCAUGGUAGGACAAAUCAGUAUACUCUUGUUCAUAAGGAUCAAAAUAUAACUUUGCUUCACAUGUCUCCUGAACAUAUUAUUAAAGAAGACAUUGCUAGAUCUAGUAAAGCAAAACAGGACCUACGUAAGAGUGAAAACUAGAUUGUAGCAAAGGAAUUUGAGCAACACAAUAAGCCUAAUAAACCAUCAUCUAGUGUUGCAUGUGAAAUAAAACUGAAGAGUGGUUUUUUACUUGCCACUAAAUCUGAUAUUACUGAUUUGGAUGUUACUACAUCUAAUUGUUAUGCUUUCGGAUGCAAAGAGGUAUUAUUUUCAUUCGAGGACAUGCCUCCCUCUUUGCCUCCUAUUGUUAUUAACAUUUUGCAGGAGUUCACUGACGUCUUUCCACAAGAUGUGCCACCGGGAUUACCACCUAUUAGAGGGAUUGAGCAUCAGAUUGACUUAAUUCCCGGUGCAUCGCUACCCAACCAUGCACCAUACCGCACCAAUCCAGAGGAGACGAAGGAGAUUAUGCGUCAAGUACAGGAGUUGCUCGACAAGGCUUAUAUACGCGAAUCUCUUAGUCCUUGUGCUAUUCCUAUUACUCUAGUGUCGAAAAAGGAUAGUACAUCGUGUAUGUGUGUUGAUUGUAGAGGCAUUAAUAAUAUUACUAUUCGUUAUCGUCAUCAUAUUCCUAGACUAGAUGAUAUGCUUGAUGAAUUAAGUGGCUCUACAAUUUUCUCCAAAGUUGAUUUGCGUAGUGGAUACCAUCAAAUGUGCAUGAAACUGGGAGGUGAAUGGAAAACAACAUUUAAAACUAAGUUUGGAUUAUAUGAGUGGUUAGUUAUGCCUUUUGGGUUAACUAAUGCACUAGCAGUUUCAUGAGAUUAAUGAAUGAGGUUUUACGUGCUUUCAUUGGACGAUUUGUGGUAGUUUACUUUGAUGAUAUACUGAUUUAUAGUAGAUCUUUGGAGGAACACUUGGAUCAUUUGUGUGUUGUUUUAUUGCUCUACGUGAUGCACGUUUGUUUGGUAACCUUGGUAAGUGCACCUUUUGCACCGAUCGAGUAUAUUUUCUUGGCUAUGUUGUUACUCCACGAGGAAUUGAAGUUGAUAAAGCCAAGAUUCAAGAUAUUGAGAGUUGGCAGCACCCCAAAAUGGUCACACAAGUGAGGAGUUUUCUUGGACUCGUCGGGUUUUAUAUGUGUUUUGUGAGAGAUUUCAGCACCAUUGUUGCACCUCUCAAUGAGCUUACAAAGAAGGAUGUGCCUUAUUGAUACGUCCAUUUUGCAUCAUGAUUUCUUGUCCCUUUUUACUUUGUUCUUGUCCAUUAUUCUGAAUUGUUAUGCAAUUCUUAUGCUUUAUUCUCUCUGAAUAUGCAAGGAACAUCACAAUGAGGGAAAUAUCUGGAAACUGGGAUUCUAGACCGGAAAACGGAAGAAUAGGCAGAGAAAUCACCACACUCCAAAUGACCUGAAAUUUCACGGAGAAUAUUUUUGUAAUAUUUAAGAAUUUCUGGAACAAAAAUACACCAGAGGAGGGCUUCUAGCUAGGCACAAGACAAAAGGGCGCGCCCCAGCCCCUAGUCGCUCCCUCAUGGCUUGUGGGGCCCCUGUUGUCACUCUGACGUCCAUCUUCUCCUAUAUGGUUUGUUUUACCCUAUAAAAAAUCAAGAGAUUACUUUCGAGAUGAAGCGCCGCUAUCUCAAGGCGAAAACCUGGGCAGAGGCCCUUUUUCUCUCCGAUAGUGCGAUUCUGCCAUGAAAAUUUCCCGUCGGGAGGGGCAAAUCGAAGCCAUUGUCAUCACCAACGCUUCCUCCUUCAUGGGAGAACCAAUCUUCGUCAACAUCAACACCAUCACCAUCUCAUCUCCAACCCUAGUUCAUCUCUUGAGUUUGAUCUUUGUCUCAAAACCUCAGAUUGGUACAUGUGGGUUGCUAGUAGUGUUGAUUACAUCUUGUAGUUGAUGCUUGUUGGAUUAAUUGGUGAAACAUAUUAUGUUCAGAUCCUUUGUCACCAUCAUUAUACCUCUGAUCUUGAACAUGUUGAUGAGGUGUGAGUAGUUACUAUUGUUCCUCAGGACAUGGGAUAAGUCUUGUCACAAGUAACCAUGUAAAAUUGGCAUUCGUUCGAUAUUUUGAUGAUAUGUAUGUUGUUGCUUCUCUUAGUGGUGUCGUGUGAACAUCGACUACACGACACUUCACCAUGUUAUGGUCAUAAGGGAAGGCAUUGUUGAUUAACAAGUAGAUGAUUGUUUGUGAGAGUGACAGAAGCUUAAACCCCAGUUUACGCGUUACUUCAUAAGGGGCUGAUUUGGAUCCACAUGUUUCUUGCUAUGGUUAGAUUUGUCUUAAUUCUUCUUUCGUAGUUGCAGAUUCUUGCAUGAGGGGUUAAUCAUAAGUGGUUGUUUGUUCAAGUAAGAACAACACCUUAGCACCGGUCCACCCACAUAUCAAUUAUCAAAGUAGCGAACGUGAAUGAAUUCAACAUGAUGAACAUAACUAGAUAAAAAUCCCCAUGUGUCCCCGGUAGCACUUUCUUCAUAUAAGAACACUUUCCGGCAUGUCCUUUGCUGUAAAAAUGAUUAGGCUACUGUAACGACCAAGAUGCGGUCCUUUCCGAUCUGGGGGUCGAGGCCCCGAAUAGGAAAGAAGCGCAUCUAAGCAUUUCGCAAGUAAGUAACAUAGCACAAAUAAUAAUACAAGUAGACAAUUCGGGAUUCAACUGUCUUCUUAUUAAUAACUCAGAGUACAACACAGAUACAAACAAGGUAGUUCCGUACGGACUACAAAACAUGGAAAAUGCUAUGCUACCCUGCCUGCAGGCCCACGAUCACGACCAUGCCUCAGUCCUCUCGAUAGUUCACGUAGAGGCGGUAUGUCUCCUCGUCGUACUGCCACGCCAGCUGGGUGCCGUCGGGAUCAUCUGUCUCUGGGGUACCUGUACCUGUUGGGAGUUUCGGAGGAAUCCGUGAGCACGGGGACUCAGCAAUCUAAGACCUUGGUGCCAGAACUAGUCAUGUCAUUGGGUAGGGUAAGGGAGAAGUGUAUCAGGCUGCAGCAUCCUAUGUUUGAUUAAGUGGCUAACUUACGCAAGGUAGAAGGGGAGAUGGUCUACGUUAACGGUCGGAUUUACUUGAUCAGUAAGUGAUCCUGUGCACCUACCUACGGCAUUCAUAACCCCACCGUGUUCCCGAUCGAAGAGAGAUCUUCGAAGGGACAGUCACGGUUACGCACACAGUUGGAAAUUUUAUUAGCUUAUGUUUAAGUUCUCUAAUACCGGAUGUUAACAAAAUAUUCCAAGUUGCCACAUAACCGCGGGCACGGCUUUCCGAAAGAUUAAACCCUGCAGGGGUGCUCCAACUAGUCCAUCACAAACGAACACAGGCCGCAAAGACAUCAUCUAUCACGAAUCUCGUGACCUCGUCGGAUUCCUUAGAGGAAAACAUCAACUCUGGGAAAAACCAAAGCUUCACUGGGAUUCCUAUACGCAAGAUAUACCGCUAAGGUAAGAGAAGGCUAGCAGGACCUCCCGUCGUGUCCACGACCCUGAUAAGAGCCGUGUAUCUCAGUCUCAGGACACGACAGAUGAGCUAGACGUCGGGAUGGCUAAACCUCUGGGUGACCAGUGGGGCCCUGGACAUCGCUCAGGUGGGGCCAACACUCAUGAGGAGCACUCGCCCGGUUGUUGAUUAAUUCCUCGGGGUAUCUAUUCCCUAUGCAGAUUAUUAUGUGCUUAGCCGAUUAAAACCAAAGUUGGGUCCUGCCGGACAAAUCUUAGCACUACGCGAUUUAUCAAGGGGGUCCCCAUAACAACCCCGAACGUGUUAGGAGCGAUCAUUAUGGAAUCAAACACCGGUAACCGGUAACUAAUGCGGCAAGGACGGAACAAAGCACCCGGCAAAAGCCUAGGCCUCCCGUCAUUUACCAAGUAUAUAGGUGCAUUAAUUAAAUAACAUAAUUUAAGAUAAUGAUAUCAAGCUCAUGUUAUCACAUGAGGCAAAGCACGUGCAACUAACAAUGCUAACAUUAGUAGCUGAGCAAGCCUACUUAGCCACACAAGUUUGCUAGGAAGGAGAACGGUGUUUGGGCUCAUGGCAUUUCAAGAGGCAAUUUAAUUUCAGUGGUAGGCAGCGAGCAAUAUGACAUGGAAACGAAACUAAUCAUAACAAGUCUAGAGAUGGAAUCAAGGUCAUAUCAUCUUGCCUAUGAUAUCCUCAGCUUGGAAUGGUUCUGGUUCGUCCUGCACGUACUCUCCUGACUCCACGUAUUUGCUCUCCGAUCCCGGUGCUACCCAACAUAAGAACAACAGCCAAUGAACAACAGCACCACAAGAUGCAACAAUCACAUGAUGCAUGAGAUGAAAAUUGAGCAUGCACCACUAUUUCUAUCACUAGCACAAGCAAAAUAAACUACUGCAAGUUUCUGGACAGAACUGUACACUAAGCUAUUUUGACAUGCAUGAGAAUGACAUGAACAGAUGCGGCUCAUGAAAACGGUGAAAAACCAUAUAAAGAACAUUGCAAACGGAGCUACGGAUCAACGGGAAUCAACGAAACAAGAUAUGAAGCUCUACGUGGAAAAAUCAACACCACACUCACAAUUGGCACAAAUCUGGUAUUCCCAGGUUUCCAAGACAUGUAACAACCCAACAUGAACGGAUUGGAGCAAGGAAGAACACUACAACAUCAACUAAGUACACACAUUGCCCAAAAUGACAAAACUACAUAAUCUGCCAUAAUCUGCAUCUUAGCUCUUUGGGAGCUGCAUGCAACAUAGCUACAGGUCUUCAAACAUGACAAAUAAUAUAUGUGGCUGUUUCCAACCAAGAACACUACAAGCACCAGCAAGAAUCACAGCAAAAGGAAUUACACUCUAGAAGAUACAAGGUCACAAACUUUCCCAAAACCAUCAGAUCUCAGGGACUUAGUGAAAAUUCCUGCACCUGAGUUUUUGUCUCUGUUCUGAAGCUUUUUGACAGCAAUCAAAACACAACCUACUGGACUCCAAAUGAUUUGAAAUUUUACAGGAAUCUUCACAAACAUACCAGGUUCAUAAUCCUAGCACUGAACUAAGGCUAGUUCUCAUCAGAAUGACCAGCACAUCCUCAUCUAUAGGGGAAGAAAAUGUUUCCAGAAUCCCAGACUUGGUGAAAUUUCAGAUUUCACUAAUCUGGAAUUUUCCAGCCACAUGCCCACUUUGUCUAGGCAUAGUUUGCACACACAUUGCACCAAGUGAUAAUUGACACCACUAUAGUGUAGAGCAAAACCCCUACUACUAUCACACAAAAACUCAUGCCCUUGGGCUCCACCUAUUCAUUGGAAUCAAGGCUCAAACUUGCAACAAAACUGAAUAUGUUAACUCCAUAAGGUUUCCUACUAAGACAACAACUACAAAGGUUGGGUUCAUGUGCACAAUGACAAAGUAACAUGGGGGUUUGAACCCCAUGUUUGUGUCAUGCACAUCAACAUCACAAGCACAUCUACCAAACUAUCCCCACACACAAACACCAUGCCCUCUCACAUAUAGACAUGUGAAGGUGCAUAGUUUUGCAAAGGUGGGGAAGUUCCACACACACACAUAUACUCCACAUAAUUCACAACAACAUCAUGCCCUUAAACCCAAGAACAACAUGAGGGGGAAAAAUACUAAGCAAGUAACUUGGAAGCAUCACCUCUCAAACACUUUUAGUAGGAACCACAAGUGGUGUGCACUCACUACAAACACAUCUCCAUACCUACACCAUCAACUUCACUUACAACCCCUAUGCACACAUGCCUAUUUGCAAUCACACCAUCAACAUAAACUAACAAGACCACAUACACACACAUAUCACUUAAGCCACCAACACCAUCUAUCACAAUACUAGUGUGUGCAAAACACACACACAAUACAAUCUGCACCCAUCUACACCAGCAGGAAAAAAUAUUACAUAGGACACCUUGCUAUCUAUGCAUAAGAAAAAGGAAGUAACAAAAUAACAGGAAAGCAAAAAAAACAGAAAUAAGCAUCAGGGCUCCUGGGAAUCGAACCCAGUACCUCCUGGUACACAGCAACAGAGCCUACCACUACACCACUGCCACUUCGUCGACAAGGUAGGGGAGGCAAUCAGGCUAACAUGUCCCUGUUGCUACUGUGCAGGAAAAUCAGAAAACAAAAAUAGCGCCGAGGGGGGAUCGAACCCGCGCCCUCCAACAGGCACGCAACGCUAGUUACCACUGGGCUACGAAACGGCGUCUGAACCACUACGCGUUGCGAAACAGAAGAGGUUACACCCCUGCUCAUCUGCUACCGGCGACUGACCGGAACAGGGUAGGGGUCUCGCCGGCGAUGCGAGCCAAAUACAGCUCCGGCUCGUGGAGGGGAGGAGGCCCACACCCACAUGAACCCAUUCCAAGUCCUAACUACUCUCGAGGGGCGCUACAACGGCGUGUCGACGGUGACCAGCGGCUCCAGCGACAGAGGCAACGCACGCAACAAAUCUACAGCUACGAUGCUUGAUCUAGCACAGGGAGCAGGGGGAGGAGUACUACCUCACGUACGGGUCGAGGAAGAAGCGACCGUAGUGGAAGUAGCAGGAAGAACGGCACGUAGCGGCGGAGCUCGUCAGAGAAGGAGGGCCUCCGGGAAGAAGACGAAGCAGGGUCGGGGAAGCCGAUCUAGCGGCGGCAACGAGCCCGUGGCGAGGCCCGCGAGCUCCUGGACCUCUCGCCGUGGAGGAAGAGGUACCACAGCGACGACGGCGACCUCCUUCAACCGUCGGCCAUGGUGGAUCCGCCUCGCUUACCUUGCUGCGACGAUGCAGAGAAGAGGGAGAUGAGAUUUGGGUGGAGCGGCGGCGGAAGGGGGAACCCUAGCCGAGGCACGGAAGCCAAGGCUCUUUAUAGGGCGAGAGGGGAAGCGACGGGCGCGCGGUGGCCAUGUGCGCGGGCUCUCUCCGGUGGAACAGAGGGGAAUGGGAGAGAGAGAAUGACAGAGGGGACCCACUGCCUCGCUGGAAAGGAGGUGAACGACGACGGACGCGCGACGGGCUGCGAGGGAGGAAGGGGAAGUGGGCCGCUAGGUGGGAGGAAGCCCACUUAGCGCGCCAGAUAGGGAAAUAGACCCCUCUGUCUAUUUCCUUUUAAAAAUUAAAACAGAGAAAGAAAAAAUAGGCAUAGGACAAAAUAAAAGGGAUAAAAUAAAAUGGAAAAAUGCCCUGGACCCGAAAAUGAACCAGCUAUUUAAAUAAAAUACUUCCAGCAUUUAUGGGGCUACUUUCAUAAACCAAAACAGCAUUUAUUUAAUCUGUUUUGUGAUUUAUAUUCACCCCCAGCACCAAGAAUAAAAUUCCAAAUCAUCACAUCAUCAUCUCCACAAUAACCUCUAAGCACAAGACAUUUUAAAGUUGCUUUUGGGAAGAUGGAAUUUUGAACAAGAGAUAAUAGGAAAGGGAAAGGGUUUGAAAUUGCAAUGAGCUUUGACAAAAUACCUAGCACCCACUCCUUCACACCACACACCAUCAACACAAUGAAACUUCAAGACCCACUCUAAGACAUGGCAAGGUAUAGAUGCAAGCAACACAAGGCAUGGUAAGAAUGGUAUGACAUGGAUGCAUGCAUGCAAAAGAAGAACACAAGGUGACACAUGAAAUCACAUAUGCAUAGAUAACUCUCAUGAAAAAUUCAAGGUGGUCCCACAUGGAAGGUUACAAAAAGGAAAGCUUUACAACUGGGGCACUACAAACUCUCCCACACUACAAAGAAGAUCUCGACCUCGAGAUCUAAGACUGAAAGAAAUCGGGAAAUUCGGAACGGAGGUGAUCCUCGCGUUCCCACGUAGCCUCUUUAUCGGAAUGGUGUGACCACUGCACUUUGAGAAACUUGACAGUCUUGUUACGGGUCUUGCGCUCAGUCGCCUCGAGAACCGCAACUGGAUGCUCAUGAUAAGAAAGGUCAGGCUGAAGGUCGAUAUCUUGAAGAUGCACAGUGCGCUCGGGGGUCUUGAAACACCUCCGGAGCUGAGAAACAUGGAACAUAUCAUGGACAUUGGCAAAGGUUGACGGAAGCUCGAGGUGGUAUGCAAGGUCGCCCCUCUUGCCAACCACUCUGAACGGACCAACGAAACGAGGCGCAAGCUUGCCUUUGAUGCCAAAACGUUGCAUACCCUUCAUAGGCGACACCUUGAGAUAGACAAAAUCAUCAAGCUCAUACGACAUGUCAUGGUGCUUGCUAUCGUAAUAGCUCUUCUGACGAGACUGAGCUGCUCUGAGGUUGUCUCGAAUGAUCCGACACAUCUCCUCAGCUUCUUCUAUCAUAUCAUUGCCAAGGAUCUGACGCUCGCCUGUCUGGGACCAGUUGAGCGAAGUACGGCACUUCCUGCCAUAGAGAAUUUCAAACGGAGCCUUGCCAGAACUAGCUUGAUAACUGUUGUUAUACGAGAACUCCGCGAAAGGCAGACAAUCCUCCCACUUCAUGCCAAAAGAGAUAACACAGGCUCUCUGCAUAUCCUCAAGAACUUGAUUCACUCUCUCCACUUGACCACUAGUCUGAGGAUGGAACAUUGUGCUGAAGCGGAUCUUCGUGCCCAUAGCAGACUGAAAGGAGUCCCAGAACUUGGAAGUGAAGAUACUUCCGCGAUCUGACGAGAUCAUCAUAGGUACACCGUGCAAAGAGACAAUCCUGAAGGUGUACAACUCUGCCAGCUGAGCUGCUGAAAUGGACUCCUUGACUGGAAGGAAAUGCGCUACUUUACUCAAUUUGUCGAUGACGACGAAGAUAGCAUCAUUGCCCUUCUUGGACUUCGGAAACCCGGUGACAAAGUCCAUCUCAAUGUGAUCGAACUUCCACUCGGGAAUCGGCAAAGGCUGCAAGAGGCCCGCUGGUCUUUGAUGUUCUGCUUUCACCCUUCGACAUACAUCACACUCGUUUACGAAUUGUGCAAUUUCGCGUUUCAUACGAGUCCACCAGAAAGUCUGCUUCAAGCCAUGGUACAUUUUGGAACUUCCAGGAUGAAUAGAGAGCAGAGAGUUAUGAGCUUCUUCCAUGAUCACCUUCCUGAGAUCACCUUUCGGGACGACAAGGCGGUCCUCGAAAAACAAAGUGUCCCUCGCAUCAACAGUGAAACACUUAUACUUGGGGAGACUCUUUCCCACACCAAUCUUGACCUUCUUCACCAUGGCGUCAAGUAGCUGAGCUGCUCUGACCUGAUCUUCCAAGGUAGGAGAGAUCUGAAGGUUCGCAAGAAAACCCUGAGGAACCAGCUGAAGAUUGAGCUUCCUGAAAGACUCAGAAAGACCCGGCUGGAGAGGUUGCAGAAUCAGACUGUUGCAAUAUGCCUUCCUGCUCAAUGCAUCUGCCACAACAUUUGCCUUGCCUGGCGUGUACUCAACACUCGGAUUAAAAUCCUGGAUCAUUUCCACCCAACGUGUUUGCCGAAGAUUCAAGUUAGGCUGAGUGAAGAUAUACUUGAGGCUCUUGUGAUCGGUGAAAACUUCAACCUUACGUUCCAACAAGAGAUGUCUCCAAGUCAUCAAGGCAUACACAACAGCUGCUAGCUCGAGGUCGUGCACAGGAUAGUUCUUCUCCGCAGGCUUCAGCUGCCUGGAGGUAUAAGCAACCACCUUCCUAUCUUGCAUCAAGACUGCACCGAGACCCUGGAGAGAAGCAUCGCAAAAUACCUGGUACGGCUUGGAAUCAUCCGGAGGGACCAAUACCGGAGUGGAGAUAAGCUUCUCUUUGAGUGUAUCGAAAGCCAGCUGACACUCUGGAGACCAAACAUACUUGACACCCUUCUGAAGAAGACUAGAGAGCGGCUUGGCGAUUUUGGAGAAGUUCUCAACGAAUCUUCUGCAAUAUCCGGCAAGACCGAGAAAGCUUCGAAGCUGCUUCACAUUCUGCGGUGGUUCCCAUUCAACAAUGGCUUGAACCUUGGACGGGUCAACCUUAAUGCCUUCGGCAGAGAUAAUAUGCCCAAGAUAAACCACUUCUUUCAGCCAGAACUCGCACUUGGAAAACUUGGCAUACAGCUUGUAUUCUCUCAGUUUAUCAAGCACCAACCUGAGAUGUUUCUCAUGUUCUUCCUCAUCCUCAGAAAAGACCAGAAUGUCGUCGAGAUAGAGCAAGACAAAUUCAUUCUUAAAUGGUGAGAAAAUAUAGUUCAUCAAACGGCAAAAAGUCGGAGGAGCAUUAGCCAGACCAAAAGACAUGACCGUAUACUCAUACGAGCCAAAACUAGUCCUGAAUGCCGUCUUCGGAAUGUCUUCCUCGCGAAUGCGAAUCUGAUGAUAGCCCAUUCUGAGAUCAAGCUUGGAGAAUACUUUAGCACCUUUCAGUUGUUCGAACAACUCAUUUAUGUUCGGAAGUGGAUAUUUGUUCUUGAUUGUCUUCUUGUUCAAUGGGUGGUAACACACAGCCGGUCCGAACCAUCCUUCUUCUUGACAAAUAGAACCCCACAUCCCCACGGAGACGAGCUUGGUCUGAUCAAACCCAAACGCUCCUGCUCAUCAAGUUGCCUCUUGAGUUCCUUCAACUCUUCUGGACCCAGCUUGUACGGCCGUUUGCACACUGGCUCUGUGCCUGGCUCAAGCUCAAUGACAAACUCAACUUCACGGUGCGGAGGCAUGCCUGGCAGCUCUUCAGGAAACACAUCUUGAUAUUCGCAGACUACUGGAACUUGCUCAAUGGGAUUGAUCUCACCCUUUUCAUUCAAGGAGAACAAGCGGAUUGUGUCAUCGCGCGCCGCGAAUAUAAUCACAUCCUCCGAAGAGUGGGUAAGUUUCACUUCUUUAGCUUCACAAUCAAUUGACGCCUUGUUCAUGGCCAACCAGUCCAUACCAAGAAUCAAUUCGAUGUCGGACUUGCCCAAGACAUACAUAGAGGCCAGAAAAGAAUAGUUGCCCAUCUUGAUAGAAACAUCGGGAGCACGGGUACUAGCAUGCAUGAACUUGCCUGGAGAAACUACUGACAACGGACUAGGAAGCUCUUCAACGGGAACAUUAUGCUUGGAUGCAAAUGGAAUGGAGAGGAACGAAUGCGAAGCACUAGAAUCAAAUAACACUUUAGCAGGACUAUCAUUGACAAGGAGGUUACCCAUGAUCACAUCAGAGGAGUUGUCUGCUUCAGCUGCAUUCACCAUGUUGACUCGAGUUGAUCUGGGGUUGAACUUGACAAGAGCGUUGCUUGGAGGUUUGCCUGGAGGAGGAGGCGGCAGACGGAGCUGAGAAGUGCAUUUGUUGGCAUAGUGACCCUUCUGCCCACAUUUGUGACAAGUGACAUCUGCUGGCUGCCGGAACUGAAUCCGAGGAGGCCCUUGCUUCUGAUGUUGGUAUCUCUGCUGGAAGCCAGGGUUGGGUGGGUGGGAAGAACCACGUCCACCUGAGUGCUUCGGAUGCUGUGAGUGCCGAGGAGGAGGAGGAGAAGAAACCCAAAACCUCUGUUGCUUCUGAACCACCUGAGUCGAGGAAGAGCUGGAAUCUCUGAAGCGCUUCUUGGAGUUCUCCACCCUGAGCAAGGCUGCCUCUACUCUGAGAGCUAAGUUGUAGAACUUGUCAAACUCCUCAGGAUCGUGCAAAGCAAGUGCUAACUGCAAAUCCUCCUUCAAGCCACCCCUGAACUGGUAGAUCUUGCUCUUCUGAUCCGGGACAUCCUGCAACGCGUAACGGGCCAGCUCGUGGAACUCGACGUCGUACUUGUACACAGAAUUGCUGCCCUGCUUCAAGCGCCUGAACUUCUCACGCAUCUCCUCAACAAAACUGGAAGGGAUGUAGUGGGACCUGAAGUCACGACAAAACUCGUCCCAAGACAUCACCCUGCCACCUCUGGAGUCCUUAAGCUGCUGCCACCAAAUAGAAGCCUGCCCCUUCAACUGAAACAUUGCAAACUUGGCAUAGUCCUCUAGAUGCACAUUGCCACACUCGAAAUGCUUGUUCAUAUCACGGAUCCAAUCUUCCGCAUCAAACGGCUGGUCGCAAGAAGUGAACGUCUUAGGCUGGUUUGACAGGAAUUGACUCAGACUGGCGAAGUGAUUGCCACCAUGCUGGAAAUUUCCCUGCUGAUGAUUGGCUCUCUCCUGGAUCAACUGCAAUAGCAUCUGAGUGUUUGCAUUAGUAGUUGCCAUCAUUGCCUGCCAGGCCUCUGCAGGAGGAGGCGGAGGAGGAGGUGGAGGCGGCAUAUCCUCACAUGCUGGGGUCUGACGAGUCGGUGGAGCCAUCCUGAAGAUGGACAGCAUAUUAGUCCACAGAAUAAUUGAAGAUAUUGUUGAAUCAAAAGACAGAAUAUCUGAAUAGAAUUUAGCAUUGCACUCGAACAACAUAGCAAGAGUGCAUCCUCAAAGUAACAGACGACAAAAUUCCGAUAAGGACCACUGCAAACAAGUGUGAGCUAGAACUGCUCGGAACAAACAUAUGACCAAGAUUUCCCAAACCUCAAUCAAGCGUCUGUAGGAAGAUAGUCCUAUAAGAUACUACUAGAUAUCCCACCUACGAAUUCCCGAAAUAACCGGUCAUGCAAUCAGGUACACGGAUACAAGGAGUAUUUCACACAACUCCUAAACUAACCCGUCACCUGUAUCACAUCCUUCAACACACAACGAGCAUCUCGGACCUUCAUCUAUAACAGAUCCUCGUGAUCACAAUGAUACAAAGUGUGGUAAUACCCCCGAACAAUCUACACCAGUACUGGGGACAUUGGGGUUAUCUCACCACUACCCGUAUUGAAGCAAUAACGAACACCCUCCGUUCUUAGAUACCCAGAAAUCUGAAUGAUGGCGAUGUGCGCGAUAAUCCCUGGAGCUCAACUCCCCUAAUACUUAGAGCAGAUAAGAGGCACCAGGACAUGACUCCGUCACAUCGAAAUCAUAUAGAUUUCACAAAUACCCGCGUGAUCCUAAAAAAAUGAGCGAGAAAAGGAGUAGAGUUAGAGAUUUCCUAAGACGGGAACCUCACCAGAGCAUAGAAGAGGAGAAAAAGAAUCCUACUCUCCGAUAUAACUAAGACUCAAAACAUUUUCUAGACUCGACUCGGCCAAAUACAAUCACACAAAGGCUCCUAUGGUCGUAAGGCUCUGAUUACCAACUUGUAACGACCAAGAUGCGGUCCUUUCCGAUCUGGGGGUCGAGGCCCCGAAUAGGAAAGAAGCACAUCUAAGCGUUUCGCAAGUAAGUAACAUAGCACAAAUAAUAAUACAAGUAGACAAUUCGGGAUUCAACUGUCUUCUUAUUAAUAACUCAGAGUACAACACAGAUACAAACAAGGUAGUUCCGCUACGGACUACAAAACAUGGAAAAUGCUAUGCUACCCUGCCUGCAGGCCCACAAUCACGACCACGCCUCAGUCCUCUGGAUAGUUCACGUAGAGGCGGUCUGUCUCCUCGUCGUACUGCCACGCCAGCUGGAUGCCGUCGGGAUCAUCUGUCUCUGGGGUACCUGUACCUGUUGGGAGUUUCGGAGGAAUCCGUGAGCACGGGGACUCAGCAAUCUAAGACCUUGGUGCCAGAACUAGUCAUGUCAUUGGGUAGGGUAAGGGAGAAGUGUAUCAGGCUGCAGCAUCCUAUGUUUGAUUAAGUGGCUAACUUACGCAAGGUAGAAGGGGAGAUGGUCUACGUUAACGGUCGGAUUUACUUGAUCAGUAAGUGAUCCUGUGCACCUACCUACGGCAUUCAUAACCCCACCGUGUUCCCGAUCGAAGAGAGAUCUUCGAAGGGACAGUCACGGUUACGCACACAGUUGGCAAUUUUAUCAGCUUAUGUUUAAGUUCUCUAAUACCGGAUGUUAACAAAAUAUUCCAAGUUGCCACAUAACCGCGGGCACGGCUUUCCGAAAGAUUAAACCCUGCAGGGGUGCUCCAGCUAGUCCAUCACAAACGAACACAGGCCGCAAAUGCAUCCUCUAUCACGAAUCUCGUGACCUCAUCGGAUUCCUUAGAGGAAAACCUCAACUCUGGGGAAAACCAAAGCUUGAGUAUUCUAUNNNNNNNNNNNNNNNNNNNNNNNNNNNNNNNNNNNNNNNNNNNNNNNNNNNNNNNNNNNNNNNNNNNNNNNNNNNNNNNNNNNNNNNNNNNNNNNNNNNNUUAAAUAUAUUUGAUGAGGGUAAUUAUUGACAACUCGGGUACGAGAAUUGUUUGGUGGAACCAUCUCGUUAACAACAAACAACGUAGUAACAUUUUGCUUUUAGCCCUCUCUUGAUGUAGGAGAAAACUUGCUUUUCGCUAAAAAAAACUUAUAGCCCACCUGUCAUAUAUGCAUAUAGUAUAGAUGAUUACUUUUCACCCCUCUCUUAUGUGACUUGCCGGCAUAUUCAAUAUGCUGACCUACACGGCUGCAAUGUCUUAUGUUGCAGAUAUUUUUCUUCGACGAGUAAGAGUUCGAUUCAGGGUUACGGUCUACACUCAACUUGCCAUUGGUGUUUAUUGGGACUCCACUCCCUUGACUGCUUCCGCUGAAAUAUUUAAGGUAUAUAUCAGUUUUACGCUAUUUACAUGUGAUUGCACUUUGAUAUAUACAUUGAUGUACUGUGUGUGCCAGCAUACUGAUCCAGGGAUGGCACAGAUACACAGAGGCUUGACUCGUCUUGAGUCGGGUCGCUACAGGAUUAGGCGAUGGUUUACACCUACAAACCCUUCCCCUCGGAGUAUGCGUUUAGCACUUUGUUUAGAUUACUAAUAAAAACUUUCGCAACAAGUAUGUGAGUUCUUCAUGACUAAUGUGAGUCCAUGGUAUAGAUGCAUCUUCACCUUCCACCAUUGCUAGCCUCUCUAGUGCUGCGCAAUUCUCGCCGGUGCACAAACCCACCAAAUUCCUUCCUCAAAACAGCCACCAUAUCUACCUACAAUGUCAUUUUCAUAGCCAUUCCGAGAUAUAUUGCCAUACAAAUCCCACCGUUCCGUCUCAUGACUUGUGCCAUCACUCUCAUAUUGCCAUUGCAUGAUCGUAAGAUACCUAGGGAGAUGUUUCAACGUCAUACACCAUGUUAGAUCGUUGCACAUCCCGGUACACUGCCGGAGGCAUUUCCUAUGGAGUCAUCAUCAUUGUGAUCAUUGAGCUGUGAGUAAAUAAAAGUGUGAUGAUCAUCAUUAUUAGAGCAUUGUCCCAUGUGAGGAAAUCAAAAAAAGAGGCCAAAGAGCCCAAAAACAAAAAAAACAGAAAAGAAAAGAAAAGAGAAAAAAGAGAGGCCUAAGAGCCCAAAUGAAAAAAGAAAAGAAAAGAGAGAAAAAGAGAGAAGGGACAAUGCUACUGUCUUUUUCCACACUUGUGCUUCAUAAUAGCACCGUGUUCUUCAUGUUUGAGAGCUUCUUGCUUUGUCGCUACCAUAUGCUAUUGCGAAUCUUCAUUAUAUAACUUGGCUUGUAUAUUCCAAUGAUGGGCUUCUCAAAAUUGCCCUAGGUCUUCGUGAGCAAGCAAGUUGGAUGCACACCCACUAGUUUUCCUUUUGAGCUUUCACAUACUUAUAGCUCUAGUGCAUCCCUUGUAUGGCAAUCCCUACUUAUUCACAUUGAUAUCUAUUAAUGGGCAUCUCCAUAGCCUUUUGAUACACCGAGUCAAUGUGACCAUCUCCUCCUUUUUGUCUCACAACCACCACCACACUCUAUUCCACCUAUAGUGCUAUAUCCAUGGCUCGCGCUCAUGUAUUGUGUGAUAGUUAUAAAAAGUUUGAGAAAGUAACAGUGCAAAACAAUUACUUGGCCAAUACUGGGGUUGUGCAUGAUUUACAUUAGUUGUGUGAGGAUGAUGGAGCAUAGCCAGACUAUAUGAUUUUGUAGGGAUAACUUUCUUUGGCCAUGUUAUUUUGAAAGUUCAUGAUUACUUUGCUAGUUUGCUUGAAGUAUUAUUGUUUUCAUGUCAAUAGCAAACUAUUGUUUUGAAUCUUACGGAUCUAAACAUUCAUGCCACGUGAAAGAAGUUGCAAAGUACAACUAUGCUAGGUAGCAUUCCACAUCAAAAAUUCAUUCUUUAUCACUUCCCUACUCGAGGACGGGCAGGAGUUAAGCUUGGGGAUGCUUGAUACGUCUCCAACGUAUCUAUAGUUUUUGAUGGUUUCAUGCUAUUAUCUUGUCAAACUUUGGAUGUUUUGCAUGCCUUUUAUAUAUUUUUCGGGACUAACUUAUUAACUCAGUGCCAAGUGGCAGUUCCUGUUUUUUCCAUGUUUUUGACCCCCUUCAUAGGAGAUUUGAAACGGAGUCCAAACGGAAGAAAAUCCCCGAAAAGAUUUUUUCUGGAACGGAAGAAGAUUAGGAGCCAAGGCAGGGGAGCCUCAGGGGCCCCACAAGCCCCCAGCCUGCGGCCAGGGGGUAGGCCGCGGCCCACUGGCUUGUGGGCCCCCUGAGCGCCCCUGACCUAGGGGUUGCGCCGCCGUCGCAAGCUUCUGUCUCCGCAAGAUCCCAUCUGGGGCACAUCCUGGUGCCCUGCCGGAGGGGGAUUCGGAUACGGAGGGCUUCUUCAUCAACACCAUGACCUCUCNNNNNNNNNNNNNNNNNNNNNNNNNNNNNNNNNNNNNNNNNNNNNNNNNNNNNNNNNNNNNNNNNNNNNNNNNNNNNNNNNNNNNNNNNNNNNNNNNNNNGAGAAGGAGGGCCUCCGGGAAGAAGACGAAGCAGGGUCGGGGAAGCCGAUCUAGCGGCGGCAACGAGCCCGUGGCGAGGCCCGCGAGCUCCUGGACCUCUCGCCGUGGAGGAAGAGGUACCACAGCGACGACGGCGACCUCCUUCAACCGUCGGCCAUGGUGGAUCCGCCUCGCUUACCUUGCUGCGACGAUGCAGAGAAGAGGGAGAUGAGAUUUGGGUGGAGCGGCGGCGGAAGGGGGAACCCUAGACGAGGCACGGACGCCAAGACUCUUUAUAGGGCGAGAGGGGAAGCGAGGGGCGCGCGGUGGCCAUGUGCGCGGGCUCUCUCCGGUGGAACAGAGGGGAAUGGGACAGAGAGAAUGACAGAGGGGACCCACUGCCUCGCUGGAAAGGAGGUGAACGACGACGGACGCGCGACGGGCUGCGAGGGAGGAAGGGGAAGUGGGCCGCUAGGUGGGAGGAAGCCCACUUAGCGCGCCAGAUAGGGAAAUAGACCCCUCUGUCUAUUUCCUUUUAAAAAUUAAAACAGAGAAAGAAAAAAUAGGCAUAGGACAAAAUAAAAGGGAUAAAAUAAAAUGGAAAAAUGCCCUGGACCCAAAAAUGAACCAGCUAUUUAAAUAAAAUACUUCCAGCAUUUAUGGGGCUACUUUCAUAAACCAAAACAGCAUUUAUUUAAUCUGUUUUGUGAUUUAUAUUCACCCCCAGCACCAAGAAUAAAAUUCCAAAUCAUCACAUCAUCAUCUCCACAAUAACCUCUAAGCACAAGACAUUUUAAAGUUGCUUUUGGGAAGAUGGAAUUUUGAACAAGAGAUAAUAGGAAAGGGAAAGGGUUUGAAAUUGCAAUGAGCUUUGACAAAAUACCUAGCACCCACUCCUUCACACCACACACCAUCAACACAAUGAAACUUCAAGACCCACUCUAAGACAUGGCAAGGUAUAGAUGCAAGCAACACAAGGCAUGGUAAGAAUGGUAUGACAUGGAUGCAUGCAUGCAAAAGAAGAACACAAGGUGACACAUGAAAUCACACAUGCAUAGAUAACUCUCAUGACAAAGUCAAGGUGGUCCCACAUGGAAGGUUACAAAAAGGAAAGCUUUACAACUGGGGCACUACANNNNNNNNNNNNNNNNNNNNNNNNNNNNNNNNNNNNNNNNNNNNNNNNNNNNNNNNNNNNNNNNNNNNNNNNNNNNNNNNNNNNNNNNNNNNNNNNNNNNUUAGCCCUCUCUUGAUGUAGGAGAAAACUUGCUUUUCGCUAAAAAAACUUAUAGCCCACCUGCCAUAUAUGCAUAUCGUAUAGAUGAUUACUUUUCACCCCUCUCUUAUGUGACUUGUCGGCAUAUUCAAUAUGCUGACCUACACGGCUGCAACGUCUUAUGUUGCAGAUAUUUUUCUUCGACGAGUAAGAGUACGAUUCAGGGUUACGGUCUACACUCAACUUGCCGUUGGUGUUUAUUGGGACUCCACUCCCUUGACUGCUUCCGCUGAAAUAUUUAAGGUAUAUAUCAGUUUUACGCUAUUUACAUGUGAUUGCACUUUGAUAUAUACAUUGAUGUACUGUGUGUGCCAGCAUACUGAUCCAGGGAUGGCACAGAUACACAGAGGCUUGACUCGUCUUGAGUCGGGUCGCUACAGAAAUGGUAUCAGAGCACCUGUUAACUGUAGGACGUGACCCUAGAAACUGGAAAUUUCUUAGGAUAUGAUCUCUCAAAAAUAUUAUUUUCGAAAACACCUUUCACUUCUCAUCUCUUCUGAUUUCAUCAAAUGUUCUCUCUCACAUCAAAUAGUUAGACAAUGCCCUUUCCCCUUUGACCACGUGAAGGAUCAACCGACUCCCACUUCAAAGUAAAGAGGAUUUCAUCAUGCAUUUGAAGAAUUGAAGCUGCGCCAAUUGAAGACCCUCAAGACCCGAAGAAUUCGAAGACCCUGAAGCGUUCGAAUGUUUAUAUGACCAUUAGAAGUCCAAACCCCUGUUAUAUACCCACGUUAGUUACGAUGAUUUGUGAGCCGUCAUUGGUGUGUGUUUUCCGACGGCCACAAAUAAAACCUAUUCUCAAAAAUAUUGUUUGUAUUGUGUGUAUCUCCCUCCCUCUCUUAUCCGUCUCAUCCCUAAAACCUCAACCCUACCAGAUGGAGUAUGAAGCUGGACUUGUAGUCUCUGGACCAAUGACCCAGCUGGAAGCUGAGAUAUGGAUUCAGAACAUGGAGAACCACUUCGGGAGCAACUUGAUCUCAAGGAAGUACGAAGUGGAACACGCUCUUCAGUACUUUACACAAAGUGCUGCAAUCUGGUGGAAAAUGCAUCAUGCCAUACAAGGAUUUAGUGGAGCAGAAACCUGGGACGAAUUCAAGAGGACUCUGUUAAGAUCCCGUCUCAUUCGGAAGUGCUAUGAUUAUCCGAAGGAGAAGACUUGUGCAUGCAAGAUCUGUGGAGAAAUAGGACACACCCAGGAAGAACACAAGGAUGGAUGCACUCAAUGUGAAGAAAAUCACCCAGCUGAGGAGUGCCCAACUAGUCAGGUGACUUGUUUCUUGUGUGAAGGAACCACCCACUACCCAGCGGCAUGUCACAUUUACCCCAAGUAUGCCUGAAACCCACAGACCCCGGGACUAACAAGGAUCAAGUACUAUCUUUUUGGAGAAGGAAACUUGUAUCAGCAAACGUUUUCUUAGGAUCAUACGACAACUUGAGAGUGGUGAAGAAACGAUAGAUGUUUUGUUCAGCUUGCAGAACCAAUGGUUUAUCCGAACUUCGUUCGUGGACAAGAGAAACUCUGCAACGCUUGUGAGGAUGUCCAAGUGUUAGAAUACGAGAUUCACUAAGCCUUAUACAAGGUAAUGAUUUCAGUGCGACAUGGCUUGGCCACCAUGAUGACUUACUAUUGUCAUUCUCUUGCUAUUCGGAAUGGUAAAUCUAAGAGACUUACCCAUAGUGAGAGACGACGUCCUUUGAAGCUUUUGUUUGAGCCUUAGAAUGGUAUAAUGAAAGCCCAUGUACAUGGCACUUGUUGUCACGCGUAGGAAAUUUUACGGUGAGGAUGAAGCCAAGACCCUUCUCUCCGCAGGAUAACCACAAAUGGUAGACCACCAUGAGAACCAUCGAUAUGUUAUUUAGAAUUGGCCACGAGACUGUCAGUUAAGGAGACCCAGUAACGGAAGAAGCUUAUAUCAACGGAAGAGCACUCGAUUUUGAUGGAAAACGUUAUGAAUAUAAAGGGAGAGCAUCACCAAAGGAUUUAAUAUGAAGACUGUGAGGAGUCAGAUGCCAAAACCCCAGAGGAUUGUUAAAAUCUUAAGGGACCAGUAUCUCUCAUUUUAAGUGUGGUAGCAUCCCACCUUGCCGGAGAUUGGAUUUGUUAGAAGACCCCCAAACCCUAACCUUUCUUUCUAGCCUCUUCGAAUCUCGAGGACGAGAUUCAUUUUAAGUGUGGUAGUUUGUAACAUCCCAAAAUUAUAAAUUUUGGAAUGUUAAUACAAUUAUUAUUAGGUUGUUUGUUGGUUGCCUGAGUGAUUGAAACUUGUGUGAAAUUUGAAACUUUUCGAAACUUUUGAAUGAGAGGGAAUAAAAUGACUUUCCCCUUCUCCGGUGAAUUCAAAUUCAAUCUUUUAAAAGCAAAGAGAGAAGAUGACAUGACUUCUUCAACUAUAAAGAAUUUGAACGGAGAUAUUUGCAUUGAAUUCUUUUGCAUUUCCAUUCGUUUUCUUCGUGCAAGAAAUGCCGGGAAAUACAUUCUAGAGAGGAGGAACAUGACCCUCGAACCCACGGNNNNNNNNNNNNNNNNNNNNNNNNNNNNNNNNNNNNNNNNNNNNNNNNNNNNNNNNNNNNNNNNNNNNNNNNNNNNNNNNNNNNNNNNNNNNNNNNNNNNAUGGGAAACAAAAAUUUUCCUACGCGCACGAAGACCUAUCAUGGUGAUGCCCAUCUACGAGAGGGAAUGUGUGAUCUACGUACCCUUGUAGACCGUACAGCAGAAGCGUUAGUGAACGCGGUUGAUGUAGUGGAACGUCCUCACGUCCCUCGAUCCGCCCCGCGAACUGUCCCGCGAUCAGUCCCACGAUCUAGUGCCGAACGGACGGCACCUCCGCGUUCAGCACACGUACAGCUCGACGAUGAUCUCGGCCUUCUUGAUCCAGCAAGAGAGAUGGAGAGGUAGAAGAGUUCUCCGGCAGCGUGACGGCGCUCCGGAGGUUGGUGAUGAUCUCGUCUCAGCAGGGCUCCGCCCGAGCUCCGCAGAAACGCGAUCUAGAGGUAAAACCGUGGAGAUAUGUGGUCGGGCUGCCGUGGCAAAGUUUUGUCAAAUCAGCCCUAAAACCUCCGUAUAUAUAGGGGGAAGAGGGGGAGCCUUGCCUUGGGGUCCAAGGACCCCUAUGGGCUUCGGCCGAGCCAAGGGGGGGAGUUCUCCCCUUCCAAAUCGAGUCCAACUAGGUUUGGAAGGAGGAGUCCUUCCCCCUUUUCCCACCUCCUCUUUUUUUUCUUUUCUCUUUGAUUUUUCUUCCUAUGGCGCAUAGGGAUCUUUUGGGCUGUCCCACCAGCCCACUAAGGGCUGGUGCGCCACCCCCAAUGCCUAUGGGCUUCCCCGGGGUGGGUUGCCCCCCCGGUGAACUCCCGGAACCCAUUCGUCAUUCCCGGUACAUUCCCGGUAACUCCGAAAACCUUCCGGUAAUCAAAUGAGGUCAUCCUAUAUAUCAAUCUUCAUUUCCAGACUAUUUCGGAAACCCUCGUGACGUCCGUGAUCUCAUCCGGGACUCCGAACAACAUUCGGUAACCAACCAUAUAACUCAAAUACGCAUAAAACAACGUCGAACCUUAAGUGUGCAGACCCUGCGGGUUCGAGAACUAUGUAGACAUGACCCGAGAGACUCCUCGGUCAAUAUCCAAUAGCGGGACCUGGAUGCCCAUAUUGGAUCCUACAUAUUCUAUGAAGAUCUUAUCGUUUGAACCUCAAUGCCAAGGAUUCAUAUAAUCCCGUAUGUCAUUCCCUUUGUCCUUCGGUAUGUUACUUGCCCGAGAUUUGAUCGUCAGUAUCCGUAUACCUAUUUCAAUCUCGUUUACCGGUAAGUCUCUUUACUCGUUCCGUAAUACAAGAUCCCGCAACUUACACUAAGUCACAUUGCUUGCAAGGCUUGUGUGUGAUGUUGUAUUACCGAGUGGGCCCCGAGAUACCUCUCCGUCACACGGAGUGACAAAUCCCAGUCNNNNNNNNNNNNNNNNNNNNNNNNNNNNNNNNNNNNNNNNNNNNNNNNNNNNNNNNNNNNNNNNNNNNNNNNNNNNNNNNNNNNNNNNNNNNNNNNNNNNUGGGUUCAUACCGUGCGGUGACCUCACCCAGUGACAGAAGGGGUAGCAAGGCAUGCAUCGUGCUGUCGCCAUCAAGGGUAAAAAAUGGGGUUUUCAUCAUUGGUUUCAGAUUAUCCCUCUACAUCAUGUCAUCUUGCUUAAGGCAUUACUAUGUUCGUCAUGAACUCAAUACACUAGAUGCAUGCUGGAUAGUGGUCGAUGUGUGGAGUAAUGGUAGUAGAUGCAGAAAGUAUCAGUCUACUUGUCUCGGACGUGAUGCCUAUAUGUAUGAUCAUUGCCUUAGAUAUCGUCAUGACUUUGCGCGGUUCUAUCAAUUGCUCGACAGUAAUUUGUUCACCCACCGUGAUAUUUGUUAUUAUGAGAGAAGCCUCUAGUGAACACUAUGGCCCCCAGGGUCUACUCCACACCAUAUUUUCAGCCUUACACUUUUUACUUCGUUGCACUUUCCGCCUUCAGAUCUCACUUUGCAAACAAUCUUGAAGGGAUUGACAACCCCUUUGAAGCGUUGUGUGCAAGCGUGUUUGUGUUUGCGUAGGUACUCUGGACUUGACGAGGCCCUCCUUAUGGAUCGGUACCUUGGUUCUCAAACUGAGGGAAAUACUUACUGCUCCUGUGCUGCAUCACCCUUUCCUCUUCAAGGGAAAAACCGACGCAAACCAGAUAAGUAACAAGAAGAAUUCCUAGCGCCAAGGAAGGACUUUUGUUGCCGCAGCAGGCAUCCCCAAGCUUAGGCUUUUUGGUGUCCUUGAAUUUGGAUUGGGACGCCUUGGGCAUCCCCAAGCUUGAGAUCUAGCCACUCCUUAUCUCUUUGUCCAUGAGAACAUCACCCAAAACUUGAAAAGUUCACAACACAAAACUUAAACAGAAACUCGUGAUAACAUUAGCACAAGAAAACAAACUACCACCUCCUUAGGUACUGUAGCACUCUUGAUUUCUAUUUAUAUUGGUGUUAGAUUACUGUAUUCUCACUUUUCCAUGGCUAGUACCCCCCGAUACUAUCCAUAGUUUCAUCAAAACAAGCAACCAACUCAACAAAAACAGAAUCUAUCAAAAACAAACUAGUCUGUAGCAAUCUGUAUGCUUCGUAUACUUAUGGUACCUCACAAAUUCUGAAAAAUUACGACUGCCUGGGAAAAAGGCAUAUUAACCAGCAGCAAAAAGAUUCAACUCAAAAUCUCUGUCUGAAUAAAAAUGAAAAAUAAUCUCGUGAGCGAAAGGUUUCUGUCUUUUUCCAGCAGGAUAAAACAACCAUCACCAAAACUAGUAAUAAAGGUUUUGCUUGGCUCAAACACAGAAAGAAACACAAAAGACACAAUCAUAACAGAAUUAUGAUGGUAUGGACGCAACAAAACAGAAAGAAAAAGAUAAAUUCAUUGGGUUGCCUCCCAACAAGCGCUAUUGUUUAACGCCCUUAGCUAGGCAUUGAUAAAUCAAUGAUGCUCACAUGAAAGACAAGAAUUGAAGCACGACGAGAGCAUCAUAAAGCAUGUGAAAAUCACAUCUAAGUCUAACAUACUUCCUAUGCAUAGGCAUUCUAUAGGAAAACAGAUUGUCAAGACAACCAAUAGUUACCAUAUGCAAGGAAGAAGAAAGAGACAAUAGCGAUCUCAACACAACGAGAGGUGGUUUAGUAACAUGAAAGUUUCUACCACAAUAUUUUCCUCUAUCAUAAUAAUUACAUGUGGGAUCAUAUUCAAAUUCAACAAUAUAUCUAUCUCAUAGGAUAUUCUUUUCAUGAUCCACAUGCAUGCAAAGUUGACGNNNNNNNNNNNNNNNNNNNNNNNNNNNNNNNNNNNNNNNNNNNNNNNNNUCUUCAAAAAUAGUGGGAUUAUCAUCAACUAAAGUCAUGACUUCUCCAAACCCACUUUCAAUAAUAUUGCAGAUAUCAUAUUCAUCAUGAGGUUUAAACAAAUUUUCAAGAUCAUAAGAAAAAUCAUCACCCCAUUCAUGAUCAUUGCAACAAGUAGAGGACAUAGCAAAACUAGCAUCCCCAAGCUUAGGGUUUUGCAUAUUUUUAGCAUGAUUGACACCAAUAGGAUUUAUAGUGAAACCAUUGCAAUCAUGCUUUUCAUUCAAGGAGCCCUCGUGAAUCACUUCAUAAAUUUCUUCAUCACAAUUUUCAGAUUCACGCAUCUCAAGCAAAACACCAUAGAGAAAGUCAAGUGCACUCAACUCACUAGCAAUUGGAUCAACAUAAUUGGAUCUCUUAAAGAGAUUAGCAAGUGGAUGAGGAUCCAUAUCACUAGAUUUUCAGCUAGCGAAGAUGCAAGCAUAUUGAAGGCACAUAGCACACAAGUGAACAGAAAGCAAGCGGAAGAAAAGGGCGAACGAAAAAGGCAAACGAAAAAGGCAAAUAUUUUUGUAAAUUUUUGUUUUUCAGAAGUGGGGGAGAGGAAAACGAGAGGCAAAAAAGGUAAAUGCAAGAGAUGAGUUUGCGACACUUACUUGCAUGAGUUCUUGACUUGAUCCUCCCCGGCAACGGCGCCAGAAAUUCUUCUGCUACAGUGACAGAAAUCUUCUGUCGUCUCUUGAGCUUGCGUUGGUUUUUCCCUUGAAGAGGAAAGGGCUAUGCAGCACAUGAGCAGUAAGUAUUUCCCUCAGUUUGAGAACCAAGGUAUCAAUCCAUUAGGAGAAUCUUGUCAAGUCCAGAGUACCUGCACAAACACAAAAGAGCUUGCACCCAACGCUAUAAAGGGGUUGUCAAUCCCUUCUAGAUUGAUUGCAAACUGAGAUCUGAAGGCGGAAAGUGCAAUGAAGAAAAAGUGUAAGGCUGAAAAUAUGGUGUGAAGUAGACCCGGGGGCCAUACUGUUCACUAGAGGCUUCUCUCAAAAUAGCAAAUAUUAUGGUGGGUGAACAAAUUACUGUCGAGCAAUUGAUAGAACCGCGCAAAGUCAUGAUGAUAUAUAAUGCAAUGAUCAUACAUAUAGGCAUCACGUCCGAGACAAGUAGACCGAUACUUUCUGCAUAUACUACUAUUACUCCACACAUCGACCGCUAUCCAGCAUGCAUCUAGUGUAUUGAAUUCAUGACGAACAGAGUAACGCUUUAAGCAAGAUGACAUGAUGUAGAGGGAUAAACUCAAACCUAUGAUGAAAACCCCUUCUUUUUACCCUUGAUGGCAACAACACGAUGCGUGCCUCGCUAUCCCUUUUGUCACUGGGUGAGGUCACCGCACGGUAUGAUCCCAAAAUCAAGCACUUCUCCCAUUGCAAGAAUCAUAGAUCAAGCUGGCCAAACAAAACCCACAACUCGAAGAGAAUUACAAGGAUAUGAAAUCAUGCAUAAGAGAGAUCAGAAGAAACUCAAAUAAGAUUCAUAGAUAAUCUGAUCAUAAAUCCACAAUUCAUCGGAUCUCGACAAACACACCGCAAAAGAAGAUUACAUUGGAUAGAUCUCCAUGAAGAUCAUGGAGAACUUUGUAUUGAAGAUCCAAGAGAGAGAAGAAGCCAUCUAGCUACUAACUACGGACCCGUAGGUCUGAAGUGGACUACUCACGAGUCAUUGGAGAGGCGAUGAUGUUGAUGUAGAAGCUCUCCAGCUCCAAAGUCCCCUCCGACAGGGCACCGGGAAGGGUCUCCAGAUGAGAUCUCGCGGAAACGGAAGCUUUUGUAGAACAUGCCCCAGAUGGGAUCUUGCGGAGAGAGAAGCUUGCGGCGACGGAAAAUUACUUUCGAUGAUCACCUGUUUUUUUCUGGAAUUUAUGGGAAUAUAUAGGCGAAAGAUCUAGGGCAGAGGUGGCCCAGGGAGCCCACAAGCCUGGGAGGCGACCCCCUGGCCGUGGCUAGGGGGCUUGUGGGGUCCCUGCUGGCCCCCUGCCUUGGUUCUCAAGCUUCCCUAUCUUCUUCUGUUUUGGAAAAAAUCUUUUUGGAAGUUUCGUUCCGUUUGGACUCCGUUUAAAAUCCUCCUCUGAAAGGGGUCAAAAACAUGGAAAAAACAGGAACUGGCACUUGGCACUGAGUUAAUAAGUUAGUCCCAAAAAGAUAUAAAAGUCAUACAAAUCAUCCAAAGUUUGACAGGAUAAUAGCAUGAAACCAUCAAAAAAUAUAGAUACGUUGGAGACGUAUGAGUGUCCUCCGUAGGCCUCGGAGUGACACUUCUGUAGGAUCUAUCCCUAUUCAUGUUGAGGUACACAAUGUCUAAUAACACCAUCUACUCCUUCCUUAUAAAGGUGAGGAUCAUCCCAAAAGUAAUGUCUCAAGUCAAAGAAGAAUUUCUUCUUUUGCUGGUACGUGAAACUAGGUGGUAUGUAUUUGGCAACGAUAUAGUUCGCAUAAUCAGCAUACCACGAUGCACUACGUGAAGCAUUGAUGACAUUCAAUUGCUCAUCCGGAAAGCUAUCAUCAAUAGGUUGUGGGUCAUCAAGAACGUUCUCCAACCUAGACAAGUUAUCUGCUACUGGGUUAUCAGCACCCUUUCUAUCGGCCACGUGCAAAUCAAAUUCUUGUAGCAAGAGAACCCAUCUGAUAAGUCUAGGUUUAGCGUCUUUCUUCUCCAUGAGGUAAUUAAUAGCAGCAUGAUCGGUGUGAAUAGUGACUUUGGAAUCAACUAUGUAAGACCUGAACUUUUCACAUGCAAACAUGAUUGCUAAAAAUUCAUUUUUCGUAAUAGCAUAGUUUCUUUGGGCACUGUCUAGAGUUUUACUAGCAUAGUGAAUAACAUUCAACUUCUUAUCAACUCUUUGCCCUAGGACAUCACCAAUAGCAUAAUCACUAGCAUCACACAUGAUUUCAAAAGGUAAGUUCCAAUCAGGUGGUUGAACAAUAGGAGCAGUUAUCAAAGCCUUCUUAAGUAUUUCGAAGGCUUCCUCACAAUCAUCGUCAAAAACAAAAGGAAUAUCCUUUUGCAAGAGAUUGGUAAGAGGCCUAGAAAUCUUAGAGAAGUCUUUAAUAAACCUUCUAUAGAAACCAGCAUGACCAAGGAAACUUCUUAUACCUUUGAUAUCUGUGGGGUAUGGCAUUUUCUCGAUCGCAUCAACCCUAGCCUUAUCGACUUCAAUACCUCUUUCAGAAAUUUUAUGUCCUAAGACAAUGUCUUCAUUAACCAUAAAGUGGCACUUCUCCCAAUUCAAGACAAGAUUGGUGUCUUUACAUCUCUGCAAGACUCGAUCAAGGUUGCUGAGGCAAUCAUCAAAAGAAGACCCGUAGACGGAGAAGUCAUCCAUGAAACUCUCGACAAUCUUUUCACAAAAGUCAGAUAAUAUAGCCAUCAUACAUCUUUGAAAGGUGGCAGGUGCAUUACAUAAGCCAAAAGGCAUACGUCUGUAAGCAAAGGUACCGAAAGGGCAGGUGAAAGUGGUUUUCUCCUGAUCAGAUCGUGCAACAGGUAUUUGGGAGAAACCAGAAUAACCAUCUAGAAAGCAGAAGUGUGUGUAUUUAGACAGUCUUUCUAGCAUUUGGUCGAUAAAAUGUAAAGGGUAAUGAUCUUUCCUAGUGGCCUUAUUCAAUUUCCUAAAAUCAAUCACCAUUAUAUAGCCAGUAAUAAUCUUGUGUGGGAUCAAUUCAUCCUUAUCACUAGGGACAACAGUAAUGCCUCCCUUCUUAGGGACACAAUGCACCGGACUCACCCAAUCACUAUGAGCAACAGGAUAGAUAAUACCUGCUUCUAGGAGCUUUAAUAUUUCUUUUCUUACUACCUCUUUCAUCUUAGGAUUUAAUCUCCUUUGAUGAUCAGCAACUGGUUUGGAAUCAGGAUCAGUUUUAAUCUUGUGCUGGCAUAGAGUGGGACUAAUGCCCUUAAGAUCAUCAAGAGUAUAUCCAAUAGCAGCACGGUGCUUUCUUAGAGUUUUUAGUAACUUCUUUUCUUCAUACUCUGAGAGGCUAGCACUAAUUAUGACAGGAUAUAUCUCUUUUUCAUCAAGAUAAGCAUACUUAAGAGUAUCAGGCAACUGUUUAAGCUCGAACACAGGAUCACCUUUUGGUGGGGGUGGAUCCCCAAGCAGUUCAACACGCAAGUUAUUCUUAAGAAUAGGAUAUUGUUCUAGGACAACUCUAUCUAUCUCAUCCCUAUCAUCCAUAUGCAUAUCAUUUUCAUGCUCAAGCAAGUAUUGUGCUAAGGGAUCAGUAGGAGGCACGACAAUAGAAGCUAAGGCAAUAGUUUCAUCCUUACUAGGCAACUCCUUUUCAUGAGGUUGUCUACCAAACUUGGAGAAAUUGCACUCGUGUGACACACCUUCAAAGCCAACAAUGACAGUUUGCUUCUCACAGUCAAUAUGAGCAUUAACGGUAUUGAGGAAGGGUCUGCCAAAUAUGAUGGGACAAAAGCUAUCUUGGGUGGUAGCAAGAACGAGAAAAUCAGCAGGAUACUUCGUUUUACCACACAAGACUUCAACAUCAAUAGGCUCUAUCUCAACAGGUGCAAUCUCGUCUUUCAUUUCAUCAUAUAAGGAUUGAGGUAUUGCACUAACACUAGCACCCACGUCACAUAAACCAUGAUAACAAUGAUAUCUGAUCUUAACAAAAACAACCGACGUGCCAACAACAGGCCUAUGUUUGUCUCUAGCGUGUGGUUUAGCAAUUCUAGCAGGAUCUUCACAGAAGUGAAUAUUAUGGCCAUCAACAUUGUCGGAAAGGAGAUCUUUGAUAAUAGCAAUGCUAGGUUCAACUCUAAUUUUCUCACGGGGUGUAGGUGUUCUAAUGUAGCAUCUACGUAUCACAGUUGAAGCUUUAGAAUGAUCAUUCAUCCUAACAGGGAAAGAUGGUUUCUCAAUCUAAGCACUCGGAACAAUAGGAUCAUUAUAGGCAAUGACUUUCUCUUCAACUGGAUUGGGUUUAACUACAUUGACUUCUAAGGGAGGAUGAUAUUUAAACCACUUCUUUUUAGGGAGAUCAAUAUGAGCAACAAAUGAUUCACAUAAUGAAGCUACUAUCUCAGAGUCAAGUCCAUGCUUAGCGCUAAAAUCACGAAAAGUAUUUGUUUCAACAAAGGAGUUAACGCAAUCAAACUUGAAAUUCAUACCUGACUCCUUACCUUCAUCAAGCUCCCAAUCUUCAGAGUUGUGUUUAGAUCUUUCCAAUAAAUUCCAUUUGAAGUCAAUAUCUCUCUUCAUAAAAGAACCAGUACAAGAAGUGUCAAGCAUGGUGCGAUCAUCAUGAGAAAGCCGAGCAUAGAAGUUCUGGAUGAUAAUUUCUCUCGAGAGCUCAUGGUUGGAGCAUGAAUAAAACAUUGAUUUAAGCCUCCCCAAGCUUGAGCGAUGAUUUCUCUGUCACGAGGCCAAAAAUUAUAAAUAUAAUUCCAUUCACGAUGUACUAGAUGCAUAGGAUAAAACUUUUGAUGAAAUUCCAAUUUCAACCGAUUGUAGUUCCAUGAUCCAGUAUCAUCACAUAGCCUAUACCAUGUCAACGCCUUAUCCCUCAAAGAUGCGGGAAAGACCUUCUUCUUGACCUCAUCCUCGGGAAAACCUGCAAGCUUAAAUAAACCACAAACUUCAUCUACAUAUAUUAGAUGCAAGUCUGGAUGUGAUGUUCCAUCUCGUGUAAAAGGAUUAGCCAGCAGUUUCUCAAGCAUACCCGAAGGAAAUUCAAUGCAAAUAUUUUCAGUAGGUGCAACAGGUUGAGGAGCAACUCUUUGUGCUUCCGUUCGAGGUGAAGAUACCCCGAACAAGCCCCUCAAAGGAUUAGUUUCCAUAGUGACAAGUGACAAUAAAUUUCAGCACACUAUAUGAAUGUUUCCUUACCAAGUUCCGCUUACCAAAGGCGCUUCACUCCCCGGCAACGGCGCCAGAAAAGAGUCUUGAUGACCCACAAGUAUAGGGGAUCUAUCAUAGUACUUUCGAUAAGUAAGAGUGUCGAACCCAACAAGGAGCAGAAGGAUCUCACAAGUGGUUUUCAGCAAGGUAAAAUCUGCAAGCACUGAAAUUAUCGGUAACAAGUAGUUGUGUGGUGAGAUGAUUCGUAGCAAGCAACAAGUAACAAAAGCAGCAACGGUGCAGCAAAGUGGCCCAAUCCCUUUUGUAGCAAGGGACAAGCAUGGACAAAGUCUUAUAGGAGGUAAAAUGCUCCCGAGGACACAUGGGAAUUUUUGUCAAGCUAGUUUUCAUCAUGUUCAUAUGAUUUGCGUUUGUUACUUUGAUAGUUUGAUAUGUGGGUGGACCGGCGCUUGGAUACUGCCCUUACUUGGACAAGCAUCCCACUUACGAUUAACCCCUCUCGCAAGCAUCCGCAACUACGAAAGAAGAAUUAAGACAAAGUCUAACCAUUGCAUUAAACUAGUGGAUCCAAAUCAGCCCCUUACGAAGCAACGCAUAAACUAAGCUUCUGUCACUCUAGCAUCCAUCAUCUACUUACUACUUCCCAAUGCCUUCCUCAAUGCCCAAAUAAUGGUGAAGUGUUAUGUAGUCGACGUUCACAUAACACCACUAGAGGAAAAACAACAUACAACACAUCAAAUUACCGAACGAAUACCAAAUUCACAUGACUACUUAUAGCAAGACUUAUCCCAUGUCCUCAGGAACAAAAGUAACUACUCACCAAGCAUAAUCAUAUUCAUGACCAGAGAGGUAAUGAGUAGCAUCAAGGAUUUGAACAUAAACUGUAACAUCCCAAAUUUUGGAAUGUUAAAAUAAUUAUUAGAUUGUUUGUUUGUUUGAUUGAGUGAUUGAAACUUGAGUGGAGUUUGAAACUUUUCAAAAACUUUUGAAUGAGAGGGAAUGAAAUGACUUUCCCCUUCUCCGGUAAAUUCAAAUUCAUCCAAUUAAAAGCAAUGAGAGAAGAUGACAUGACCUCUUCAACUAUAAAGAAUUUGAACGGAGUUUUGCAUUUGAAUUCUUUCAAAUAUUUGCCCUUGCUUCUAUAUUUUUCUUCCCCGAGAAAUACCCCGAAAAUAAUCCUUGCCAAGCAAGAAAGAGAGGAGGAACAUGACCCUCCAGACCCGGGAUAUUUCUUUGAAAUAUUUGGACCAUAAAACCCAAGGUUUAUUUGAAAAAUAUUUGCAAAAAAGAAAAUAAACCAAUUUAGGGAUUUUCUAAAAAAAACAUUUUUUUGAAGUAUUUAUUUUGGUAGUGGAAAAAUGCCCAUCUUUUUAGAUUUAUUUUUCUGAAAAAUUUAAUAUAUUAUACCUCUAUAUUCCGAGGAUAUUCUAUUUCCUUUUAAUCGUAUUAAUUNNNNNNNNNNNNNNNNNNNNNNNNNNNNNNNNNNNNNNNNNNNNNNNNNNNNNNNNNNUCCUGUUUUAAUAAAAAGGGGAAGAGAUCUCUUAUUUUAGGAAUGUACUUGGGCCACGUUAGGAAACUAAUCUGGCCCAAUCCCACCUUCUUCUUCCUCCUCACGAGCUUCCUUCUGUGGCCAUGGCAGAAGCUUCCCAGGAAGCUUCCCUCCCCCGAUUCGCGGGCUACACUUCCUUCCCGAGCCUCCCACCACCCCUAUAAGAACGCCCCUCCUCUCCUCGUUCCAUUUUCCCCAUCAGCUCGUCCUCUCCCUGCCCGUAGCCACGACGCCCCCACCAUUGUUGUUCCUGCAAGGAGCCGAACAUAAGAACACCCAGGAGCACCUGACGCCCCCUUCCUCGCCUCCGGGACCCCCUCCACCGUUACCCCUCCCCGCCAGCGACCUCCCCACCUUGCCGGAGCACCUACCUCGCCGGAGUUCUUCCUCUCUGUCACCCAUGGUGAGAUUCACGAAAUCCCGUAUUGCAGUUUUUUCAGAAAAUUGCAAUCUUAGAAAAUUCAUAUCUAUUAGUCUAUAACUCCGAAUUAGGUGAUUCUUUUUGCGUUGGAUCAUAAAUUUUAUGUACUUUCUGUAGAUAUAUAAUUUGUCUAUGUUUGGAUUUAUAAAAAUUGAGUUAGAUCAGAUUUGAAUUAAAGCUUGUUUUGCUUAUUUCGGGAGUUUAAAAAUAGCUUUUAAUUUGAUUCUUUUUGCUGCUGCUUCCUAUUGAUCAUAUCUUUCAGUAGUUUAAGUUUCCAUUUUUUAAAAAUAUUUUCUACUUAGGGUUUUAAGCAAAACAGAUUCUGUUUUAGCCUUUUUUGUUUUCUUGCUAUUUCUUUUGUAUUAAUUGUUCUUAAUUUGUUUUUUUUGUAAUUGUGACAAGUUAUAAUUUGUUUUCUGAUAUUUACCAGUAACUUUUCAACAACAACAAAAUUUUAUUUUAUUUAUUCUUAUUUGGUUGCAUGGAAUCAAUUCUAGUUCUAUACUAACUUGCGAAUUGAUUGCAUUGCUAGUUUGAUUUCCUAUUUUGAAAAUACUUAUAAAAAAAUAUUGUUUUGUAAAUUUUACUUCUGUUAUCUUAGUUAUUUUAUAUUUUGUUUUCUGUUAUUUUUUCCAUUUUAGUGUUUUAUUUUCAGUUAGAACAAAAACUAUAUAGUGUUUGAUGUAGUAGAAGACUCCCUAGUCUUAUUUGAAGUUUCCUUCGGAAUUCCUAUUCGCUCUCUCUCUUGUUUUGAUUUCUAGAAUGAUUGCUAGUAUGAGUGCUUAUGUGAAUGAUAUGUUUGUUAUAUAGAUUUCAUCGGAGAGUGACGACUAGUCUAUCAAGUUAUUUCUCGAGAAAUUCUUCUUCGUCAACAUCACCAGGCAAGUCAUUUUGAUCAUACUAUCACCUAUGUUUUAUGCAUCGUAGUUCUACCAUCCUAUGCCCAAUUGCAUGCUGCUUAGGUACUCGGAAAUUUUAGUAAAGGUUGUAGUAUCAUGUGGUAGGCACACAACAACCCCGAUACUUGGCCCCGGGACGACAAAUUUCAUAUUGCUAUGCUUGAGUAGACGGGAUUUCGGUUGAGUGCAUAACACGAGUGAUGCGAGGUUGAUUAAAUAAUCAAGACCGGUUAAGACAAGCUUUUCAAGACCUUGGACGCAAUGCAACUCUGGGUGAAGGACGGUUGAUCAGCUCCCAGAAGAACCCAGUGGAUGACCCGGGAUGCUGGAGAGGCCAUGACAUCAUGCGGAAAGCUUUACCCAGGCUCAAAGGGACGGACGGAUAUUUUCAAGACCAAAGGCUUACCUGCACAGCCACAAGUCAUUAUGGGCUCUGGCUUGGUUGGACAACGCGGCGACUCUGGACAGGCGGUGCUAGCAGAUGUAGAAGAACGGUAGGAUUGGAUGGGCACCGACAGGGAUUCAGAGGGACCUGUUGAAAGACCAUGUUUUGAUCAUCCGGUCUUCAAACACCCUGAAGUGCGAGGACAUACUCGGAGGCGGUCAAAUCUUGUGGGGAACGUGUGCAAAACUCUGCAUAGUACUCAAACCUAAUCGAUUAGCCGUGUCCACAGUCAUGGACAACUUGAGCCAAAGGAACUGAAGUUAUCUGGAUUUCUCAGCACCAUUAAAUAUAUUUGAUGAGGGUAAUUAUUGACAACUCGGGUACGAGAACUGGUUGGCGAAACCAUCUCGUUAACAACCAACAAAGUAGUAACAUUUUGCUUUUAGCCCACUCUUGUUGUAGGAGAAAAACUUGCUUUUCGCUAAAAACUUAAAGCCCCACCUGCCAUAUAUGCAUAUAGUAUAGAUGAUUACUUUUCACCCCUCUCUUAUGUGACUUGCCGGCAUAUUCAAUAUGCUGACCUACACGGCUGCAACGUCUUAUGUUGCAGAUAUUUUUCUUCGACGAGUAAGAGUACGAUUCAGGGUUACGGUCUACACUCAACUUGCCGUUGGUGUUUAUUGGGACUCCACUCCCUUGACUGCUUCCGCUGAAAUAUUUAAGGUAUAUAUCAGUUUUACGCUAUUUACAUGUGAUUGCACUUUGAUAUAUACAUUGAUGUACUGUGUGUGCCAGCAUACUGAUCCAGGGAUGGCACAGAAACACAGAGGCUUGACUCGUCUUGAGUCGGGUCGCUACAUAAACUCUUCCACAAAGUAAUCCAACUAGCAUCAACUACAAAGAGUAAUUAACACUACUAGCAACCUUACAAGUACCAAUCAGAGUCGCGAGACGGAGAUUGGUUACAAGAUAUGAACUAGGGUUUGGAGAUGAGAUGGUUAUGAUGAAGAUGUUGAUGGUGACGAGUCCCCUCCGAUGAGAGGAGUGUUGGUGAUGAUGAUGGCGACGAUUUCCCCCUCCGAGAGCGAAGUUUCCCCGGCAGGAUCGUCCUGCCGGAGCUCUAGAUUAGUUCUGCUCAAGUUCCGCCUCGUGGCGGCGGCGAAUCCUCCGAAAAGCCUCCUCCUGAUUUUUUUCCAGACCGAAACCCUUCUUAUAGCAAAAGGAGGGAGCCAUAGGGCCAGCUGGGAGCCCACAAGCCCCCUAGGCGCGGCUGGGGGGGAGGGUCGCGCCUAGCAGGCUUGUGGCCCCCUGCUGGCGCCCCUCCGGCACUUCUUCGGCCCAGUAUUUUUUAUAAAUCCCAAAAAAAAUCCACGUUGAUUUUCACAGCUUUUGGAGUUGCGCAGAAUAGGCAUCUUGAACUUGCUCCUUUUUCAGGCCAGAAUUCCACCUGCCGGCAUUCUCCCUCUUCAUGUAAACUUUGCAAAAUAAGAGAGAAAAGGCAUAAAUAUUGUACCGUGAAGUGAAAUAACAGCCCAAGAAGCGAUAAAUAUCAACAUGAAAGCAUGAUGCAAAAUGGACGUAUCAGCUGCCUCUACCAUCGAGAUUAGUGUCAAACCUAAAUAAUUGUUAUUUGGUGUUUUGCGUUGAGCAUGAACUUAAUUGGAUUAUGUUUAUUGCAAUACGGUUAUUCAUUUAAAGAGAAUAAUGGUUAUUAUGUUUACUUGAAUAAUACCUUCAAUGCUCUUUCUCCUAAAAUGAAUGGUUUAUUGAAUCACGAUCGUAGUGAUACACAUGUUCAUAACAUUGUUGCCAAAAGAUACAAAGUAGUAAUGAUAGUACCACUUACUUGUGGCACUACCGCUUGACUCAUAUUUGUAUAAAAUGCAUGAAGAAGCUCCAUGUUGAUGGAUCUUGGUACUCACUCAUUUUUGAAACGUUUGAGACAUGCAAACCACGCCUAUUGGUAUAAACGCAUGAAGAAACUCCAUGCAGAUGGAUCUUUUGGACUCACUUGAUUUUGAAUCACUUGAGACAUGCAAAUCAUACCACAUGGGCAAGAUGACUGAAGACCUCAUUUUCAGUGAGAUGGAACAAGAAAGUACCUUUUUGGAAGUAAUACAUUUUGAUGUGUGCAGUCCAAUGAGUAUUGAGGCACGCAGUGGAAAUCAUUAUGUUCUUACUUCGUAAUUGAUUUGAGUAGAUACUACUAUAUUUACUUGAUGAAACACAAGUCUGAAUUAUUGAAAGGUUCAAGUAAUUGCAGAGUGAAGUUAAAGAUCAUCGUGAUAAGAGGAUUAUAUGUCUACGAUGUGAUCGUGGAGGUAAACAUAUAUAUAUGAGUUGCGAGUUUGGUAAACAUUGAAGACAAUGUGAAAAUUGUUUCACGUGAAAAUUGUUUCACAACUCAUGGCACCUGGAACACCAUAGUGUGAUGGUGUGUUUGUAUGUCAUAUUCGUGCCCUAUUAGAUGUGGUGCAUACUAUGAUGUCUCUUAUCAAAUUACCACUAUCGUUUAUGGCUUAGGCAUUACAAACAACCGCAUUCACCUUAAAUAGGGCACAACAGAAUUCCAUUGAGAUGACACCGUAUGAACUAUGGUUUAGAGAAACCUAAGAUGUUGUUUCUUAAAAGUUUGGGGCUGCGAUGCUUAUGAGAAAGAGUUUCAACCUGAUAAGGUCGAACCCAAAGUGGAUAAAGGCGUCUUCAUAGGACACCCAAAACAGUUGGGUAUACCUCCUAUCUCAAAUCCGGAAGCAAAGUGUUUGUUUCUAGAAACAGGUCCUUUCUCGAGGAAAAGUUUCUCUCGACAGAAUUGAGUGGGAGGAUGGUGGAAACUUGAUGAGGUUAUUGAACCAUCACUUCAAAGAAGUGUGUGUAGGAGGGUGCAGUAAGUUGUUCCUAUGGCGUCUACACCAAUUGAAAUGGAAGCGGAUGAUAGUGAUCAUGAAGCUUCGGAUCAAGUCACUACCAAACCUCGUAGGUCGACAAGGAUACUACUCUAGAGUGGUACGGUAAUCCUGUCUUGGAGGUCAUGUUAUUGGACAACAAUGAACCUACGAGCUAUGGAGAAGCAAUGGUGGUCCUGGAUUCCGACAAAUGGCUGGAGGCCAUGAAAUCCGAGAGAGGAUCCAUGUAUGAAUACAAAGUGUAGACUUUGAAAGAACUACUUGAUGGUCAUAAGAGUGUUAACUAGAGAUGGAUCUUUCAAAGGGAAGACAGACGAUGAUGGUGAAAAUUCACCAUUAAGAAAGCUCGACUUGUCGCAAAGAUAUUUCUGACAAGUUCAAAGAGUUGACUACGAUGAAGACUUUCUCACUCGUAGCGAUGUUGAAAGUCUGUUGGAAUUAUGUGCCUAAUAUAACUUUCAACGAAAUGCAUGCCUUGACAAGUUUUUGAAGGAGUUAAAAAUAGAUCAGCAAAGAAGGGGUUCUUGGCUGUGUUAUAAGGUGUGAAUAUUGAGUCGCACUCAAUACCCGACCAUGGCAGAAGAAAGAGAAAGGAUGAAGGUCAUUCCCUAUGCAUUAGCCAUAGGGUCUAUAGUAUGAUAUGUUGUGUACCGCACCUGAAGUGUGCCUUGCCAUGAGUCAGUCAAGGGGUACAACAGUGAUCCAGGAAUGGAUCACUGGACAACGGUCAAAGUUAUCCUUAGUAACUAGUGGACUAAGCAAUUUUUCUCGAUUAUGGAGGUGGUAAAAGGAGUUCACCGUAAAGGAUUACGGCGAUGCAAGCUUUGUCACUAAUCCCGAUGACUCUAAGUAGUAAACCGGAUUCAUAUAGUGGAGCAGUCAUUUGGAAUGGUUCCAAAUGGCAUGUGGUAGUAGCAUCUACAAAGAUGACAUAGAUUUUUGUAAAGCACACACGGAUCUCAAAGAUUUAGACCCGUUGACUAAAAAAACUCUCUCACAAGCAAGACAUCAUCGAACCCCAGAACUGUAUGGGUGUUAGAUUCAUUGCAAUCACAUAGUGAUGUGAACUAGAUUAUUGACUCUAGUGCAAGUGGGAGAUUGUUGGAAAUAUGCCCUAGAGGCAAUAAUAAAUUAGUUAUUAUUAUAUUUCCUUGUUCGUGAUAAUUGUCUAUUGUUCAUGCUAUAAUUUAUUAACCGGAAACCGUAAUACAUGUGUGAAUACAUAGACCACAACAUGUCCCUAGUGAGCCUCUAGUUGGCUGGCUCAUUUAUCAAUAGAUGGUCAUGGUUUCCUGAUCAUGGACAUUGGAUGUCAUUGAUAACGGGAUCACAUCAUUUGAAGAAUUAUGUGAUGGACAAGACCGAAUCCUAAGCAUAGCACAAGAUCGUGUAGUUCGUCUGCUAUAGCUUUUCUAAUGUCAAGUAUCAUUUCCUUAGACCAUGAGAUUGUACAACUCCCAGAUACCGUAGGAAUGCUUUGGGUGUAUCAAACGUCUCAACAUAACUGGGUGACUAUAAAGUUGCACUAAAGGUAUCUCCGAAAGUGUCUGUUGGGUUGGUACGAAUCGAAACUGGGAUUUGUCACUCCGUGUAACGGAGAGGUAUCUCUGGGCCCACUCCGUAAUACAUCAUCAUAAUGAGCUCAAUGUGACUAAGGAGUUAGUCAUGGGAUCAUGUGUUACGGAAUGAGUAAAGAGACUUGUCAGUAACGAAACUGAACAAGGUAUAUGAAUACCGACGAUCGAAUCUCGGGCAAGUAUCAUACCGAUAGAGAAAGGGAAUUGUAUACGGGAUUAAUUGAAUCCCCGACAUUCUGGUUCAUCCGAUGAGAUCAUCGUGGAACAUGUGGGAGCCAAUAUGGGUAUCCAGAUCCCGCUAUUAGUUAUUGGCCGGAGAGGUGUCUCGGUCAUGUCUGCAUGGUUCCCGAACCCGUAGGGUCUACACACUUAAGGUUCGGUGACGCUAGAGUUGUAAUGGGAAUUGUAUGUGGUUAACAAAAGUUGUUCGGAGUCCCGGAUGAGAUCUCGGACAUCACGAGGAGUUCUAGAAUGGUCUGGAGGUAAAGAUUUAUAUAUGGGAAGUCCUAUUUUGGCCACCGGAAAAUGUACGGGAUUUUUCGGUAUUGUACGAGGAAGGUUCUAGAAGGUUCCGGAGUAGGGCCCACCUACACGGGGUACCCACAUGAAUGUGGGUAGUGGGGGAAAAGCCCCACACCCCUGGUCAAGGUGCUCCAAGAUCCCCCCUUAGAAGGAAUAAGAUCAUAUCCAGAAGGGAUAAGAUCAAGAUCCCUAAAAAGAGGGGAUAACAAUCGGUGGGGAAGGGAAAGAAUGGGAUUUAUUUCCUCCCACCUUUGCCAACGCCCCAAUGGACUUGGAAGGAAAGAAACCAGCCCCCUCCACCCCUAUAUAUAGUGGGGAGGUGCAUGGGAUCCUUACCCCUUGUCCCUAGCACGGCCCUUCCCCCUCCUACACCUCCUCCUCCUCCAUAGUGCUUAGCGAAGCUCUGCCGGGGAACCACGACCUCCACCGCCACCACGCUGUCGUGCUGCCAGAGCUCUCCCUCAACUUAUCCUCCCACCCUUGCUGUAUCAAGAAGGAGGAGACGUCCCGGGGUUGUACGUGUGUUGAACGUGGAGGCGUCGUCCGUUCGGCGCUUGGAUCGGAUCUUCCGCGAUUUGAAUCGGUGCGAGUACGACUCCAUCAACCGCGUUCAUAGUACGGCUUCCGCUCUGCGAUCUUCAAUGGUAUGAAGAUGCUCUACCUCACUCGUUGUUGGUCUCUCCUAGAUGUUCUUGGUGUGAAGUAGGAUUUUUUUUGAAUUAUUACUACGUUCCCCAACACUUUGGACUCACUCGAUUUGAAUUGUUUGAGACAUGCAAACCAUGCCUAUUGUUGUAAAUGCAUAAAGAAACUCCGGGCUAAUGGGUCUUUUGGACACACUUGAUUUUGAAUCACUUGAGACAUGCAAACCAUGCCACAUGGGCAAGAUGAUCGAAGGCCUUGUUUUCCAGUGAGAAGAAACGAACAAGUGACUUACUGGAAAUAAUACAUUUUGAUGUAUGCAGUCCAAUGAGUGUUUAAGCACGCAGUGGAUAUCUUAUGUUCUUACCUCACACAUGAUUUGAGCAGAUGCAACCUACAGGUGUAUUUACUUGAUGAAUCACAAGUCUGAAAAAUUGAAAAGUUCAAGCAAUUUCAGAGUGAAGUGGAAGAUUGUCGUGACAAGAGGAUGAAAUUAUCACGCCCAAGAUGCGACCCUAUCCUCAAUUUGGCACGAAGGCCUCGUCAGGGAUAGAAACGCAUCUCGUCGUGUCGCAAGAAUGGAUAUCGUUACAAGUACAUGUACUGAAAAGGAGAGAUAUAUAAAUAGAGUUGGCUUACACUCUCCACAAGCUACAUCAGAGUCACAUCAGUACAUUACAUAUUCAUCAAGAGUAAGAGCAGGGUCCGACUACGGACGAAAAGAAACGAGAAAAAUAAGAACGACGUCCAUCCUUGCUAUCCCAGGCUGCCGGCCUGGAACCCAUCCUAGAUCGAUGAAGAAGAAGAAGAAGAAGCAACUCCAAAUGAACAAUCAACGCGCUCGCGUCAAGUAACCUUUACCUGUACCUGCAACUGGUGUUGUAGUAAUCUGUGAGCCACAGGGGACUCAUCAAUCUCAUUUCCAAAGGUAUCAAGACUAGCAAAGCCUAUUAGGUGAGGCAUGGUUAAGUGGUGAGGUUGCAGCAGCGGCUAAGCAUAUAUUUGGUGGCUAACUUACGAGUACAAGAAGAUAAGAGGGGGAAGAUCUACGCAUAACGGGCGUGACUACUGAUGAUCAAAUGAAUGAUCCUGAACACCUACCUACGUCAGACAUAAUCCCACCGUGUCCUCGAUCGGAGAAGGAACUCACGAAAGAGACAGUCACGGUUACGCACACAGUUGGCAAGUUUUAUUUAAGUUAACUUCAAGUUAUCUAGAACCAGUGUUAAGCAAAGUUUCCACGUUGCCACAUAACCGCGGGCACGGCUUUCCAAAAAGAUUUAACCCUGCAGGGGUGCUCCAACUAGUCCAUCACAAAUUACCACAAGCCGCAUAGAAAUCCUCGAUCACGACACUCGCGAUCUCGUCGGAUUCCUUAGUGGAAAACCUCAACUCUGAGAUUACCCAAAGCAUCACCGGAAUCCCGAUGCACAAGAUAUCUCGACAAAGGUAAAACUAAUCCAGCAAGGCCGGCCGAUGUGUCGACAAUCCCGAUAGGAGCCGCGUAUCUCGUUCUCAGGACACGACGGAUGAGCACAGCGUACAGUGGCCUGAUAGAAAUCUCCCGAGUUGCCCUGGGUUGGCCCCGCAAACGGCUCUAGUUUUGGACUAGCACCAACAGCACUGUCCCCCCUGUAUUAUGUAGAAUUACUCCUCGGGUAGCCCUAACUCCCUAUGCAUUUCAGAUUAACAGAAUUAUUAUGUUGGGCAAAUAGUACCAAUGUUGGACCUUGCCAGACCAGCUUUAAUCUAAAACGAAUUAUCAAGGGGGUCCCCAUAACAACCCCGAUCGUGUUAGGAGCGCUCAAUUAUGGAACAUAACACCGGUAGCCGAAACUAAGGGGGCAAAGGUGGAACACAACACCAGGCUAGGAAGGCCGAUCCUUCCACCUUUUACCAAGUAUAUAGGUGCAUUAAAUUAAAUAGCAUUAAUAUGGUGAUAUGACAAGGAACCCAUGUUUUCACAUGGAAGCAACUGCACCUGCAACUAGCAACGCUAACACAAGGAUAAGCAAGCGGUAACAUAGCCAAUCAGUGGUUUGCUAGGUUGAACAGGUUGAAGAUUUUCAUGGCAUUAUUGAGAGGCUCAUAUUUAACAUGUGGUAGGCAACGAGACAUAAUCGAUAGAAACGGUAAUACUAGCACGGCAAUGAUAGUAAUGGUAUCUGAGGAAAUGGUCAUCUUGCCUGAGAUCCUGCUUGGAAGAAGAAUGCCUCUGUGAAGCAGACGAACCGACGUAGUCGAACGGGUCCUCACAUCCGACACGCUUGCGGAACUUUAUCGAGACGAAGCAAACCGGAAACAAGCAUCAACACACGAUAUUCACCACACGAUGCACAACACAUAUGAUGCAUGAGCAGCUGAGUACAUGCAAGUCACGGCAUGGCAAUUCACCUCAACCAAAUACUACACAUUAAGUGAAGUUCAAUAUGCAACGAAUUGCAUAUUGACGAAAGUCCACAUUUAUUUAUUUAGUUCUAUCCCGAUUAGAUACACGUCAAUAUUAAAUGUGGUUAAAAAUGGCAAGUGGUGAAGCGUAAUUAAACUACCUAUCUAGGCAUUUUAAAUGAGGUCGGAAAUGUCAUAUAGCACCUCCGAGACGACCUCACAUGUUAAUUUACAAUUCUGUCCAGAUCUGAACUAACACAUUUAGUUGGUUGUUAAACAGAAAAACAAAUAGGUUCACAUGAUUCUACGUGUCAUGGCAAGCAAUUUACACAAAGAGAACAUCUCCAACGGAGUUACGGAUCAAAAGUUACAAGCACCGCAAGGUAUGAUGGCAUGAAUGCAAUAUGUGUACAACGGCGGUCACGAGCACUUCAAAACAUACAACCAUCAAGAGAAAAUGAAACUACACGAGAUUCUAAGCAAGUUUCAUGUAGGACACGAUCAAAUCGGAGCUACGGAUCAAAAACUACGAGCUAAACAAGAAAUCAAUACAAUCUGCCAAAAUCAGCCACAUAGCAUUUUCUACGCCCCACAACUACGAGCUACACAACUCCGAUAAACUCAAGCAAGGCAUGUCACGAAAGAGGGCAAGAAGCACUACUACAAACAACUAACAACAUCNNNNNNNNNNNNNNNNNNNNNNNNNNNNNNNNNNNNNNNNNNNNNNNNNNNNNNNNNNNNNNNNNNNNNNNNNNNNNNNNNNNNNAGAAGACACAAAAUGGCAUCUCACACACUAUUUCAGACUUAGUGAAAAUAGCAGUUUUUGAAGCUGCAGUUUUCGAUCUAAAGCCAUAUUGACAGCAGAAAAACCUAUAGCUACAGGACUCCAAAUGGCAUGAAAAUUUACAGCAUCCUAUAGAAACACAAGGGCUACAACUAACACCAUUGCACCAACCUCAAAAGAACUACAGAUCAAAAGAUAGAAGCUAAACAAAACAGCAACAAAAUAUAACAGAUUCCAGACUUAGAAAUAUUUCAGCUCCUCCAAAUCAGCACUAUUUCUAGCAACUUGAGGGCAAUCAAACCACACCUAAAUAUGCAUUUCUAUUGCAACCAAAAAUACCAGGGGCUAGACAAAACAUCCAAGAACAACUCUCUAGUUGACAACUCCGUCAAACGAAGCACAGAAUAAAACCUACGAAAUAAACAAAAGGGCAUCACGGCAAAAUAUCGCGCGAACUAACUUACUCAAAAGCUAAAACUAAUUGCACAGAAAAAUCCCAUGGAUUUUUCUACCCCGAAAGCAUAUAAAAUACGUGGGGUUGCACAACAACAUAAUGCCACACGAAAAUGCGAGAAAAGUAACCUAGACACGGAAAAAUAAACUAGCGCAAUUCCCUAGACGCAAAUAUACCAAUGACCGCUCUAAAAUACAUGGAAUAAUGGUCUCUAAAACAUAGGCAUUAUAUCUAAGGUACUCGAGCAAUCCGGACCGCAAGAAAAAAUAAAUACGGGAUGUAUCCUAUUAAAACAUCACAUUACUCUAGGCAUACGGUGCGCUAAACGACGCCAAACAAAUAUGCAAGUUGUGAAAUCGUAAUCUACGCGAAAUCCUACACGAGAUACAUAUCUAAAUAUUCGCGAUCCGACUUACAGUUUAGAAACUACGGAUAUUUUAAUAUAUCUAUAUUACUAAGAAUAACUAAUUCGAAUCUCUAAUAUAAAAAAACCUAUUGGGCCGAGUUCUACAACAGUGGCGUACAACACACGGGCGCGGGAUAGAGGCAGGGAAAAAAAUAAAAGAAGUGCUCACCUAUGGGCCGGAUCUGGCCUCGGCGCUGGAAGAGGCCCGGCUUGGCCGGCUGCGGGGCGGAUCUGGCCUACGGGCCAAGGUGGCGACCUGGGCUGUUGCGGGGCCCAGGGGAGGAGGCCCAGGCGGGGAGGCUCUCGUCCCUCUCCUCGUCCCCUCGUCCCCAGACCAGGAGCUGCCGGCGGCGCCGGUUGCUGGCGACGGGCACGGCGGGGCUGAGGCCCGGUGCUCCUAGGGCAGCCAGAUCUGAGCGGCGGGCGCCUGCUCUGGCCGGUUCCCGGCAGCUCUCCAAGGCGGCGCCGACCUGCGCGGGAGAGACGAGGCGGCAGUGGCUUGAAUCGGCGGCCAUGGGACCUCCUGGAGGUCACCGGCGGCGGGGACAGAAGGCGGCGCGGAGGACGGCGGCGCUCCGAUGGGUUUCCGUCGAGCGGCGGCCGGAGGCGAGGCCGACGGGGAGAUGCGGUGGCGCGGGCACGAGGAGCUCGGCCAGGGGGAGGCCAUGGACGGGAGCUGCGGGAUCCGGAGGCUACGGCGGCGGAUGGGCCUCGAGCGGGCCUCGAUCGGGCCUCGUGGGCCGGCGGCGCUCGUGGGGAGAGAGGCUGCGGCUAGGGUUUCGGGGCUGGCACGAAUUUCGAGGAUAGAGGGGAGGGGCUGUCUAAAAAUAUGAUGGAGGGGUAUUUAUAGAGAAAAGAGGGGCUAGGUUUAACCGGAAUCGCGUUCCGGAUCCAACCGCGGGGUCGGAUUCGGACGAUUCCGAACGCGGGAACGGUUACGUGGCCGUGUAGAGUGGAUAUCCGGAGACGAGAGGGAGAACGGGUGGCGCGGCAACGAAUUUUAAAACACCGACAGACGUCCGACGGUAGACCGAAUACGGUGCCGCUACGGUCGAUCGUUCGGGGACCGGACGAAAUCCAAUCGCGACGAAAUUCGACACGCGGUCUAGCGUAACUAAUUACGAUCGCAUGCCAAGUUUCACCCCGAUCAGAGAAAGUUUUACACGCACUUUUAAAAUAGGGUUUCGACGGUGUCGCGGGAGCGUGCGUGUGCGGUCGGGCUCAGAACGGACAACGACGAGAACCGGCAACUAACAACGGAUGCAAGUUUCGAAAACUGGCGGCCACGGGAUGCCGAUGCAAUGCAGAUGAUGCGCAUGAUGCGAUGAUGAUGCGACAAAAGAAAAUAGACACACGACGAAAACGGAAUAGAAGGGGAAUCUUCUGGAACGUCGGUCUCGGGCUGGCACAGAAAUGUCUAUGAUGUGAUCGUAGAGGCGAAUAUCUGAGUUGCAAGUUUGCUAUACAUUUAAGACAAUGUGGAAAUUGUUUCACAACUCAUGCCACGUGGAACACCGUAGUGUGAUGGUGUGUCCAAACGUCGUAGCCACGCCCUAUUGGAUGGGGCAUACUAUGAUGUCUCUUAUCGAAUUACCACUAUCAUUCUGGGAUUUUGCAUUAGAGACAACCACAUUCACUUUAAAUAGGGCACCAUAUAUUUCCGUUGAGAUGACACCAUAUUAACUAUGGUUUGGCGACAAACCUAAGCUAUAUUUUCUUAAAUUUUGGGGCUACAAUGCUUAUGUCCAAAGGCUUCAGCCCGAUAAGCUCGAACCCAAAGCGUAUAAAUGUGUCUUCAUAGGAUACCCAAAACAGUUGGGUAUACCUCCCAUCUCAGAUUCGAAAGCAAAGUGUUUGUAGCCAAAAACGGGUCCUUUCUCGAGAAAGAGUUUCUGUUGAAAGAAUUGAGUGGGAGGAUGGUGGAACUUGAUGAGGUUUUUGAACCGUCACUUCAACCAGAGAGUAGAAGUGCGCAUGAAGUUGUUCCUAUGGUGCUUACACUAGUGGAAGUGGAAGCUGAUGAUGAUCAUCAUGAAGCUUCGGUUAAAUUUACUACCAAACCUCGUAGGUCGACAAGGAUACGUACUACUUCAGAAUGGUACGGUAAUCCUGUCUUGGAGGUCAUGUUGUUGGACAACAAUGAACCUACGAGCUAUGGAGAAGCGAUGGUGGGCCCGGAUUCCGACCAAUGGCUGGAGGCCAUGAAAUCUGAGAUAGGAUCCAUGUAUGAAACCAAAGUGUGGACUUUCGAAGGACUACUUGAUGGUCGUAAGGCUAUUAAGUACAAAUGGAUCUUUAAAAGGAAGACAUACGAUGAUGGUAAGUGUCACCAUCCAGAAAGCUCGACUUGUCGCAAAGAUGUUUUUGAAAAGUUCAAGGAGUUGAAUAUGAUGGACUUACUCACUCAUAGCGAUGCUAAAGUGUGCUGGAAUUAUGUUAGAAGUUGCUGCAUUUUUCAAUUAUGAAAUAUGGCAGAUGGAUGCCAAAACAUUGUUUCCUUAACGGGUUCCUAAAGGAAAGGUUGUAUGUGAUACAACCAAAAGGUUUUGUCGAUCCUAAGGGUGGUAAAAGGCAUGCCAUCUCCAGCGAUCCAUUUAUGGACUGGAUCAAAGUUUAUGAGAAACUCGUAUUUACAAGAAAGUGAGUGGGAGCAAUAUAAAAUUUCUGAUAAGUAUACGUGGUUGACAUAUUGUUGAUCGGAAAUGAUGUAGAAUUUCUAGAAAGCAUAUAGGGUUGUUUGAAACGAGUUGUUUAAGGAAAACAUGGAUUAAGCUACUUGAACAUUGGGCAUCAAGAUCUAUAGAAAUAGAUCAAGACGCUUGAUAAAACUUUCAAUGAAUACAUACCUUGACAAGAUUUUGAAGGAGCUCAAAAUAGAUCGGUGAAAGAAGGAGCUUUUGGUUGUGUUGUAAGGCGUGAAUUUGAGUAAGACUCAAAGCUCGACCAUGGCAGAAGAAAGAGAAAGGACGAAGCCCGUCUCCUAUGCCUUAGUCGUAGGCUCUAUAGUAUGCAAUGAUGUGUACCACGUGUGAUGUGUUCCUUGCCAUGAGUCUAUCAAGGGGUACAAGAGUGAUCCAGGAGUGGAUCACUGUACAACGGUCAAAAUUAUCCUUAGUAACUUGGGGACUAAAGAAAUGUUUCUCGAUUAUGGAGGUGAUAAAAGAGUUCAUCGUAAAAGGUUACGUGGAUGCAAGCUUUAACACCAAUCCGCAUGACUCUGAGUAGUAAGCUGAAUUCGUAUAGUGGAGAAGUCAUUUGGAGUGGCUCCAAGUGGAGCGUGGUAACAGUAUCUACAGUAUGACAUAGAGAUUUGCAAAGUACACAUGGAUCUGAAUGUUUGAGACCCGUUGACUAAAAACCUCUCUUACAAGAAAAACAUGAUCAAACCCCAUAACUUAUUGGGUGUCAAUCACAUGGUGAUGUGAACUAGAUUAUUGACUCUAGUGCAAGUGGGAGACUGUUGGAAAUAUGCCCGAAAGGCAAUAUUAAAUUAGUUAUUAGUAUAUUUCGUUGUUCAUGAUAAUUGAAUAUUAUCCAUGUUAGAAUUGUAUUGAUUGGAAACUCAAAUACAUGUGUGGGUACAUAGACAACACUGUGUCCCUAGUGAGCCUCUAAUGGACUAGCUCAUUGAUCAGACAUGGUAAAGGUUUCCUGGCCAUAGACAUUAGUCGUCAUUUGAUAACGGGAUCACAUCAUUAGGAGAAUGAUGUGAUGGACAAGACCUAAACUAUGAACGUAGCAUAUGAUCGUGUCAGUUUAUUGCUAUUGUUUUCUACAUGUCAAGUAUGUGUUCCUAUGACCAUGAGAUCAUGCAAUUCACUGACGUCGGAGGAGUAUGUUGUGUGUAUCAAACGUCGCAACGUAACUGGGUGACUAUAAAAGUGCUCUACAGGUAUCUCCGAGGGUGUUUGUUGAAAUUACUAUUGUAUAUGUUUGAGAUGAUGUCAGGACUUAAAGUUAACUUUCAAGAGAGUGAAAAUUUCACUAUUGGUGGGGAUGAAAAUGUGAUUAGAGAUUAUGCAAACCUAUUAAACAAUGACAUAGGUAGCUUCCCCAUCAAGUACAUGGGUAUUCCUGUGAGCUACUCAAACCUUAGAAACUUGGACUCGGGGUUCAUCCUGGAUAAAUACCUCAAACAGUUUGAGGCUUGGCUUGGUAAUGCUGCCUCUAUGGGAGGUAUGCGCACCCCUGCUGGAUUCGGUUGUUACUUAGAUUUCCCUGUAUAAUAUAUCUAUGUGGCUUAUGAAUAAAACUUUAAUUGCAAAGUUUUAUAACCAUAGAAGAAGGUUUUUCUGGCAAGGAUGUAACAAGAAGAGAAGAUAUUACCUUGUUAAAUGGAGCAUAAUAUGUAGAUCCAAGGAUAAAGGGGGACUAGGUGUUAAAGACCUUCGAAAAUAGAAUAUUAGUUUAAUAAAGUGGUAGUGGAAGCUUGAAACUCAAGAGGGCUUAUGUCAAGAUAUCGUGUGUCCACGGUACCUUAAAACUAAAUCCGUGGCUUCUAUGGAGCGUGGAUUUUGAGACUCCCGUGUUUGAAAGCCCUUUUAAAUUUCAAGAGCCUUUAUAUGGUUGGUAGGAAGAUUGACAUUGGGUCUGGAAAUAUUACUAAAAUCUAGAAAGACCCUAUCAAUGGUUUGCCUCCGUUCCAGGAUCAAUACCCCCUCGUAUUUGAAAUUUGUUAUGCUCGGGAUUACACCAUGGAGAAGUUCAGUCCAACUCGCACUACCAGUUUGUUCAGAAUAAGAUUAAGCAAUGACUUGCAAAGCUAGUGUGUGGAUAUUUGUAGAACCAUCUCUGGCAUCCAACUGACUGAGACUGGUGAUGGAGUGUUUUGGGGGCUUAGUAAAAAUGGCAAAUUUCCCACCAAAUCUAUGUAUGGAUAGUUGAAGAGCCCUUUUAGUGGGUGUCACUAUAGAUGGAUGUGGAAAGCAAAAAAUCCUCUCAAAAUAAAAAAAAUUGGCAACUGUCACAAGAUGUAGUGCUCACCAGACAUGUCAUGAAAAAGAGGAAAUGACCUCGAGAACCAAGUCGCUCCUUUUUAGCAAUGAGGAAACUUCUAAGCAUUUGUUAUUUACCUGUCUAGUGGCCAGCGUUGUUUGGCUAUUUGUUGCGGUGGUUUUGGGUACUGAUCGAUGUCCAAAUAACUACUCUCAGUAUUUUGCGUGGUGUCACACUUUUCUCCCUCGUAGAGAGAAGUAUUAUACAGUUGUGUUUGAAAUAUGCCCUAGAGGCAAUAAUAAAUUGGUUAUUAUUAUAUUUCCUUGUUCAGUAUAAUCGUUUAUUAUCCAUGCUAGAAUUGUAUUGAUUGGAAACUCGAAUACAUGUGUGGAUACAUAGACAAAAUACCGUCCCUAGUAAGCCUCUAGUUGACUAGCUCGUUGAUCAAAGAUGGUUAAGGUUUCCUAGCAAUAGACAAGUGUUGUCACUUGAUAACGGGAUCACAUCAUUAGAAGAAUGAUGUGAUGGACAAGACCCAAACUAUAAGCAUAGCAUACGAUCAUGUCAGUUUAUUGAUACUAUUUUCUACAUGUCAAUGUAUCUGUUCCUAUGACCAUGAGAUCAUGCAACUCCCGGGCACCGGAGGAAUACCUUGUGUGUAUCAAACGUUGCAACGUUACUAGGUGACUAUAAAGGUGCUCUACAGGUAUCUCCAAAGGUGUUUAUUGGGUUGGCAUGGAUCAAGACUGGGAUUUGUCACUCCGUGUGACGUAGAGGUAUCUCGGGGCCCACUCGGUAAUACAACAUCACAACAAGCCUUGCAAGCAAUGUGACUAAGGAGUUAUCCACGAGAUCUUGUAUUACGGAACGAGUAAAGAGACUUGCCGGUAACGAGAUUGAAAUAGGUAUGGAGAUACCGACGAUCGAAUCUCGGGCAAGUAACUUACCAAAGGACAAAGGGAAUGGUAUACGGGAUUAUAUGAAUCCUUGACAUAGAGGUUCAACCGAUAAGAUCUUCAUAUAAUAUGUAGGAUCCAAUAUGGACAUCCAGGUCCCGCUAUUGGAUAUUGACCGGAGAGUGUCUCAGGUUAUGUCUCCAUAGUUCUCGAGGAUGUUAUUCAUUGUAUCCAUAGUUCUCCACAGUAGGAAAAACUCGUAGGCAUUGUAUCGGUGAUGGAUGAUUAUGCCGGAUGUUAUUCAUCAUGCAACAGUUAUAACACGGAGAGAUGUGUAACUAGCUCCAGUACGUCAAUCUAAUGUAGGCAUGUAUUCCGUAUGUAGUCAUACGUGCUUAGGGAAAAGAACUUGCAUGACAUCUAUUGUCCAUCCGUCCCGUGGCAGCGGGGUCCAAAAGGAUACUACAUGAUAUUAAGGUUCUCCUUUUAAUAAAGGUCCUAAUGGAAACUACGGGAUAUUAAGGUUCUCCUUUUAAUAAAGAACCGGACCAACGCAUUAACACUUAGUGAAUACAUGAACUCCUCAUACUAUGGUCAUCUCCGGGAGUGGUUCUGGCUAUUGUCACUCCGGGGUUGCCGGGUCAUAACACAUAGUAGCUGACUACAACUUGCAAGAUAGGAUCAAGAACUCACAUAUAUUGGCGACAACAUAAUAGGUUCAGAUCUGAAAUCAUGGCACUUGGGCCCUAAUGACAAGCAUUAAGCAUGGCAAAGUAGUAGCAACAUCAAUCUCAGAACAUAGUGGAUACUAGGGAUCAAUCCCCGUCAAAACUAACUCGAUUACAUGAUAGAUCUCAUCCUACUCGUCACCGCCCAGCGAGCCUACGAAUAGAUUACUCACGAACGAUGAAGAGCUUCAUGGAAUUGGAGAGGGAAGAAGGUUGAUGAUGACGAUGGCGAUGAUUUCCCCUCUCCGGAGCCCAAAAUGGACUCCAGAUCUGUCCUCCAGAUGAAGAACAGGAUGUGGCGACACUUCCGUAUCGCAAACUCGACAAAAUCUUCUCUUCUUUUUUUUGGGUGAAAGUGAAUUUAUAGAGCUGAGAUUGGGGGCGGCAGAGCCACGUGGGCCCCACAAGCUUGGUUGCCGUGGCUAGGGGGUGGCCGCGGCAACAGGGCUUGUGGCCCACUGGCCCACCCCCUCUGGUGGAUCUUUGCGCAGGUAUUUUUCAUAUUUUCUAGAAAAAUUCUCCGUAAAUUUUCAGGACGUUCCGAGAACUUUCAUUUCUGCACAAAAACAACACCAUGGCAAUUCUGCGGACAACAGCGUCAGUCCGGGUUNNNNNNNNNNNNNNNNNNNNNNNNNNNNNNNNNNNNNNNNNNNNNNNNNNNNNNNNNNNNNNNNNNNNNNNNNNNNNNNNNNNNNNNNNNNNNNNNNNNNNNNNNNNNNNNNNNNNNNNNNNNNNNNNNNNNNNNNNNNNNNNNNNNNNNNNNNNNNNNNNNNNNNNNNNNNNNNNNNNNNNNNNNNNNNNNNNNNNNNNNNNNNNNNNNNNNNNNNNNNNNNNNNNNNNNNNNNNNNNNNNNNNNNNNNNNNNNNNNNNNNNNNNNNNNNNNNNNNNNNNNNNNNNNNNNNNNNNNNNNNNNNNNNNNNNNNNNNNNNNNNNNNNNNNNNNNNNNNNNNNNNNNNNNNNNNNNNNNNNNNNNNNNNNNNNNNNNNNNNNNNNNNNNNNNNNNNNNNNNNNNNNNNNNNNNNNNNNNNNNNNNNNNNNNNNNNNNNNNNNNNNNNNNNNNNNNNNNNNNNNNNNNNNNNNNNNNNNNNNNNNNNNNNNNNNNNNNNNNNNNNNNNNNNNNNNNNNNNNNNNNNNNNNNNNNNNNNNNNNNNNNNNNNNNNNNNNNNNNNNNNNNNNNNNNNNNNNNNNNNNNNNNNNNNNNNNNNNNNNNNNNNNNNNNNNNNNNNNNNNNNNNNNNNNNNNNNNNNNNNNNNNNNNNNNNNNNNNNNNNNNNNNNNNNNNNNNNNNNNNNNNNNNNNNNNNNNNNNNNNNNNNNNNNNNNNNNNNNNNNNNNNNNNNNNNNNNNNNNNNNNNNNNNNNNNNNNNNNNNNNNNNNNNNNNNNNNNNNNNNNNNNNNNNNNNNNNNNNNNNNNNNNNNNNNNNNNNNNNNNNNNNNNNNNNNNNNNNNNNNNNNNNNNNNNNNNNNNNNNNNNNNNNNNNNNNNNNNNNNNNNNNNNNNNNNNNNNNNNNNNNNNNNNNNNNNNNNNNNNCAUCAACCGCGUUAUAUACGCUUCCGCUUAGUGAUCUACAAGGGUAUGUAGAUGCACUCUCCCCUCUCGUAGAUGAUCAUCACCAUGGAUAGGUAUUGCAUGUCCGUAGGAAAUUUUUUGUUUCCCAUGCGACGUUCCCCAACAAGUUGGCCUAGCGGUUGCUUGUUGGGCAAUUUGGCUUGCUCGUAACCGUGCCACUUUUGAGAAAAAACAUACCAAAACCCCUUUUAAAUUUGUUUUUUCUAUGUGUUCCUUCUUACAUUACUGGACAUGGCUUCAACUUGGAGAUGUUGUUGGAGAAGUGCGCGCUGGUGCUGAGAUGACCAGAUCAAGCUCGAUGCAUCUGAUGAACUGUGUAACAAUACGAGGCGGACCAUCGUGGGAGAAUGAUUGUGCCUCAUCUAUGAUGAUGCUAGGGAUGUUCUUUUGGCUUAGUGCCUUGUAAAACUUUUGCUUUAUUUAGCCUAUAAUAAUUAGGCUAGUCUUGCAUAUUGUUAUUGUGUUGUAAGGUUUUCGCCCCAUGACGUUCGUCAUGAUUUUAGGCGAGCGUAGUGGGUUUUCCAGCAGUGUUCGAACUCGCUUCCCCUCUUCCCCGUGAAUGUUAUCCGAAAACUCUGUAUUCGUUCAUUUGUAAUGGAAAGUGGCAUAUCCCAGUUAGAAAAACGAGGCUCAAUCAAUACAUCAUCAGUUCCACCAAACUCUUUAUAUCCUUUCUAUAUUGAGCUAUGUUAUUCGAUUAGAGAAGUGCGGUAUCUUUUUUCUUCCGUUGAACGUGCUCUUUUGCUAGUAGAUAUUUUUUUACAGUUUUGCUAAGUCUCAGUCGACUGAGACUUCGUUAUGUCUCGGUCCAUGCUAUAUGCCUUUGAUUUUGCAUGGUGAUGCGCAUAUUUUUUUCUUGAUUUUUUAUUUUUAUUUUUAUAUACUAUAUCACUUGACUGGCUUGAUUAAAUCUCAGUCGACUGAGACGUAGCGACAUCCAAAAAUUUAUUUAAAAAGAAAAAAAAGAAUGAUGUAGAAGACCAUGAGGACAUGACAUACACAAAGGCAUUGGUCGCACUAGCCGUCUAGCCGUCGCCGUCGCUGGCCGCCUAGCUCGCUCCUCCUCCUGCGGCCACUGGAUCAAGCACAAGUGACAUAUCAAGAUUUCUAGCAGGAGGUGGUGUCGCAAACUUACUCAUAACUGAAGGUGAAUCAAGUGCAGAGAUAGAUGGCAGUUCCUUACCUGUCCUCGUAGUUGAGGGCAAGACUUUGGUUCUUGGAUCUUUCGGAUUCCUCAUAGUGACCAGCAGACGUAAAUCCCAAGUGACUCAGAGAAUAUAGUUGUGCUUCCCCGGCAACGACGCUAGAAAAUAGUCUUGAUAACCCACAAGUAUAGGGAAUCGCAACAGAUUUCGAGGGUAGAGUAUUCAAUCCAAAAUUUAUUGAUUCGACACAAGGGGAAGCCAAAGAAUAUUCUCAAGUAUUAGCAGUUGAGUUGUCAAUUCAACCACGCCUGAAAUAUUUAGUAUCUGCAGCAAAGUAUCAGUAGCAAGGUAGUGUGACAGCAACAGUAGUAGCAGUAACGAGUAGCAGCAAAGUAACAGCAGUAGCAGCAGAGUAAUAGUAGCAGCAGUAGCGACAAAGUAACGUUGCAAGGACCAGUAGGAAAAACUCGUAGGCAUUGUAUCGGUGAUGGAUGAUUAUGCCGGAUGUUAUUCAUCAUGCAACAGUUAUAACACGGAGAGAUGUGUAACUAGCUCCAGUACGUCAAUCUAAUGUAGGCAUGUAUUCCGUAUGUAGUCAUACGUGCUUAGGGAAAGAACUUGCAUGACAUCUAUUGUCCAUUCCUCCCAUGGCAGCGGGGUCCUAAUGGAAACUACGGGAUAUUAAGGUUCUCCUUUUAAUAAAGAACCGGACCAACGCAUUAACACUUAGUGAAUACAUGAACUCCUCAUACUAUGGUCAUCUCCGGGAGUGGUUCUGGCUAUUGUCACUCCGGGGUUGCCGGGUCAUAACACAUAGUAGCUGACUACAACUUGCAAGAUAGGAUCAAGAACUCACAUAUAUUGGCGACAACAUAAUAGGUUCAGAUCUGAAAUCAUGGCACUUGGGCCCUAAUGACAAGCAUUAAGCAUGGCAAAGUAGUAGCAACAUCAAUCUCAGAACAUAGUGGAUACUAGGGAUCAAUCCCCGUCAAAACUAACUCGAUUACAUGAUAGAUCUCAUCCAACCCAUCACCGUCCAGCAAGCCUACGAUGAGAUUACUCACGAACGGUGAAGAGCAUCAUGGAAUUGGCGAUGAAGGAAGGUUGGUGAUGACGAUGGCGACGAUCUCCCCUCUCCGGAGCCCAGAAGGGACUCCAGAUCUGCCCUCCAGAAGAAGAACAGGAGGUGGCGGCGCCUCCAUAUCGUAAAACGCGAUGAACUCUUCUCCCUGUUUUUUUCGAACGAAAGAGGCUAAAUAGAGCUAAGACUGGAGGUGGUGGAGCAACGUGGCCCCCACAAGCCUGCCAGGCGCGGCCAGGGGGGCCCGCGCCUGGUGGGCUUGUGGGCUCCACGCUCCACUUCCUCCGUUGAUUGCGCCGGUAUUUUUUAUAUAUUCCACAAAAAUUCUCUGUAAAUUUCCAGGUCAAUCCGAGAACUUUUAUUUCUGCGCAAAAACAACACCAUGGAAAUUCUGCUGAAAACAACGUUAGUCCGAGUUAGUUCCAUUCAAAUCAUGCAAAUUAGAGUCCAAAACAAGGGCAAAAGAAUUUGGAAAAGUAGAUACGACGGAGAAGUACAACUUGUCGGUAACGAGAUUGAAAUAGGUAUGGAGAUACAACGAUCAAAACUCGGGCAAGUAACAUACCGAAGGACAAAGGGAAUGGUAUACGAGAUUAUAUGAAUCCUUGACAUAGAGGUUCAACCGAUAAGAUCUUCAUAUAAUAUGUAGGAUCCAAUAUGGACAUCCAGGUCCCGCUAUUGGAUAUUGACCGGAGGGUGUCUCAGGUCAUGUCUGCAUAGUUCUCGAACCCGCAGGGUCCGCACACUUAAGGUUCAGUGACGUUUUCGGUAUAGUUGAGUUAUAGGUGUUGGUAACCGAAUGUUGUUCGGAGUCCCGGAUGAGAUCCUGGACGUCACGGAGCUCCGGAAUGGUCCGGAGGUAAAGAUUGAUAUAUAGGAAAGUGGUUUUGGAACUCCGAAAAAGUUUUGAACAUUUUCGGUAGUGUAGACGGUGUAACGAAUGAGUUCCGGGGGUCCACCAGGUGGGCCCACCCCCCAAAGGUCUCAUGGGCUGUGGGAGGACGUGGACCAUCCCUUAGUGGGCUGGGCGAAGCCUCCACUAAAGCCCAAGGCGGAUUGGAGGUGGGAAGGAAAGAAACCCAAAGGUGGAAAAGGUGGAAAGGGUUUCCAAGUGGAGAGGAGGAAUCCUACUCCUAGUAUGAUUGGAGUAGGACUCUUCCACCUCCAAUUUCGGCCAAACCUUGAGGGUUUGAGGCUACCCCCUCCCCUCCCUCCCUCCUAUAUAUACUAGAGGUUUUAGAGGUGAGGGCUAACCCUAAUUGCCACGUGCUCCCUCUACUUCUCUCUAGAUCUGUUCUUCCUCUAGAUCGGUUUUUCAGCAACGCUUAGGCGAAGCCCUGCUGGAAUAGAUCCACAACCAUGCCAUCGUGCUGGAGAACUAAUCUACCUCUCCGCCCCUCUUGCUGGAUCAAGAAGGCGGGGAUUGUCAUCGAGCUGUACGUGUGCUAAACGCGGAGGUGUCGUUCGUUCGGCACUAGAUCGGGAUGGAUCGUGAUGGGAUCGCGGGACGGGCUGCGAUUUGGAUCGCGAAGAUGUUCCACUACAUCAACCGCGUUAUAUACGCUUCCGCUUAGUGAUCUACAAGGGUAUGUAGAUGCACUCUCGCCUCUCGUAGAUGAUUAUUACCAUGGAUAGGUAUUGCAUGUUCGUAGAAAUUUUUUUGUUUCCCAUGCGACGUUCCCCAACAAGUUGGCCUAGCGGUUGCUUGUUGGGCAAUUUGGCUUGCUCGUAACCGUGCCACUUUUGAGAAAAACAUAUCAAAACCCCUUUUAAAUUUGUUUUUUCUAUGUGUUCCUUCUUACAUUACUGGACAUGGCUUCAACUUGGAGAUGUUGUUGGAGAAGUGCGCGCUGGUGCUGAGAUGACCAGAUCAAGCUCGAUGCAUCUGAUGAACUGUGUAACAAUACGAGGCGGACCAUCGUGGGAGAAUGAUUGUGCCUCAUCUAUGAUGAUGCUAGGGAUGUUCUUUUGGCUUAGUGCCUUGUAAAACUUUUGCUUUAUUUAGCCUAUAAUAAUUAGGCUAGUCUUGCAUAUUGUUAUUGUGUUGUAAGGUUUUCGCCCCAUGACGUUCGUCAUGAUUUUAGGCGAGCGUAGUGGGUUUUCCAGCAGUGUUCGAACUCGCUUCCCCUCUUCCCCGUGAAUGUUAUCCGAAAACUCUGUAUUCGUUCAUUUGUAAUGGAAAGUGGCAUAUCCCAGUUAGAAAAACGAGGCUCAAUCAAUACAUCAUCAGUUCCACCAAUCCCUUUAUAUCCUUUCUACAUUGAAAUAUGUUAUUCGAUUAGAGAAGUGCCGUAUCUUUUUUCUCCCGUUGCACGUGCUCUUCUGCCAGUUGAUAUUUUUUUACAGUUUUGCUAAGUCUCAGUCGACUGAAGACUUCGUUAUGUCUCGGUCCGUGCUAUAUGCCUUUGAUUUUGCAUGGUGAUCCGCACAUUUUUUUCUUGAUUUUUCCUUUUUAUUCUUAUAUACUAUAUCACUUGACUGACUUGAUUAAAUCUCAGUUGAGUGAGACCUAGCGAGAUUCAAAAAUUUAUUUAAAAGGUAAAAAAUAAUGAUGUAGAAGACAAUGAGGACAUGACAUACACAAAGGCAUUGGUCGCACUAGCCGUCUAGCCGUCGCCGUCGCCGGCCGCCUAGCUCGCUCCUCCUCCUGCGGCCACUGGAUCGUCCCGAUCCGAUCCGACGGCGUUGGAAAGGUAGCAAAUUGAUCUUGGUAGAUUGCGUAAUCAAGUACAGAAGACAGGCAUCAUAGAAGCUGCCGCCAGAACGACCAUAACGAUAAGGAAAACUCCAUUCCCGUCCCCUGCGUUUUCUUUACUCCCCUCUCCCCUGCUUCCUCCCCACUUCCACUCCUCCUCCUCCUCCUCCUCGGUUGGAUCUCCGAGAUCGAAUCCGAGGAAUUCCCGAUCCUCAUAGCCCCGCCAUGCGCUCCCGACAACCCCAGCCUCGCGCCCCCCUCCCAGCUCCCUGAUCCCAUCCGGCUUGUCCCCCAGGGCCGCUGCCGCCGUUGACGCCAAUUGGCGCCGGACGGCAUGGACUCCGGCGCCAACAGCGUCGGUUCCGUCGGCGAGUCUCCGCCGCCGGUAUCCCCUCCUGGUCGCCCGGUCGCCAAGGGCCGCGGCCUCCGCCGGUGGCGCCGUAUCCCCCGCGAGCACCACGACGACGAGGGCGGCUCCCCCGCGGGCCCCGUCGCCGCCGCAGCCCCCGCCGACGCUGGCGCUGAGGUGGACCUGGCGCAGCUCCAUAAGCGCCGUCUCCCCGUCGGCGCCGACGCGCCCAAGGGGAAGCAGGAGGUGGCGGCCGAGGAGGAUAGCCCGGUCGCGUCCGUCGAGUCCAGCUUCGUGCCGCCGGAGGCGCCUCCGUCGCCGUCCCCGGCUACGACUCCGGCUCCGGCUCCGACUAGUCUGGACCCGGAUCUUGGCCUCCUGAUCGCGUCCGCCGGCUUCUCGGUGGGCGCCGGCGGCGCCGACUCGGACAACAGCGACGACCGGACCAGCAAGUCCUCCACCGCGCUCCCGCGUCACGACUUCUCGCUUGCAGGCUUCGGCCGCGAGCGCGACAGGGGGCGGUCCCGAGCCCCUGGCGCCGCUGCUCACGCCAAGAACCUACGCACCGCACGCGCCCGUGGCGCCGGUGCGCGCGCCGUCUCUGUGGCCUCCUCCACGGUGGAACCGGAGAACUCGCGCUCCAGUGUCGAGUCUGACCUCCGCAGCACUGGCGCUGCUCACGCGCGUAAAUCAAGCGCUGGCAUCAGCAGUAAUGGCGUUCACAAGUUUCUCUACACCGAUGGCGACCACAGCGAGGAUGAAGCUCCAAGUGAGCACUUGGGGUCUGCAGCAGGAUCUUUCUAUAAGGAGAAUGGGAGUGCAGUAGGGAGAAUGGCAAUGGGGAAUGGUGAUUUGUAUGCCCAUGGUCAUGGAUUUCAUGAAGGGAGCAUCAGCAAGGGUGAGAAUGGAGGGAUCCAUUCAGGUCUUGAUCCGUACACCGAUUCAAUGUCGUUGCUUCAGUCAGCACAAGAAGCACUGGAGAAUGGUAUGAUCAUAUUCCUCUUUAGUUUAUUCUCGCAAAAUAUCCCUUUCACUUUAGCUUGAUGCCCAAACGAGUUUGUUCCAUUAGGUUGAGCAAGUUUUUGUUACUACUAUUUGACAUGCAAAUCUGCAUUUCACAUAGUCUACUUACUAUCUUAGACCUUAGAGGGUGUAGUUCAGAAUUUCAACUACUGCUGAGUAUUUUUUUUUCAGCUACCAUUUUGAGAUUAAACUGUUUGGUUUCCGAAAACAGGCUACUUUAUUAGCUGGAAACAUCUGAACACUUGAUGCAUUAUAGUGAUCAACAAUAAAUGGGAGAGCACAUGCAUCCAUUAUGUCUGUACAUGAUCCUAGAUACUAAUUUUUGUCAACUUUAAUCCACUUUGACCUCAUGCUGCGUUCAUACCAAGUGUUGUGGAUUCAGUAACAUGUCAAUUCUGAAGAAAACGUAUCAUCUUCAAUAACCAUUAUUAGAGCAGAAGUGCUCAUUCUCCUAACCUGUUGCUGCUGCUUCGCUCUCAUGUUGGAUCUGCAAGGUGUGGUUACAUCAGUCUCUUUCUCUUCUUGGUACUCCACCACCCCACCCAUAUGCUUGGCCCCUCUGAUGCAGUGACUUCUUGUCCAAUGUGCACACGCAUGCCAGUUAGAUGUGAGGUUUCUAGUUGUGCACAAGUCAUCUUUUGGCCAUUCCGAAAAAAGAAACCAGCUUUGCAUUUCCUGCCUAUUGAUUGCACAGAAAACCACAGUUGAAUUUAAUUUGUUAAGCCUUGUCAAGUGGGGAAUCUAAAUGCUGAUUUAUUUUCGUUUCUCUCAUGGAAGCGUGGCGAUAGUGAGUCAUAUCAUUAACAGAUUUGAGAUGGAAGAGAGGUUGAUGAUUUAGUAACCCAUUUUCAUCAACAUGUCCAGCUUGUAGUAAGAAUUGACAUGGAAGAGAAGAAGAGAAGUUGAUCUCUGAUAGGCCUGGUGAAGAAGAAAUUACUUGUAGUAACGGAGAUGAUGAACUUCCAGCUAAAUUUGGAGCAGACAUUAUUGCGAGCUAGAAGUUAGGACAAAUCGAUGCUACUUAGCGAUGUGAACGUGUCAGUUGUGGCGUGAAUACACAGGAAUGGUUUCGGAAGAGGGAAUGGAGGCUAUGGUUGUUAUAAUAAUAUAAUGGCCACAGGGGAGGGCACGUCUCCACUUUUCAAUGAGCUUGCUCCCAUGGAAAAAGCAAACCUGGUGUAGAACUUGGCUCACAUUAUGUUAGGACAUCCUGCCAAAAGAGUGCGUUCACGAUGAUAACAAUGCUUGUUUAAAAUGGAAUACAAUAUGCAUGUUCUUUUUUGCUGUUUAACACAUCAAACUAUCAACAGUUAAGUGGUGACUUGGUGAGUUGAUCAAUGCGUUAGCUCAAUGCUCUGGCAAUUAAUUACCGCCGUUGUGGACUUUCCCAUUUCGUGAGAAAAGAUCCCUUGUAUUUUACAUCAUUAUGUUCUCUGUGGCAUUUUUUUAAUGUAUAUUUCAUAUCAGAUCAAGUGGUCUGCUUCAUCUCCUAGUUUUAAGAAAGAAAAUUUGUACACUGCAGUCCGCAAGCUUAUUUCCUAGUAGUUUCAGUAGCAGCCAUUAUAGCAUAAAAAAAAUGUGUAAACGCAUCUGCUUACCCUGCAUGUUCUCGGAAGUUUCCUUAGUCCAUUUUCUGUUGAAAAUUCGUGAGUGCUCUGUUGCCGUAUCAUUGCAGUUGGACGAAAAUGUUAUGUUGAAAACAUGAAAUCUUUAUUUGCUUCAAUCAAAGUGUUGUUUUGCAAUAACUGUUUGCUUCUGCAUAUUUCUGCAGAGCUCCAAAUGUUUGUGGAAAUUGGGAAAGAAAGCAGUGACAAUUCCACGGACAUUUACAAUGAAAAUGAAUGGAUCAGUUCACCCAAUUGCGAAUAUUUUUCAGAAGAAAUAAGUGAAAAGUUGAAGCUUCUAGAGUCCAAACUGGAAGAAGCUUCCCUUCUUAUCGAUGAGAAGGAUUCAAGAAUACUUGAACUUGAUACACUCAACCAGACACAACCAAGAGAAGCAGCUCUAUACAAUAGCAAGCUGCUGUCCCUACAGUCUGAAGUUGAUCAACUGCUCAUGGAGAAGAUGGAGGCCGAGAUCCAGUGCUUCAUCCUGAAAAGAGCUUCAGAAGCUUGGCAACCCCAGACCGAGGGUCAGGGCACUCUUCAUGAAGCACAGAAGUCUCUGUCGGAGGACCAUAAACAGCUGGAGGUCAAGCUUCGGCACACCGAGAAUAGAGCAAGGACGCUAGAGGAGAUGGUUGAGAAGCUAGAGUCACAGUGCAAAGAGCUGUCGAACGCUUCAGAGGUCCUGAAGCUGCAGGCCGGAGCAAGUCGAGCUUCGCUUUUUUGUUCCGUUCAGUUAGUGCUGCUGUGCGUCGCCGUGUGGACAUUCGUGGCGCGGUUCUUGCCCACUCCUCCCGAAUUUGUACCUACUUGAUGAGGUUAGAAAGUUUCUCUGCGGAUGAGCCUCUGUGUAGACAUUAUUGAAAAGUUACUUCAUGUAAUCUAUUAGGCAUUUGGUGGCCUUAUAAAUUUUCUGUUUGUAACAUCAACUCAGAUUUUGUUAGUUACCAUCACUUUACUGUACUUAUUCACAAAUCUUCUUGCUGUUUCUCUCUUCUCUGUAUCCUGGAAAUGUUAAUGAAAAUUACAAUAUCCCAGUGUAAGAGUGUCCAUGCUGCCAUCAUCUUCUAUGCUCCUGUUUGGGUGUUCUGUGAAAGUCAUGAAGAUUGUUCCAAAUAUCGGCCAAGUAUUUGGCAUCUCAGUCAAUUGCCUCAGCACCCAACCAAUAUGGUAUCAGUUACAGAUAUCCUGAACAUUGCAUGAAGUAGUAAGUAGUACUUCCUUCGUUCAUAAAUAUAAGUCUUUCUAAAGAUUUUACUACACUCUAAAAUAUAUUUAUAUACAUCCAUAUGUAUUUCGUAGUGAAAUCUCUAGAAAAAUAUACAUUUAGGGAUGGAGGAAGUACAUUUUUUUCUAGGGCACACAUACCGAACAUAAAUAUUUCAUGACAAAAUAUAAUACAUUUUCCCCUCCACACUUUGGUACGUAAUCAAAUUGACAAUAAAAAGGAUGGUAAACUAGCGGGAUUGCGAACAGAAUAUGUGUGCCCUUGUUGUGACCCAUGUCAAUUGCCUGUAAAAGGAGGGGAUUUUUUUUAAGAGUAUAACUAUAGAUGUUGAGAUUGGUUUAUCUAACGUGCAUGGAUCCACUGUCCGUGGUUGCUUUUAAGAUUUAUGUAACUUUUUUGGUGUUGUCACAAUUUAUCUCAUUCCAAUAUAUUUUCUUUGAUUUUUUUUUCUUGUUCCGCUGUCUGUGCACUUUGCAACAAGAUAAAUUUUGUAAACAGGUUGAGUCAAAAAAGCAACACGGAUCUCAAAGCAAUCAUGGACGGUCGAUCUAUGCACAGAAUAUCCCGUGUACAGUAAAAUUGCUUUUUCUACUAUUGGUGUAAGAGAUUAGGGAUGUAAACGGCGCGAUAAACACCACCGAGUAGGGAUGUAAACGGCGUGAUAAACGGCACCGCAAAACUUUUCUACUAUGGGUGUAAGAGAUUAGGGAUGUAAAUGGAACGCCGUUUACGUACCUAAAAGAGAGAGAUAAAAUCAUUCAUGUGGCACUGAAUAAACACGCGGUUGCACUACUUGUCCAGAUCAAUCUUUCACCAUCUCACAUACAUACAUACUCAUGAUGGUACGUCAUCAGCGUAUACAGAACUAAUGAAAACACGGCGGAUUACAACAGCAAAGCCGCUCCGGCCGGCACGCAGGCAGGCAGGGGAGACGGACGGAUCAGCCGAAGAAGGGAGGGUCGUAUCCGUUGCUGGUGGUGGCGAGGAUGUAGUAGGCGACGAUGUGGCCGAUGGAGCCCCAUGCGAGGACGUCGACGAGGUUGAAGCCGACGGGGUCGUUGGACUUGAGGAUCCCGGCGAACUCCUUGGCGCGCUCGUCGCCGGCCUCGAAGUGGGUCUUGCCGUUCUGCUCGGGGACCUGCUUCGCCACGUUCUCCCGCUGGAAGUUGAAGAAGACGAAGCGGCCCAUCACGAGCGACAGCCCCGUGCUGAGGCUGAUCACCACCGACGGCUCCAGCGCGGCCCGCGCCGCCACGGACCGCCGCGCCGGCGGUGAGACCCCCCGGAACGAGGCCGCCGCGCGCGGGGACGGCGCUAGGCGGAGCCCGGCCACGGCGGGCGGGGACAGCACGGCGGCGGUGGAGGUGGCCAUGGUCCUCACUCCUCCUUCGGAGCUGGAGCUGUGUGGGUGGGUGGGUGCUCAGGGACCAACGCGCCGCGAGUCCUUGAUCUCGGUAGGGCGGGCGAUACGUACGUGGUGGUUGGCGGUGUGGGUAUAUAGGGGGGUGGUGACGUGGGGGAUAUGGUGGGGGCGCGGGAAUGCGAGGUUAGUGGUGCAGGGGAGCGGGAUUUCGUGGUGUGCUCAUGGCGUGUGGCCAUUGGAGGGUGCUGGAUAAGGUAUCUGAGCCAUGCUUUUUUCCUUUCUUCUCUUCUCUUCUCACGGUAAGUCAGCAAUGCAUCGUGUCACUUGUGUGCCCCUCGAAAGUUACAUGUGUAGAGGAACCAGAUGCAAUUCUCGAUGUAUUAAUCGGGUGCAAGCACACGUAUAUAUGAUGUAUAAAGUGGGUCAUAAUCUUAACUAUACAAGAAACUAGAAGGGGGUCAGGUAUACAAGAGACAUGUGAAACAUACUCCCCCCCCCCCCGGCAGUCGAAGCGUCACCGGUGCUGACGCAAAGACUAGACCGAAAAUCUUCAAACGACGCCGUAGGCAAACCCUUGAUCAUGAUAUCUGCAAAUUGUUGGAAAGUAGGGACCUCUGAAACACGGACAUGGCCAAGGGCCACCUGUUCCUGAAUAAAAUGAAUAUCCAGCUCAAUAUGCUUGGUCCGACGAUGAUGAACGGGGUUAACAGAGAGGUAGACGACAGACACGUUGUCGUAGUAGACCACCGUGGCCUUAUCAACAGGACACGAGAGCCCGAGAAGUAACGGGCGAAGCCACGAACACUUCGGCGACGACGUUGGCCAUGGCGCGAUACUCAACCUCCACACUGGAACGGGAGACUGUAGGCUGUCGCUUGGACGACCAAGAGAUGAGCGAUGGUACAAGGAAGACAUAAUACCCCGAGGUGGAGCGGCGAGUGUGUGGGCAGCCGGCCCAGUCGACAUCUGAGUAGGCAGUGAUGUCGGUGACGGUGGAGGCGUGCAACGUGAUGCCAAGAUCCAUAGACCCCUAAAUGUACCGAAGAAUCCGCUUCACUGCAGUCCAGUGAGCAUCCCGGGGACAUGCAUAUGAAGGCACACCUGCUGGGCUGCAUACUGCAGCUCCGGUCGAAUGAGGGUAAGGUACCGAAGAGCACCAACAAUAGUCCGGUAGAAAGGUGCAUCGGGAGCAAGUGACCGUCAGCUACAUGGAGCUUGGCCUUCGUAUCGACCGGCGUAGAUGCAGGUUUGCAAUUAAGCAUCCCGAGUGGUCUAGAAGCUCAUGAGCCUACUUCCGCUGAUGGAGAAAGAAGCUGUUGUCGCGACGCACCACCUCAAUACCGAGGAAGUAGUGCAAAGGACUGAGGUCCUUGAUGGAGAACUCAACGCGAGGAUGAUCAGUGAGCUAGCGGAGUAGGCCAGGCGUGCAUGCCGUUAGGAUGAUGUUGUCGACGUAGACAAGCAAUAUGCCAUGUCAGCGCCCUGGUGGUAGACAAACAACGAAGCAUCGGAGCGUGUGAGACGGAAGCCAAGUCGGUGAAGAAACGCCGCGAUGCGCUAGUACCAGGCACGGUGAGCCAGCUUGAGCCCAUAUAGUGAGCGUGAAAGCACGCACACAUGAUCCGGGAGGGUCGGACACAGAUCCCCUUAGGCUGCUGACAGAACACCUCCUCGUCAAGAUGACCAUGAAGGAAGUUGUUGGAGACAUCCAUGUGAUGCACUGGCCAUGCACAAGACACCGCAAGUUGUAGAACGGUCCUGAUCGUCGCUGGUUUGACAACGGAGCGAAGGUGUCGGUUAAGUCGAUGCCAACACGCUAUCGAAAACCACGGACAACCCAACGCGCCAUGUAGUGGUCCAGAGUGCCAUCCUGGCGGAGCUUGUGCUAGAAGACUGAUACGUCUCCAUCGUAUCUACUUUUCCAAACUCUUUUGCCCUUGUUUUGGACUCUAAUUUCCAUGAUUUGAAUGGAACUAACCCGGACUGACGCUGUUUUCAGCAGAAUUGCCAUGGUGUUGUUUUUGUGCAGAAAUGAAAGUUCUCGGAACGUCCUGAAAAUUUACGGAGAAUUUUUCUAGAAAAUAUGAAAAAUACCUGCGCAAAGAUCCACCAGAGGGGGUGGGCCAGUGGGCCACAAGCCCUGUUGCCGCGGCCACCCCCUAGCCACGGCAACCAAGCUUGUGGGGCCCACGUGGCUCUGCCGCCCCCAAUCUCAGCUCUAUAAAUUCACUUUCGCCUAGAGAAAAAUAAGAAGAGAAGAUUUCGUCACGUUUGCGAUACGGAGGCGCCGCUACAUCCUGUUCUUCAUCUGGAGGACAGAUCUGGAGUCCAUUUUGGGCUCCAGAGAGGGGAAAUCGUCGUCAUCGUCAUCAUCAACCUUCUUCCCUCUCCAAUUCCAUGAAGCUCUUCAUCGUUCGUGAGUAAUCUAUUCGUAGGCUCGCUGGGCGGUGACGUGUAGGAUGAGAUCUAUCAUGUAAUCGAGUUAGUUUUGACGGGGAUUGAUCCCUAGUAUCCACUAUGUUCUGAGAUUGAUGUUGCUACUACUUUGCCAUGCUUAAUGCUUGUCACUAGGGCCCGAGUGCCAUGAUUUCAGAUCUGAAAUUAUUAUGUUGUCACCAAUAUAUGUGUGUUUUAGAUCCGAUCUUGCAAGUUGUAGUUACCUACUAUGUGUUAUGACCCGGCAACCCCGGAGUGACAAUAACCGGAACCACUCCCGGUGAUGACCAUAGUUUGAGGAGUUCAUGUGUUCACCAAGUGCUAAUGCGUUGUUACGGUUCUUUAUUAAAAGGAGAACCUUAAUAUCAUGUAGUAUCCUUUUGGACCCCGCUGCCACGGGAGGGAUGGACAAUAGAUGUCAUGCAAGUUCUUUUCCCUAAGCAUGUAUGACUACACACGGAAUGCAUGCCAACAUCACAUUGACGAACGGGAGCUAGCCACAUAUCUCUCCGUGUUAUAACUGUUGCAUGAUGAAUGUCAUCCAAACGAAUCACCGACCCAUUGCCUACGAGUUUGUCCCACUGCUGCUGUUACCGUUGUUACUACUGUUGCUGCUACUGUUACUUGCUGAUGUUGUUACUUGCUUUGCUCUGCUGCUGCUACUAUUGUUGCUACUUGCUACUGUUGUUACUACUGUCGCUUGCUACUGUUGCUACUUGCUAUGGCUGUCACUACUGCUGUUCCUUGCCACUGCUGUUACUCGUUACACUGCUGCUACCUGCUACAAUUUUGAUUCGCUGGUCGUUGACGGGAACAUACAAUUUCCGUCAACGGGCAACUUCUGGCGCCAUUGAUACGACAGUUAGGAAUAGUCUACCAUCAACAGAUCGUUUCUGACACCGUUGUUAUCAUACUACUUUGCUGCUGACUCUUUGCUUGCAGAUACUAAUCUUUCAGGUGUGGUUGAAUCUGACACAUUCAGCUGCUAAUACUUGAGAGUAUCCUCUCACCUCCUUUUGGCGUAUCAACAAAUUUGGGUCGAAUACUCUACCCUCGAAAACUGUUGCGAUCCCACGCGCUGGUGGGCCAUCAACAACAUUCUUCUAGUUUCGUUGCCGGGGAGUGCUAGCAGCAUUCUUCUGGUGCCGUUGCAGGGGAAGGUCUGUUGUCACAGAGACAUCAUUUUUCUGGCGCUGCUGUCGGGGAGGCAUCAAGUCAGGAAUAGUUGGACGUCAACAACAUUUUUCUGGCGCCGUUGCCGGGGAAGUAUUGCUAUAUUCUCUGAGUCACUUGGGAUUUAUAUGUGCUGAUCACUAUGAAGAAUCUGAAGGAUCUGAAAACCAAAGUCUUGCCCUCAACUACGAGGGGAGGUAAGAAACUGCCAUCUAGCUCUGCACUUGAUUCACCUUCAGUUAUGAGUAAGUUUGCGACAUCACCUCCUGCUAGAAAUCUUGAUAUGUCGCCUGUGCUUCAUGAUGCUUAUGAUACUAUGCCUGAUGAUGCUAUGCUUGAUACUGCUAGAGAUACUAUGCCUGAUACUGCUAGAGAUGCUAUGCUUGAUACUGCUUUGCCUGAUGAUGCUAGAGAUGCUAUUUUGCCUGAUGAUGUUAUGCUUGAUACUGCUAGAGAUGCUAUUUCGCCUGAUGUGACACUAGGGGUAUUCCUUGAUGCUCAUAUUGCUAGAGUUACUGCCAAUGCUCGUGAUGCUUCUGAAACUGCCGAUACUAUUGAGAUAGAACCUGCUUUUGCUCCUGCUAGAUCUAGCUCUCCUAGAUAUUAAUUGCCUGAUAUACCUGAGGGUUACGUUAUGGAGGGAGUGAUAGCUGAGGAUUUUCUUGCGUGUAAGGAUGCUUAUGACGCUGAGAAAUUACUUCUCAAGUGGAAGGAAAAAUCUCUGAAAGCUAGGAUGAAAUACGACCCGAAGUUUGCCACUUCACCUAUCUUUAUCACCGAUAAGGAUUAUGAAUUCUUUGUCGAUCCUAAGAUAAUCUCCCUAGUCGAAUCUGAUCCUUUCCACGGUUAUGAGUCUGAGACGGUCAUAGCUCAUCUUACCAAACUACACGAUAGAGCUACCCUUUUCACUAGUGAGGAGAAGAUCCGCCACUACUAUAUCCUUAAGUUGUUUCCUUUCUCUCUAAAGGAUGACGCUAAAGCCUGGUUCACUUCUCUUGCUCCUGGAUGUGUGAGUAGUCCCCAGGAUAUGAUCUAUUACUUCUGUGAGAAAUAUUUCCCUGCCCAUAAGAAGCAAGCUGCCUUGCAGGAAAUAUAUAACUUUGCUCAACUCAAAGAAGAGAGUCUCCCACAAGCUUGGGGGAGGCUCGUCCAGCUACAGAAUGCUUUGCCUGAUCACCCUCUUAAGAAGAACGAGAUACUUGAUAUCUUCUAUAACGGACUUACCGAUGCUUCUAGAGACCACCUAGAUAGUUGUGCCGGUUGUGUUUUUAGGGAACGAACUAUAGAACAAGCUAAGACUCUACUGAAUAACAUCUUGAUCAACGAUAAUGCUUGGACUAUUCCCGAACCACCUCCUAAGCCAACCCCAAAGAAAAGAGGUAUUCUAUUCCUCAGUCCCGAAGAUAUGCAAGAAGCCAAGAAAUCUAUGCAAGAGAAAGGCAUUAGAUCUGAAGAUGUCAAAAAUCUACCACCUAUCGAAGAGAUCCAUGGUCUCGAUAACCCGAUACAGGUAGUGGAAGUAAAUUCUCUGCGUACGUUUGAUGAGAGUGGUAUUCCUUUUGAUAAACCUGCUAGCCUAUGUUUUGAUGAAUUUGAAACUUUGUUGCCAAACAAUAGAGUUUCAAUGAUUAUGUUAGCAGACAUUUGGAACAAAGUACUCGUAUGCUUAGCCACUUAAGUGCUUGUGUAGACAGAAAUGUCAAUGAUUUGAAGCUUCUGAGUAAACAUGCCUUUAUGAUUACUACUCAGGUAGAACAAGUACUUAAAGCUCAGAAUGACCUGCUCAAUGAAUUAAAUGACAACUCCGUCAAAGUCAUUACUAGAGGAGGCAAAAUGACUCAGGAACCUUUGUAUCCUAAAGGUCAUCCUAAGAGAAUCGAUCAAGAUUCUCAAGGAAUUAAUGCAGAUGCACCCAGUCAUCCUAAGGAGAAGAAGAAGGAUGAUAGAAACCUGCAUGUUAGUUCACCAAAUACUGUCGCACCUGAAGAACCAAAUGAUAUUUCUGCGUCUGAUGCAGAAACACAAUCUGGUGAUGAACAUGAACCUGGUGACAAUAUGGACAGCGAUGUUCAUAAUGAUGUUCAACCUAGCAAUGAUAAGGAUGUGGAGAUUGAACCUACAGUUAAUCCUGAUAACCCACAACCUAAGAGAUAUGAUAAGAAUGACUUCACUGCUAGGAAGCAUGGUAAAGAAAGAGAGCCAUGGGUCCAGAGACCUAUGCCCUUUCCUCCUAAGCCAUCCAAGAAAAAGGAUGAUGAGGAUUUUGAGCGCUUUAUUGAAAUGAUAAGACCCGUCUUUUUGCAGAUGCGGUUAGUUGAUAUGCUCAAAAUGUCUCCAUAUGCCAAGUACAUGAAAGAUAUCGUGACUAAUAAACGGAAGAUACCAGAUCUUGAGAUCUCCACCAUGCUUGCCAAUUACACUUUCAAAGGUGGAACUCCUAAGAAACUUGGUGAUCCCGGAGUGCCCACUAUACCUUGCUCCAUUAAAGGAAACUACAUAAGAACUGCCUUAUGUGACCUUAGAGCUGAAAUUAGUGUUAUGCCUCUCUCUCUGUAUCGUAGACUUGAAUUGGAUAAGUUGACACCCACUAAAAUUUCUCUGCAAAUGGCCGAGAAAUCAACUGCUUUCCCUGUCGGCAUUUGCGAGGAUGUGCCUAUUGUGGUUGCUAACACCACUAUCUUAACAGACUUUGUUAUCUUGGAUAUUCCCGAGGACGAUGCCAUGGCAGUCAUUCUCGGAAGACCCUUUUUAAACACUUCAGGGGCUGUUAUAGAUUGCAACAAAGGCAAUGUCACUUUCCAUGUCAACGGUAAUGAGCAUACCGUGCACUUUCCGAAGAAACGAUAUCAAGUACAUUGCAUCAAUGCUAUCGAAAAAACUUCAACGAUUCUUAUUGGGAGCUUUGAAUGUCCUAUUCCUCGUGUCAAGAUGAAGUAUGAAUUGCUUGUUGGGGAGAUUCAUAUCCCCAUUGAGGUGACUUACUGGCUAUUCGAAAAUUCUCCGUUCUCUUUUGCGAUUCGAGAAAGUUUUGUCAUAAGGAUUUCAUCAACCCCAUUGACGGAUUUCUUUCGAUGUCCAUGAAAUGGAUGAACCAAAGAGUCACAUACCUCUGUUUAAAGCUUUCACUUUCUUUUGCUUAGAAGAAAAAUGAUAGAUUUAGUUUACUUUUUCCUAUUUUCUGUUUUAGCGUCCCGGAGAAAAAUACCUCGAAAAUAAAAGUUCUCCGAUGGUCCUAAAAAUCUAGUAUGAUUUUUUCUGGAAUAUUUGAAAAAUACUAAGACAAAGAGCUGGCCUGGGGGACACCCUAGUGGGCCACAAGCCCUGUCACCGCGGGCUACCCCCUGGUCGCGGGGAGCAAGCUUGUGGGGCCCACAGGGGCCCCCUCCACUCAUUCCAGCUCCUAUCCUCUUCUUCUUCCUCCAGAAAAAAUUGUUUCGCAGCUCAAACCCGUGUUCUUGCUCAUUUGGCUGUGAUUUUCGAUCUCCUUGCUCAAAGCACCAUUCUCCGAACCGUUUUGGGGAAAUUACUCCUUGGUAAGUGACUCCUCCAUUGGUCCAAUUAGUUUUUGCUCUAGUGCUUUAUCCUUCGCGUAUUCUUGCUACCUUGGUGACCUUGUUCUUGAGCUUGAAAUGUUGAUUUUAGCUGGUUCCAAGUAGUUUUAGCGCGUGAUACGGUCUCUAGGCACUAGUAGGAGUAGUUGCUACGAGUUGGGUUAAUCCUUACUCACUUUUCUUUCGAAGUCUCUAAAAAUUUCAGAAUUUUUCAGAGCUAGAAAAGGAAAAAGAUGAGGAGGUUCUUGAGAGGAUCUUCAAGCCGUAACCCCAAGGAGGAUGAGAAGAACCUCCCCAAGUACGUGGUUCCUCGAGUCACGGAAGUUCGAGCGUGCGAAUGGCCAAGUGAUGAAUUUUUACGCGCCGCCGGGCUUUAUGAAGACUUUUAUCACUCGGUGGAGAACGCAAGUCUUACCGCGUUCGUUGAAGAUAAGUGCUCUCAAUACCUCCUCCUCACCAAUAUUUUCGUUCAAAGCUUCAACUUUUAUCCGAGGAAGAAUCCUCCCAUGGUUGAGUUCAUGUUGUACGAUAUCCCCCAGUGCAUGACACUACAGGAUUUUUGCAAUGCAUGCAAAUUACCUUAUGUUGGGGAUAUUCAUGAUCCUCGUCCACGGGACUUGGAGGAUUUCAUUGGUACUAUUGUUGUUGGAGAGGAGAGAGGAGUGUCUCGCGCUAGAAUUUCUAGCAUACAUUUUCCUGUGCUUCGGUACUUCUCAUUGUUUGUGGGAAAUGUCUGAUUGGCCGUGGGGAGGCUGGAUCACUUAGCUCUCCAGACCUUGCGGUUCUGCGCGAAAGCCUUUAUAACACUAAGACCUAUAUCCUAGGUGCUAUAGUAGCUCAACGGUUGAACACAAACCGUUCCAAAGGUGUCGUCUAUGUAGGUAUCUAUGCUACUCGUCUUGCUAGACACUUUGAGAUACCCAUUAGACUUCGCGAGGAAGAAGAGAUGCUUCUUCCUGGGAAAUAUAUGGAUUAUGACAGCAUGGUUCGCCAUGAUUUUCUGGAUAGAGAUGCUAGUAUACGGAUGAUUUAUAACCUGGUAUUUAGUCAGGGUACCCGAGAGACUAUUACUAUGCCUGCUCCUUCUUUGUUCGAUCUUCAUGCAGGCAUGUACAUUAUUAUGCCCUCGGACAUCUACGCAUAUUGGGGCUUGGCCCAACCACAGGUGCCCGUGCCCGAGCCGCCAGUCGAGUACCAGACACUAGUUUAUCAGUGGGAGCCAGAGGAGCUCACACAACAGUGGCAUCCACAGUCUGCUCCAGAGUACCCCGGAGCUGGAUAUUUCCCACCUUGGGAGUAGACCAAGCUAGGCCAAAAGCCUAAGCUUGGGGGAGUACGUGUUCUCACCGACCUUACAUUCAUGCUUAUGCUUUUACUUUGUUAGUCGAUGCUUACACUUUGCCACUGUAUUAUCCAUGCUAGUUUAUUUUCGUCUUCUUGUUUUCUUGUUUUGUGUCCUUUUGAGAAAACCAAAAAAAAAAUCUUUCUUCUUUUGCUUGUUGGGAGCUUUCCCGUGUAAAUAGUUUUCUUUUUCUUUGGAUCAAGGUAGAAGAUAUUGGUUACAAUGUUUAUUGGCCCUUGCAUGCAUACCUGUUCAGCUUUCAAAGAGCCAUAUUACUUUGUCUUCUCCUUUGUGUUUGCAUGCAGAUUCAGCUUAGUCCAUUGCACGAGCACGCUUAUUAUUGUUUACAUUGUUUGAUCGUGCAAGUGAAAGGCAAUAAUGAUGAUAUAUGACGAAGUGACUGAGACUGGAAAAGUUGGUAUGAACUCUAUCUAUUUUGUUUUUGUAAAUAUGACUAGCUUGUCGUCCCAGAUUUAGCUUUGUUGCGAGAGAACCAUGUUUGCAAUGACAACUUAGAGAUCAUAGUUUCUGAUGCCAUGCUUAUUUAGCUAGGAGCUUAUAAUGGUUUGUCUUGAAUACCAACAUAGAUUUUGAGAUGACUAUGAUGUAGUAUGAUAGGAUGGUAUUCUCCUUUGAAUGUUUCAAGUGGCCUGACUUGGCACAUGUUCAUGCAUGUAGUUGAAACAAAAUCAACAUAGCCUCUAUGAUGUUCGUGUUCAUGGUGAUAUAUAUCCUGUUCAUGCUUGCACUCUAUGUUAGUCAAACUCAUUGCAUCUUGAUGACCGUUGUCGCUCUCUAGUUGGUCGCUUCCCAGUCCUUUGCUAGCCUUCAUUUGUACUAAGCGGAAUACUGCUUGUGCAUCCACUUCCAUAAACCCAAAAGUUUUUCCAUGAGAGUCCACCAUACCUACCUAUUUGCGGUAUUUACCUGCCGUUCCAAGUAAAUUUGCAUGUGCCAUUCUCUAAACCUUCAAGAAAUAAUCUGUUUUGCAUGCCCGAACCGCCCAUGUGGUGACAGGGGGCUAUUGGUAUCUUCCAUGCUAGGCGUGUUAUCCUCGACAUGUGUUUAUUCACUGUCAUUCACGAGAAAGGGGUCGGUAAUUGGAAUGCCCAGUUCCACGCUUAAAUCGAAAACAUAACUAUAAAACAAGACUCCCCCCGGAUUGAUGUUAGUAUGGACGGUACCCGAGGAUUCGGCUAGCCGUGGAGUGUGAUUGAUUGGUGGUGGGGGAGUUAAAACUUUACUUUUCUGUUUGGGAACCGCCUAUAGCAUGAGUAGCGUGGAAGAUAUUGAGAACUCUUGGUCAUUGCAUUGACAAUGAAAGCAUGCCACCAAAAAUUAUUAUCUCUGUUUUCAAAGCUUGAGCUGUGGCACCUCUGCAAAUCAAUGCUUCCCUCUGCGAAGGGUCUGUCUAUUUAUUUUCCUGUUGAGUCAUCCUCUUCUUAUAUAAGCACCAAUUAGAGAGCACCUCUAUCAUUUUUAUGCUUUGCUUUUUAUUGAUAUUGAGUAUGACUAUGACUGGAUCUUUGUUGCUAUGAAUUACAAUGUUUAGUCAGCCCUUGAUCUUUGAAAGUGCUCUGCAUUUAUGUAUUGCGGUCUCAGAAGAGCUAGCAAGAUACCACCUAUUCAUAUUGCUUCACGCUUGUUUUGAUUGAAUUGUUGGUAUCUGAAACUCAUUAUUAUUUGCUCGCUAGCUGAUUAUGCCAUUGAUAUUAGUUUACCGUGAGACCUUUGUGUCACUUGCUUAUGUGGGUAACUUGUGAUCUUGCUGAAAUUCUGGUUAUGAGUUAGACAUAGUUGCAACAACAAGAUCAAACAGAGUUUGUCAAAGUUUUUCUUUCUCUUUCAGUUUGUCAACUGAGUUGCUUGAGGACAAGCAAGGUUUUAAGCUUGGGGGAGUUUGAUACGUCUCUAUUGUAUCUACUUUUCCAAACUCUUUUGCCCUUGUUUUGGACUCUAAUUUGCAUGAUUUGAAUGGAACUAACCCGGACUGACGCUGUUUUCGGCAGAAUUGCCAUGGUGUUGUUUUUGUGCAGAAAUGAAAGUUCUCGGAACGUCCUGAAAAUUUACGGAGAAUUUUUCUAGAAAAUAUGAAAAAUACCUGCGCAAAGAUCCACCAGAGGGGGUGGGCCAGUGGGCCACAAGCCCUGUUGCUGCGGCCACCCCCUGGCCGUGGCAACCAAGCUUGUGGGGCCCACGUGGCUCUGCCGCCCCCAAUCUCAGCUCUAUAAAUUCACUUUCACCCAAAAAAAAGAAGAGAAGAUUUUGUCGAGUUUGCGAUACGGAAGUGUCGCCACAUCCUGUUCUUCAUCUGGAGGACAGAUCUGGAGUCCAUUUUGGGCUCCGGAGAGGGGAAAUCAUCGCCAUCGUCAUCAUCAACCUUCUUCCCUCUCCAAUUCCAUGAAGCUCUUCAUCGUUCGUGAGUAAUCUAUUCGUAGGCUCGCUGGGCGGUGACGUGUAGGAUGAGAUCUAUCAUGUAAUCGAGUUAGUUUUGACGGGGAUUGAUCCCUAGUAUCCACUAUGUUCUGAGAUUGAUGUUGCUACUACUUUGCCAUGCUUAAUGCUUGUCACUAGGGCCCGAGUGCCAUGAUUUCAGAUCUGAAAUUAUUAUGUUGUCACCAAUAUAUGUGUGUUUUAGAUCCGAUCUUGCAAGUUGUAGUUACCUACUAUGUGUUAUGACCCGGCAACCCCGGAGUGACAAUAACCGGAACCACUCCCGGUGAUGACCAUAGUUUGAGGAGUUCAUGUGUUCACCAAGUGCUAAUGCGUUGUUACGGUUCUUUAUUAAAAGGAGAACCUUAAUAUCAUGUAGUAUCCUUUUGGACCCCGCUGCCACGGGACGGAUGGACAAUAGAUGUCAUGCAAGUUCUUUUCCCUAAGCACGUAUGACUACACACGAAAUGCAUGCCUACAUCACAUUGACGGACGGGAGCUAGCCACAUAUCUCUCCGUGUUAUAACUGUUGCAUGAUGAAUGUCAUCCAAACGAAUCACCGACCCAUUGCCUACGAGUUUGUCCCACUGCUGGUCUUACUGCUGUUACUACUGUUGCUGCUACUGUUACUUGCUGCUACUGUUACUUGCUUUGCUCUGCUGCUGUCACUAUUGUUUCUACUUGCUACUGCUGUUAUUACUGGCGCUUGCUACUGUUGCUACUUUCUACCGCUGUCACUAUUGUUUCUACUUGCUACUGCUGUUAUUACUGGCGCUUGCUACUGUUGCUACUUGCUACCGCUGUCACUACUGUUGUUCCUUGCCACUGCUGUUACUCGUUACACUGCUGCUACCUGCUACAAUUUUGAUUCGCUGGUCGUUGACGGGAACAGACAAUUUCCGUCAACGGGCAACUUCUGGCGCCAUUGAUACGACAGUUUGGAAUAGUCUGCCAUCAACAGAUCUUUUCUGACACCGUUGUUAUCAUACUACUUUGCUGCUGACUCUUUGCUUGCAGAUACUAAUCUUUCAGGUGUGGUUGAAUCUGACACAUUCAGCUGCUAAUACUUGAGAGUAUCCUCUCACCUCCUUUUGGCUUAUCAAUAAAUUUGGGUCGAAUACUCUACCCUCGAAAAAUGUUGCGAUCCCACGCGCUGGUGUGCCAUCAACGACAUUCUUCUAGUUUCGUUGCCGGGGAGUGCUAGCAGCAUUCUUCUGGUGCCAUUGCAGGGGAAGGUCUGUUGUCAUAGAGACAACAUUCUUCUGGUGCCGUUGCAGGGGAAGGUCUGUUGUCACAGAGACAUCAUUUUUCUGGUGCUGGUGCCGGGGAGGCAUCAAGUCAAGAAUAGUUGCACGUCAACAAAGACCCACUUCUCGAUGAUCACGUUGGCGUGCCGAGGACGGCGGCCAAGCUGCCAGGUCCGGUUUUGCAAGGCAUCAAACUCCUCAUGCAUGGCGGCGAACGAGAGAGGGUCACGAAGCGCCACACAGGCGGACAUCGACAGGGGCGACAUCGCCGAAGUGGAAGCCAUGCAUGCAUACUCGUCUGAGGCAUAACAAGUGCUUGGGGUGGUGCCGGAGCCACCGUAGGUCGAGGUGAUGAAGGACCCACAACCGGCUCAUCGACCACCACCAAGGGCGACGAUGGUAGAACUGACGAAACGGUCGACCCGCCAAUGGUCGGUAGGUGCCUUUAGGGACGGCAAACACGCCGGAAGCCGUGAUGGUCGACGAAGGAGCAUCACCCGACGAAGGCAUGGCAGCCGACGAUGCGGCAGCCAAGGCACACCUAGGGCCGACGUGAUGCGGUGACUCCCCGCUGAUUUACGUUGGUUUUGCUCCAAGCUUAAAGGGUGAUGUAGCACAACGAUGGCAAGUAUUUCCCGCAGUUAUGAAACCAAGGUAUCAAUCAAGUAGGAAGAUCCACAAGACUAUGUAAGCGGUACCUGCACACAAAUAACAAAUCCUCGCAGCCCAACACGUGUAGGGGUUGUCAAUCCCUCAUGGGUAAAGAAAAAGAUAGAUUGAUAGAUGCAAAUAAUGUGAUACAAAUAAAAGGUAGCAAGGUAUUUUUGGGUUUUUUGAUAAUAUAGAUCUGAAAUUAAACAAGCAAAUAAAAUAGAAACGUGAAUAGCAAAGUAGAGAUUGCAAAUAGAUGAUGUGAAAUAGACCCGGGGGCCGUAGGUUUCAGUAGUGGCUUCUCUCGAGAAAAUAGCAAACGGAGGGUAGACAAAUUACUAUUGGGAAAUUGAUAGAACAACGGAUAAUUAUGACGAUAGUCAAGACAAUGAUCAUGUGUAUAGGCAUCCCGUCCAAGACAAGUAUACUGACUUCUGCCUGCAUCUACUUCUAUUACUCUACACAGCAACCGCUAUCCAACAUGCAUCUAGUGUAUUGAGUUCAUGGAGAAACGGAGUAAUGCCUUAAGAACGAUGACAUGAUGUAGUCAAGAUCUAUUCAUGUAGGAAUAGACCCCACCGUUUUAUCCUUGAUAGCAAGGAUACAUGCGUGGCAUGUCUCUCUCUGUCACUGAGAUUGAGCACUGCAAGAUUGAACCCAUCACAAAGCACCUCUUCCCAUUGCAAGAUAAAAGAAAAAGUUGGUCAGACAAAAACCAAAUAUCAGAGAAGAAAUGCGAGGCUAUAAUAAUCAAGCAUGAAUAUAAUUUCAUAGAUCUGAUCAUAAACUCAAAAUUCAUCGGAUCCCAACAAACACACCGCAAAUGAUAUAGUUACAUCAAAUAGAUCUCAUAGAGACCAUUGUAUUGAGAAGAAAAACGAGAGAUAAAGCCAUGUAGCUACUACCUACGAACCCGUAGGUCUCAUAUGAACUACUCAUGCAUCAUUGGAGGAGCACCAAUGAGGAUGAUGAACCCCUCCAUGAUUGUGUUCCUCUCCGAACAGGAUCUAGAUUGGAUUCCGUGGCUUCUGGAACUUUCAGUGGCUGAAACAAUUUAUAGAGCUCAGAGGCGGUGGAGGAGGCGUCCAAGGCCCCCACUAGACAUCAGGCCACGCCAGGGGCCCUAGGCGCGGCCUGGUGCCUAGUGGGCUGCCCGGGCCUCCCCCCGUGAUCAUCCUUGACUCCCAAGUUUCCUUCUGGUCCAAAAAAAAUCUUCGUAAAGUUUCGUGGCAUUUGGACUUCAUGUGAUAUUGAUUUUCUGCGAAACAAAAAACAUCAAGUGGCACUAGGCACUAUGUCAAUAGAUUAGUCCCAAAAAAUGAUAUAAAGUGGCUAUAAAAUGAUCAUAAAACAUCCAAGAACGAUAGUAUUACAACAUGGAACAAUAAAAAAUUAUAGAUACGUUGAAGACGUAUCAGCAUCCCCAAGCUUAAUUCAUGCUCGUCCUCGAGUAGGUAAAUGAUAAAAAUAGAUUUUUUGAUGUGGAAUGCUGCCUCACGUGUUCAUCAUAUUCUUUUUCUUUUUAGCAUGGACAUAUGGACUUAUAGAUGAUUCAAAACAAUAGUCUAUAGUUUGACAUGAAAAUUUCAAUACUCAAGCAUAUCAACAAGCAACCAAGUCCUUCAAAAUAUAAACGCUAAAGAACAUUGUCCCUAGCCAAUCAUGCUCCAUCAUUGAUCCAUUCAUGCAACACACCCAAAUAUUAACUACAUCCAAUGCUCAAGUAUGAUAAUGGUGUUCCAUAGUUGGUGCUUUAUUACGGAAGAUGGAGACUCAAAUUCAAAAUAAAAAUUGCAUAAAGUAAAUAUAUAGGCCCUUCGGAGAGGGAAGCAGGGAUUUGUAGAGGUGCGAGAGCUCAGAGUGAAAAAUUUAGAGAUAAAAUAUUUUGGGUGGUAUGCUUUUUCUCUCAACAAAAACAACUAAGAGUUUCAAUAUCCUCCACGCUAAACAAAUUAUAGGCGGUUCCCAAACUAAAAAGAAAGUUUAUUCCUUUUUCCACCAUUCUUUCACACUCCACGGCUAGCCGCAUCCAUGGGUACCGUCCAUACCAACAAUUUCCAAGGAAUUUAUUAUUUGACAACAUAAAAUAAAUUUUCUUUUCAUAUUGGGACUGGGCAUCCCUAUUACCGGCUUACCGCCAUACUCUUGUGCAAUGACAAGUGAAUAAACACUCAUCUUGUGAAUAACCUAUUUAACAUGGAAGAUAGAGGCCACCCCUCGCCGUUUCAUGAGCGACACGGGCACACAAAACAGAAAUUUAUUUUCAACAUUAGAGUUGGCACUUGGAAAUUUACUUAGGACGGCGUUGAAAUACCACAUAUAGGUAGGUAUGGUGGACUUAUUUGGCACAACUUUGGGUUUAGGAUUUGGAUGCACAAGCAGUGUUCUCGCUUAGUACAAGUGAAGGCUAGCAAAUAGAUUGAGAAGCAUCCAAUGAAGGAACGAAAAUCAUCAUAAGUGAACAUUAAACAUAACUAACACCGAAUAAUGCAACACAAGUAGGAUGUAAUUUCAUAGCAUAAUUAUUGACUUCAUGUGCAUGCAUAGGGAAUCACAAACCUUAACACUAAUAUUCUUACUAAAGCAUAAUUACUCAUCAACAUAACUCACAUAUCACUAUCUUCACAUCGCAAAACUGUUGCAAAGAAUCAAGUUUAAUAUACAAUGAUCUUCGUGAAUUUUUUUAUUAUAUCUUUCGUGGACAUACAUCACUUUGGGACUAAUUUCAAUUAAAACAAAUUGUCAUUCCAAAUAACAAGCUCCCAAACAAGUAUAAGUGAAGAACGAGAGCACAAGUUUCUUUAAAAUAUUCAACUCUCAAAAUAAUAUAAGUGAAACAAGAGAGGAUUUCUUCAAAAUUUCUACUACUCUCAAAAUAAUCUAAGUGAAGCAUUAGAGAAAAUUUCUUCAAAAUAAAAGCACCACCAUGCUCAGAAAGAUAUAAGUGAAGCAGUAGAGCAAUUCCAUGGCUCUAAAACAUUGAAGUGAAGCAUGAAGAGCGAUUCUAACAAAUCAUAGCAUAAUUUGAUUCUUUCAAAUAGGUGUGUCGAGCAAGAUUUAUUAUGACAAACUAACCAGCAAAGAAAGGAAAUACACUAAUGAUACAAGAUGCUUGAAAAAAAACUCAUGAUAUGUGAAGAAUAAAAAUAUAGCUCUAAGUAAAAUUACCGAUGGUUGUGAGAAGAAAGAGGGGAUGCCUUCCGGGGCAUCCCCAAGGUUAGUUGCAUGUUACUUAUUGGAUAUUACCUUGGGAUGCCAUGGGGAAUCCCCAAGCUUAGUCUUUUAUAACUCCUUAUUCCUUCAUCCAUCGUGAUCUCAUCCAAAACUUGAAAACUUUAAUCGCACAAAACUCAACAAAAUUUUUGUGAGAUCCAUUAGUAUAAGAAAACCAAACUUUAGUUUAGGUACUAUUGAAAACCAAUUCCAAUUUUAUGUUUGCAUUAUACCUACUGUAUUCUAAUUUUACCAUGACUUAUACCCCCUGAUACAAACCAUAGAAUCAUCAAAACAAGCACAUAACGCAAAGAAAGCAGAAUCUGUCAAAAACAUAACAUUCUGUAAAGACUCGAAUUUUACCCAUACUUAUAUAACUCCAAAAAUUCUGAAAAAUCAGGACAACGUAUUGAAUUGUUUUACAAAUCUUGCGUAGAAAAAUCAGACACUUUUGACGCAUCUAUGAUUUUUAGGAUGUUUUCUACUCGAUGCAAAAGUUUCUGUUUUUCAACAGGAUUAAAGCAACUAACUCCCCACAUGAUCCCAAAGGCUUUACUUGGCACAAAAACUAAAUAAAACAUAAAAAACACAAUUAUAACAGUAGAAUAAUUGUGAAAACACUCAAUAACAGAAAGCAAGAGUGAAAAAUAAAUUUUAUUCAUUGGGUUUCCUCCCAACAAGCACUAUCGUUUUACGCCCCUAGCUAGGCAUAUAUCAUAGAUUUCAGGUAUUGUCAUCCUUACCGAUUGAUCCAUAGCUUGCCCUCAUGAUUGAUUCAUAUGGUAAUUUAAUACUAGUUCGAGGUAAGUGUUCCAUGACUUUUCUUAGUGGAAACUGAAAUUUAAUAUUCCCUUAUUUCAUAUUAAUUAGAGGCCCUAUAGUAUGCAAGAAUGGUCUACCAAGAAUUAUUGGACAAGACGGAUUGCAAUGAAUAGCAAGAACAAUAAAAUCUAUGGGCACAUAAUUCCUAUUUUCAAGAAAAAGAACAUCAUUAAUUCUUCGCAUAGGAUUUUUAAUAUUAUAAUCCGCCAAGUGCAAAUUGAGAGAACAUUCUUCAAUAUUGGUAAGACCAAGCACAUCACAAAGAGAUUUCGGAAUUGUGGAAACACUAGCACCCAAAUCACAUAAAGCAUAGCACUCAAAAUUCUUAAUCUUCAUCUUAAUGGUGGGUUACCAUUCAUCAUAUAAUUUUCUAGGAACUGAAAUAUCUAGCUCUAACUUUUCUUCCAAAGCUGUUAUUACCACAUCCGAAAUAUGUUUAGUAAAAGUUGUAUUUCGUUCAUUGGCAUUGGGUGAAUUUAUCACAGAUUUCAGCAUAGAAAUACACUCAACCAAAGAGCAACUAUCAAAAUUAAAGUUUUAUAAUCCGACAAAGUGGGUGCAUCACUAGCUAAAGUUUUGACCUCUUCAAUGCCACUUUUAUCAAAUUUUUAAUAGGAUUUUCACCCUUCGAAUCAUGAGAACGCCUUCUAGCUAAAGUUGACUCUUGUUCAGUUCCAUCAUCAUUAAUUUUAGCAUUACUAAACAUGGAAUCAAUAGAAUAAACACAAAUCAUUGUAAUCUCUUCAUCAUUUUUCUCUUCUAAAGAUUUUGGCUUGGCUGCCAUUUGAUUCAGUAACGUAGCUUGCGCAUCAUAUAUCUUUCUAGCAAAUUUUCGAUAAGGGAUAUUGAGAUUGGAGAUUAGCAACUUAUUUACUAACACGAUCAAGUUGUUUUGCUAUAGCAUCAAGAAAAAUAGAAUGCUCCUUAAGUUCUUUGGUAAAAAAAUUAUUUUUCUCAAAUUCCAUAGUCAUGUACUCAUUGGUACUUUUAUCAAUCUCUAACAAAAUGUUUGGAUACGGAAUAUCAUAAUACCUUCUUUGAGGCAUCAUGUCCACGCAAGCAAGAACACAAGCAAACAAGAGAUCCGGCAAGAAAACGGCAAACGAAUAGAAGGAAAAUAAAAAGGCAUAUUUUUUUGAAGUGAGGGAGAGGAAAACGAGAGGAAAAUGGAAAAUAAUGUAAUUGCAAGGAGAUGAGAGUUGUGUGUAGGAACCUGAUAAAUCUUGACUCCCCACUGAUUUGCGUUGGUUUCCCUCCAAGCUUAAAGGGUAAUGUAGCGCAACGACGACAAGUAUUUCCCUCAGUUAUGAAACCAAGGUAUCAAUCGAGUAGGAAGAUCCAAAAGACUAUGUAAGUGUUACCUGCACACAAAUAACAAAUCCUCGCAACCCAAUGCGUGUAGGGGUUGUCAAUCCCUCAUGGGUAAAGCAAAAGAUAGAUUGAUAGAUGCAAAUAAUGUGAUAGAAAAGAAAACACAUCAAGGUAUUUUUGGGUUUUUUGAUAAUAUAGAUCUGAAAAUAAAAUAUCAAAUAAAAUAGAAACACGAAUAGCAAAGUAGAGAUUGAAAAUAUAUGAUCUAAAAUAGACCCGGGGGCCGUUCACUUGUGGCUUCUCUCAAGAAAAUAGCAAACCGUGGGUAGACAAAUUAUUGUUGGGCAAUUGAUAAAACAAUGAAUAAUUAUGAUGAUAUGCAAGACAAUGAUCAUAUAUAUAGGCAUCACGUCCAAGACUAGUAGACCGACUUUUGCAUGCAUCUACUUCUAUUAAUUCACACAUCGACCGUUAUCCAACAUGCAUCUAGUGUAUUGAGUUCAUGGAGAAACGAAGUAAUGCCUUAGGAAUGAUGACAUGAUGUAGACAAGAUCUAUUCACUUAGGAAUAGACCCCAUCGUUUUACCCUUGAUAGCAACGGUACAUGCGUGUCAUGUCUCUUUCUCUCACUGAGAUUGAGCAUCGCAAGAUCGGACCCAUCACAAAGCACCUCUUCCCAUUGCAAGAUAAAAGAUCAAGUUGGCGAGACAAAAAACAAAUAUCAGAGAAGAAAUACGAGGCUAGAAUAAUCAAGCAUGAAUAUAAUUUCAUAGAUCUUAUCAUAAACUCACAAUUCAUCGGAUCCCAAUAAACACACCACAAAGGAUAGAGUUACAUCAAAUAGAUCUCCAAGAGACCAUUGUAUUGAGAAGAAAAAUGAGAGAAAAAGCCAUAUAGCUACUGCCUACGGACCCGUAGGUCUGAUAUGAAGUACUCACACAUCUUCGGAGGAGCACCAAUGAGGAUGAUAAACUCCUUUGUGAUCGUGUUCCUCUCCGGAACGAGCUCUAGAUUGGAUUUCAUGGCUUCUGGAACUUGCGGCGUCUGAAACAAUUUUUCGUCGACUCGUCUAAGGUUUUUGGAAUACUCGGGUAUUUAUAGAUCUCAAAGGCAGUGGAGGACACGCGUGAGGCCCCUACUAGACACCAGGUCGUGCUAGGGUGCCUAGUGGGUUGCCCGGGCCUCCUCUAGUGAUCAUCCUUGGCUCCCAAGUUUCCUUCUGGUCCAAAAAAAUCGGUGUAAAGUCUCGUGGCAUUUGGACUUCAUCUGAUAUUGAUUUUGAUUUUCUGCGAAAGAAAAAAUGGCAAAAAACAACAACCGACACUAGGCACUAUGUCAAUAGGUUAGUCCAAAAAAAUGAUAUAAAGUUGCUAUAAAAUGAUCAUAAAACAUCAAAGAAUGAUAGUAUAAUAGCAUGGAACAAUUAAAAAAUUAUAGAUACGUUGGAGAUGUAUCAUGCGGCAACGCGGGAAGCCCACCGCGGGAGAUGACUCCUCAUGUGUUUGUGCAAACGGAAAACAAUACUCGUCAAAGUACACGUGCCGAGAGGUGAUGAUGCGAUGAGACACCGGGUCAUAGCAACAGUAGCCUUUGGUGUUAGCCGGGUAACCGAGGAAGACACAAGGGACUGAGUGGGGAGCGAGUUUGUGAGGACUAGUAGACGUGAUACUAGGAUAGCGACGACAACCAAAAAUACAGAGGCCGUCGUAGGAGGGUGGAGUACCAUAAAGAAGAUGAUGGUGGGAGUAAUGCUAGAACGAGCAACAUGGGCAAAGGUUAACGAGGAGUCUGGCCGUGGAUAGGACAUCAUGUUAGAAAUAUGGAGGCAUGUAGGCGUGAAAGAGGAGAGUGUGAAAACACUCGUUAAGGGUGUGAAGGAUGCAUUCAGCGUGAUCGUUUUGUUGAGAUGUGUAUGUUAGAAAUACGCCCUAAAGGCAAUAAUAAAUUGGUUAUUAUCAUGUUUCCUUGUUCAUGAGAAUUUUUAUUAUCCAUGCUAUAAUUCUAUUGAUUGGAAACUCACAUACAUGUGUGGAUGCAUCGACAACACCGUAUCCCUAGUAAGCCUCUACUAUACUAGCUCGUUGAUCAAAGAUGGUUAAGGUUUCCAAGACAUAGACAUGAGUUGUCAUUUUAUAACGAGAUCACAUCAUUAGGAGAAUGGUGUGAUGGACAAGACCCAACCGUAAGCAUAGCAUGUGAUCGUAUCAUUAAGUUUAUUGCUAUUACUUUCUAUUCCCUCCGUCUCAAAGUAAGUGUCUUAAGCUUAAUACAACUUUAUACUAGAGCUAGUAUAAAGUUAAGACAGUUAUUUUGGGACAGAGGGAGUACAUGUGAAGUAUCUCUUCCUAAGACCAUGAGAUGAUGCAACUCCUUAACACCAUAAAGACUCCUUGUGUGUAUCAAAUGACACAACAUAAAUGGGUGAUUAUAAAUACUCUCUACAUGUAUCUCCGAGGGUGUGUUUUGGGUUGGCAUGGAUCGAGACUGGGAUUUGUCACUCCAUAUGACGGAGAGGUAUCUUUGGGCCCACUCGAUAAUACAACAUCACAAGAAACUUGCAAGCAUUGUGACUAAGGAGUUAGUUACGGGAUCUGGUAUUAUAGAGCGAGUAAAUAGACUUACCGGUAACGAGAUUGAACUUGGUAUGGAGAUAGAGACGAUCGAAUCUUGGGCAAGUAUCAUACCACUGGACAAAGGGAACUGCAUACGAGAUUGAUUGAAUCCUUAGCAUCGUGCUUCGACCGAUAAAUAUAUUUGUAGAAUAUGUAGGAACCAAUAUGUGCAUCCAGGUCCUGCUAUUGGUUAUUGACCGUAGAUGUCUCUCGGCUAUGUUUACAUAGUUCUUGAACCCGCAGGUUCCACACGCUUAACUUUCGAUGACAAUAUAGUAUUGUUGAAUUGUAUAUGUUGGUAACCUAAGGGUGUUUGGAGUCCAUAAUGAUAUUCGUACAUGAUGAGGGGCUUCGGAAUGGUUCGGAGGUAGAGAUUCAUACAUGGGAAGUUGGUAUUCGAGUUCCGAAAAAGUUCGGGGACUUACCCGUUGUGUGACAAAGUUGUUGGAAGUGUUCUGAGGGUCCACCUGCCCCCAAAGGGCACCUCACCUAAGGCCCAGGCGGCCAAAGGGCUAGGGCAGCCCAAGGGUGGGCACCACCCCUUGCCUUGGGUGGCAAGCCAGCCCCACCUUGGCCGCCACCCCUCCUAGGGAAAACCCUAGACUAGCCUGCUCCACCCUCCCCAAUAUAUAUGAGAGGAUAGGGAGGCAGCCAACACGCCAAUUCUUGGCGGCGCCCUCCCUCACUCUCUCUCUCUCUAUGAAGUACUUCUUCUCCUUACUCGCGUUGCGGCAGCGCUUGGCGAAGCCCUGCCGAGAUCUCACCACCACCACCGUCACCAUGAUGUCGUUCUGCCAGAGAACUCAUCUACUACUCCGCCCUCGCUUGCUAGAUAGACAAGGCAGAGACGUCAUCGAGCUAUACUUGUGCUGAAUACAGAGGUGUCAUCCAUUCGGCGCUAGAUCGGGACAAAUCGUGAUUGGAUCGAGAAGAUGUACGAGUACAUCAACCGCGUUUCUUAACUCUUAAGCUUAGCGAUCUACAAGGGUAUGUAGAUGUACUCCCCCUCUCAUAGCAAUACAUAUCCAUAGAUAGAUCUUGGGUGCGCGGUUGAAUUUUUUUUGUUUCCCAGGCAACGUUCCCCAACAGUGGCAUCAGGAGCUAGGUUUAUGCAUAGAUGAUAUACACGAGUAGAACACAAAGUGUUUGUGGGCAUUGAUGUUCAGAUUGCCUACUUCCUUAGUCUUAUCUUGAUUCAGCAGUAUUGUGGGAUGAAACGGCUCAGACCUACCUUACUUGUCCACGUAUAAGAGACAGGUUCCACCGACUAACAUGUAACUUGGUUGCAUAAAGGUGGCUGGCGGGUGUCUCUCUCUCUCUCCCACUUUAGUUGAAUUGGAUUCGACAGAGGCGGUCCUUGUAGAAGGUUAAAUAUCAACUUGAAUAUUUUUGGAAAUAUGCCCUAGAGGCAAUAAUAAAUUGGUUAUUAUCAUAUUUCCUUGUUCAUGAUAAUCGUUUAUUAUCCAUGCUAUACCUGUAUUGAUUGGAAACACAAAUACAUGUGUGGAUACAUCGACAAAGUGUCCCUAGUAAGCCUCUACUAUACUAGCUCAUUGAUCAAAGAUGGUUAAGGUUUCCUAGCCAUAGACAUGAGUUGUCAUUUGAUAACGGGAUCACAUCAUUAGGAGAAUGAUUUCAUGGACAAGAUCCAAACCUUAAGCAUAGCGUUUGGUCAUAUCAAGUUUACUCCUAUUGGUUUUUGCAUGUCAAUGUAUCUGUUCCUAUGACCAUGAGAUCAUGCAACCCAUUGACACUGAAGGAAUACCUUGUGUGUAUCAAAUAUCACACCAUAACUGGGUGAUUAUAAAGGUGCUCUACAGGUAUCUCCAUGCGUGUCUAUUGAGUUGGCAUGGAUCAAGACUGGGAUUUGCCACUCCGAAUGACGGAGAGGUAUCUUGGGGCCCACUCGGUAAUACAACAUUAUAGUAAGGUUGCAAGCAGUGUGACUAAGGAGUUAUUCACGAGAUCUUGUAUUAAGAAACGAGUAAAGAGACUUGUGAGUAACGAUAUUGAACUAGGUAUGGAGAUACUGAUGAUCAAAUCUCGGGCAAGUAACAUACCGAUGGACAAAGGGAACUCCAUACGAUAUUAAGUGAAUCCUUGACAUCGUGCUUCGACCGAUAAAGAUCUUCAUAGAAUAUGUAGGAACCAAUAUGGGCACCGAGGUCUCUUUAUUGGUUGUUGGCCGUAGAGGUGUCUCGGUUAUGUCUACAUAGUUCUCGAACCCACAGGGUCUACACACUUAACAUUCGGUGACGAUAUAGAUAUAGUUGAGUUAUUGUGUUGGUGACCGAAGGUUGUUCGAAGUCCUGGAUGAGAUCCCGGACGUCACUAGGACCUCUAGAAUGGUCCGGAGGUAAAUAUUUAUAUAUUGGAAAGUGGUAUUCGGGUUCCGGAAAAGUUUUGGGUUUUUUCGGUAUUGUACCGGGAGUGCCGAAAGGGUUUUGCAGGUCCACCGACGGGGUACACCCACCCCUAGGGCCUACGUGCGCUGAGGAGUGAGUCAAACCAUCCCCUAAUGGGCUGGGCACCCUACCAUAAGAGUCCCAUGUGCCCAAGAGGUAGGUGUGGAGGUGCCUUCAGGAGGAGGGACUUCUCCCCUUGGGCGCCCACCUCCCUUGUGGGAGGUGGACUCCUCCCACUUGGUCGGCGAGCCCUCCCUUGGCGAAGGGGAUAAGUUUGCACCCUACCUACCCCUUCCUCCUAUAAAUAGAUAGGGAGAGGGAGGCAACCAACACACCAAGCCUUGGCGACACCCUCCCUCUCUCUCGCUAGAUUGUUUUCUCCUCUGUUGCAUCGUGGAAGCGCUUGGCCAAGGCCUGCACAGAUCACACCACCAUCGCCGCCACCAUGCCAUCAUGCUACCGGAGAACUCAACCUGUACUUCACCAUCUCUUGAUGGAUCGAGGAGGUGAAGGCGUCAUCGAGUUGUACGUGUGCUGAAUGCGGAGGUGCCAUCCGUUCGACACUUGAUCGGGGCGUUCGUGAUUGGAUCGCUAAGACGUUCGACGACAUCAACCGCGUUUAUUAACGCUUCCGCUUAGCUAUCUACAAAGGUAUGUAUAUGCACUCCCCGUCUCGUAGAUGUUGAUCUCCAUAGAUUGAUCUUGGUGAGCGUAGGAAAUUUUUUGUUUCCCAUGCAACGGUCCCCAACACUAGCAUCAUGAGCUAGGUCUAUGUGUAGAUAACAUGCACGAGUAGAACACAAAAGAGUUUGUGGGCACUGAAUUUCAGAUUUCUUACUUCCUUAGUCUUAUCUUGAUUCGGCGGUAUUGUAGGAUGAAGCGGCUGGCACCAACCUUACUCGUCCACGUACGAGAGACCGGUUCCAUCGAAUGACAUGCAACUUGUUGCAUAAAGAUGACUAGCAUGUAUUUGUCUCUCCCACUUUAGUUGAAUCGGAUUCGAUGGAGGUGGUCCUUGUAGAAGUUUAAAUAGCAACUUGAAUAUCAUCGUUGUGGCUUGGCGUAGGUAAGAACAGUUCUUACUAGUUACCCAUAGCAGCCAUGUAAAACACACAGCAACAAAGUAGAGGACGUCUAACUUGUUUUUGCAGGGUAUUCGGUGAUAUGAUAUGGUCAAAUACAUGAUGAGAUAUAUGUGAUGUAUGAGAUGAGCAUUUUUUUAUAGAUUAUCAUGACUUGCAUGUCGACGAGUAUGGCAACCAGAAGGAGCCAUAGGGUUGUCUUUACUUAAUUUGUGCAUUUUUGCUUACUUUAUCACUAUGAAUUAGCAAUAGUUGUAGCAGUGUAGCUGGUGCAGCAAACCAAUGGAGACACGAUGAUGGAGAUCAUGGUGUCAUGCCGGUGACGAUUGGGAUCAUGUUGGUGCCCAAAGGUCGAACAUGGGUCAUAUAGUAGAUAUGAUCAACAUGGAGAUGCUCACCAUUGAAACCACCUCAUCUCACAUGUUGAUCGGACUUGGGUUGGUGGAUUUGGAUCAUGUUACACUCGAACAACCUGAGGGAUGUUUAUUUGAGUGGGAGUUCUUAAGUAAUAUGAUUAAUUGAACUCAUUAUCAUGAACAUAGUCCAAGUUGUUUUUGCAAAGUAUGUUGUAGAACAAUAGCUCACCCUAUAGCUCCCUUGUAUUUUUGAUAUGUUCCUAGAGAAAACUAAGUUGAAAGAUGAUAGUAGCAAUUGUGCGUAAUGGUUAUGUAAACUAAGGAUUGUCCUCAUUGCUACAUAGAAGGCUUAUGUACUUGAUGCACCGCUAGUUGUGCCACACCCUCAAGCGUCAUAUGUGGAUGUUGUGAACAUCCGGUAGACACGCUUUUGAUGACUACUUGAUAGUUCAGUGUGUCAUGCUUUACGGCUUUGAAUUGAGGCUCCAAAGAUGUUUUUUAACGUCACAAAGCAUAUGAGAUGUUCCAAGAGCUGAAAUUGGGAUUUCAAGCUCGUUACCGUGUUGAGAGGUAGGAGACCUCCGACAAGUUCUUUGCCAGCAAGAUGAACGAGAAUAACUCAAUCCGUCAGCAUGUGCUCAGAUUGUCUAGGUGCUACAAUCGUUUGAAUGAAGUGGGAGUUGAUGUUCCACAUAAGAUAGUGAUUGACAUACUUCUCCAAGUCAGUGCCACCAAGCUAUUAGAGCUUCCACAUGAGCUAUAACAUGCCUGGGAUGGAGAAGAUGAUCCUGAGUUAUUCGUGAUGUUUUACACCACGAAGGUAGAAAUCAAGAAGGAGCAUCAAGUGUUGAUGGUUAGUAAAACCACUAGUUUCAAGAAGGGCAAGGGCAAGAAGGGAAACUUCGAGAAUGACAAAUCAGUUGUCGCUCCAAUGAAGAAACCCAAGGUUGAACCCAAACACGAGACUGGGUGCUUCUAUUGUGAGGGGAACUGUGACAUCCUCAGCUUUUGCAACAGUGUUGUAUGUAAUUAAGCUAUAGUGAUCCCACGCUAAUGAUGCCACGUCACCAUGGUUACUAUUGUUAAACUUGCGUCGGUUCAAUCCCCGUCCAAUUUCAUUGCAAAGUUAAUUCGUCCAAAAAGUGAAUUUAAAAGUUUUGCGAAACGGAAAAUAAAAACGUUCGAUGGGUUGCAAAUAUUCUCUAGGAUUUUAAAAAAUUGGAUCGGGUAUUUUUAGAAAUAAUUUAGAGCCUUUAAAUAUUUAAUACAUGCACUAUUUAAUAAAAAAGGAAAACCCCCACCCCAUUGGGCCGGUCAGCCCAACCCAACACUUAAACUGGCCCAUCUACACGACAGGGCAUAAGACCCCCUGGAAACCCUAGCCCAAACCGCCCUCACCCCACUCCCUGCCGCCAGACACCCACCACCCAUGAGGGGGGUGGCUCCCCUCGUCAUCCCUCCCCUCGCUCACCCAACACCCGAGCCCCUCGCUUGAUCCCCAUCGCCAGCUCCCACGGCCCCACGUCGCCCCGCUCCUUCGUCAUGUUGCCCUCGCCAGCCUCGUCACCCCGAGCGCCGGCCUCCACCUCGCCUCCCUGCCUCGAACCUCCCCGGCGCCACCCACCCCGCCGGCCGGCCUCUCCAUCAACCCGGCCGGACACUACCUCUCCUUCCCCCGUCGCCCCUCCGAUCCACUGGGACCGAGCCCCUGGAUCCACCUCCUUCCCUCGACUUCCUCUCGCCGGCCACUGACGGGCCACCCCGCUCGAGCUUGCGGCCUCCCUCGCCGGAUCCACCAACGGUCGGUGCCGCCCGCCGCCGCUAGGGCUCCUCCACGCCUCCUCCUCACCUUUUUCUCCGCUGGCCCCGACCACUCCAUCGUCGGAACGCCGUUGUCGCACCUCCUCGCCGACCUCCUCACCCCGUCCUCGACAGCUCCAUCGAGCCUCGCCGCCCCCGCUCCCCAGCAACGUCGGUGAGGCUCCGGCCUCCUCUCCUUUUCCCCAUCCGGCGCCUCCCUUUCCCUCGCCGCACCGCGCUCCGGCCGCGCCAUUUUCCCAGUGGCGUGUGCUGGCGCGGUCGCGACCGCGCCCACCCCUACGUUGUCCACCCACUCGCUCACUGCCUCGCUGCGGCUCCUUCCUCGCCGCGGCCCUGCUCGCCGUUCCGGCUGCCUCGCCGUGCUAGUCGCCACCGGCCGCCCCGUGAGCCCAUGGCGCCUCUCGCCCCUGACCCCCGAGCUGAUCUGGUUAGUGGGGGGUUAACCUUCCCCACUAACCCCCCUGUGUAUGACAACGGGGCGCACCCCCUAAUGACGUUUUAGAAAUAAAAAUAAUAAAUAGAAAAUAGAAAAUUAAUUAAAUAAUAAUAAAUCAGUGAAUGACAGGUGGGUCCCCCAUUAAUUAAAUUAUUUAAUUAAUUAUUAAACCUAAUUAAAAUUGUGUCAAUAACAUGUGGGGCCCACUCGCUAGUUGACCAGUCAACAGAUCAUGUUGACUGCUGAUGUCAUGAUGACAUCGUGAUGAUGUCGUAAUACAAAUAUCUAAAUUAAUUUAAUCUGUUUUAAUUUCUGAAUUUUGGUUAAAUCUUUGAAAAUUAAUAUAAAAUAAACCGCAGCUCACAUGAAAAUACAUUGAACAUGAAAGUUGAUCAGCAAAACGAGACGAACCAGCAUACGCUAUCCGUUCGUGUGUCACGCGUCCCUAGCAUAGCAAACGUGGAACUUUUCCACCGUUUCUCGUCUGAAGGUAGUAGCCAGAGACCCGGGAAAUAUCAUCUGACAUUUUUCUGACCCGUCUAUGAUGGAUAGAACUGCGUUAGCUCAUGCCUAGACCUGCAUAUUGCCAUGUCAUGCAUAGUGUUUCAUCUGUGUUUGUAUUUAUUGUUUCUUCCCCCCCCCCUCUUCUUAUCGGUAGACCCCAAGACUGACGUUGCUGCCGGGUUCAUCUACCCUCCUGACGACCUGCCCUUUGCCGCAGAGCAACAAGUCAAGCAAACCCCGCUUGAUCAUUCCGAUAUCGCCUAUUCUUUCUCCCUCAUGUUUGCAUUAGAAUUUUUCUACUGUCGUAGUUACCUCCUAUAUCUGAUGCAUAUCCUAUUUUUGAUGAACUGCUACUUUCAGUAUCGUACCUUUAAACUAUUUAGUAUAGGUGGAGCAGUCAUCCCCUCUGAUCCCGUAGUCCAGUUGCCCCGCUUUAUUGUCGAGUCUCGAUCCCUGAUCGACGAGCCAAGAUCCGACACAACACUUACACCCCCUUAGUUGUACGACGCUGCAGGGCUACUAUCAGGUACCGAGGGUGACACCUCGCGAAGUACUCAGGAUGAUAUCUCUUUAGUACAGCUAGUCGUCGUGGUUAUCGAGAGUGAUUCCUCCUUCACCACUCCUGAUGAUCACUCUGUCAUGCAACCCCUCAAGUGUGAGACCCUCGAGGGUGAUUCCUCUAAGUCCACCUUGACGGUUACAUCGUUCGAGAUGCAAUGAGGGUGAUACCUCAGAUCCCCCUGAUGUUACAACCACACAGUUAGUUGACCAUGUUACUGGGAUCUUUGAUGAAUAGAUGUUAGGCGGGUGGAUUCCCGCGUGGAUGCGUCGAUGACUUAAUUAAAAUGAUAAUGGAUUUAGGUAUUUGAUCUUGGUUGGACGGAAGGCCUUAUUACGCACUAACCGUCUGCGUGGGAAGAAUUAUGGGCACUCAACGUCGUAGUAUCAGCCGAAGCUCUGCAAACGUCGGCAAUGGAGCGGCGUGCGCCCGAGUGGUCCUGAGAUGCAUCGCGCUUGUAUUAAGGGGUGCUAGGGCUCACAUUGACUGCCCUUGCAUCGUGCACGAGCGUAGAGGGCAAGUGGGCUCAUGACCCCUUUGUGCUUAGGAUUUAGACCAGCGGGCUGGCCUCUCUGUUGAACUUAGGUGGGACUGCGACGUGUCGAUAUUCCGAGGCCGGGCAUGCCCCAGAAAAGUGUGUCUGACCAGAGUGUUAUCGAGCGUGACGGGGAAUAUGUUGUGCACCCCUACAGGGAAGAACUUAUCUAUUCGAAUAGUCGUGUCCAUGGUUACAGGACGACUUGGAGUUGUGUCCUGGUCUUAUACAACUACAACUGUUACUUAACUGGAUUGUUUCCCUCGGUUGCUUCCCCGCAGGGAGUCGACGAAGGAUCUCUGGGCGUGACCUCAUAUUAAUAUUGCUGCAACAAUAUGACUAUUAUUUCUGUUAUAUGUUCUACACUCGUCUAUUGCUGCAUGACCCCCUGAAGAUGCUAGUCUUCGAUAGGACUAGGCUUUUCCUCUCUUUCUCGCAUUGCUGCAGUCAUUCCACAUAUAAAUCCCUUCUUUGAUACUGAUGCAUACUUAGCAUAGUUCUGAUGUCAGUCUUGCGAGUACUUUGGAUGAGUACUCACCGUUGCUUUGCGCCCCUUUUUUCCCUUGAUCCGUUGCUGCGACCAGAUGAUGGAGCCCAGGAGAUGGAGUAUCCUUGUCACGCCCAAGAUGCGACCCUAUCCUCAAUUUGGCACGAAGGCCUCGUCAGGGAUAGAACCGCAUCUCGUCGUGGCGCGAGAAUGGAUAUCGUUACAAGUACAUGUACUGAAAAGAAGAGAUAUAUAAUAGAAUGGGCUUACACUCGCCACAAGCUACAUCAGAGUCACAUCAGUACAUUACAUAAUCGUCAAGAGUAAGAGCAGGGUCCGACUACGUACGAAAACAAAUGACAAAAGAAGAACAGCGUCCAUCCUUGCUAUCCCAGGCUGCCGGCCUAGAACCCAUCCUAGAUCGAUGAUGAAGAAGAAGAAGAAGAAGCAACUCCAAAUGAACAAGCAACGCGCUCGCGUCAAGUAACCUUUACAUGUACCUGCAACUGGUGUUGUAGUAGUCUGUGAGCCACAGGGGACUCAGCAAUCUCAUUUCCAAAGGUAUCAAGACUAGCAAAGCUUAAUGGGUGAGGUAUGGUUAAGUGGUGAGGUUGCAGCAGCGGCUAAGCAUAUAUUUGGUGGCUAAACUUACGAGUAGAAGAAGUAAGAGGGGGGAUGAUCUACGCAUAACGGACGUGAACUACUAAUGAUCAAAUGAAUGGUCCUGAACACCUACCUACAUCAGACAUAACCCCACCGUGUCCUCGAUCGGAGAAGGAACUCACGAAAGAGACAGUCAUGGUUAUGCACACGGUUGGCAUAUUCUAAUUAAGUUAACUUCAAGUUAUCUAGAACCAGUGUUAAACAAAGUUUCCAUGUUGCCACAUAACCGCGGGCAUGGAUUUCCGAAAGAUUUAACCCUGCAGGGGUGCUCCAACUAGUCCAUCACUAAUUACCACAAGCCGCAUAGAAAUCCUCGAUCACGACACUCGCGAUCUCGUCAGAUUCCUUUGUGGAAAACCUCAACUUUGAGAUUACCCAAAGCAUCACCGGAAUACCGAUGCACAAGAUAUCCCGUCAAAGGUAAAAAUAAUCUAGCAAGGCCACCCGGUAUGUCGACGAACCCGAUAGGAGCCGCGUAUAUCGUUCUCAGGUCACACCGUCUAUGCAUAGUGGACGGUAGCCAAACCUCGAGUUGCCCCGAGGUGGCACCGCCGACUGCUAGGUGGGUGUACCAACACUCAUACGGAGCAUUGGCCCGGGGGUUGAUUAAAUUAUCCUCGGGGUCCGGAAAGUCCCUAUGCAAUUUUAUUAGGUUAUUAGGCAAAUGUAGUACCAAUGUUGGGCCUUGCCAGACCAACUUUAAUCUAAAACAAAUUAUCAAGGGGGUCCCCAUAACAACCCCGAUUGUGUUAGGAGCGCUCAAUUAUGGAACAUAACACCGGUAGCCGAAAACUAAGGGGGCAAAGGUGGAACAAAACACCAGGCUAGAAAGGCCGAGUCUUCCACCUUUUACCAAGUAUAUAGGUGCAUUAAAAUAAAUAGCAUUUAAUAUGGUGAUAUAACAAGGAACCCAUGCUUUCACAUGGAAGCAAAGCACCUGCAACUCUAACACAGGGUUAAGCAAGCGGUAACAUAGCCAAUCAGUGGUUUGCUAGGUCGAACAGGUAGAAGGUUUUCAUGGCAUUGUUGAGAGGCUAAUAUUUAACAUGUGGUAGGCAACGAGACAUAAUCGAUAGAAGCGACAAAACUAGCAUGGCAAUGAUAGUAAUGGUAUCUGGGGAAAUGGUCAUCUUGCCUGAGAUCCCGCUUGGAAGAAGAAUGCCUCCGUGAAGCAGACGAACCGACGUAGUCGAACGGGUCCUCACAAUCCGACACGCUUGCGAAACUCUAUCGAAACGGAGGAAACCGGAAACAAGAAUCAACACAGGAUAUACACCACACGAUGCACAACACAUAUGAUGCAUGAGUAGCUGGUAACAUGCAAGUCACGGCAUGACAAUUCACACAAACAAACACUACACCUUAAGUGAAGUUCAAUAUGCAACGAGUUGCAUAUUGACGAAACUCCACAUACAAGUUAUUUAGUUCUAUCCCGAUUAUAUACACGGCAAUAUUAAAUGUGGUUAAGCAUGGCAAGAGGUGAAGCGCAAUUAAACUACCUAUCUAGGCAUUUUAAAUGAGGUCGGAAAUGACAUAUAGCACCUCCGAGACGACCUCACAUGUUAAUUUACAAUUAUGUCCAGAUCUGAACUAACACAUUUAAUUGGUUGUUAAACAGCAAAACAAAUAGGUUCACGUGAUUCUACGCAUCGUUACAAGCAAUCCACACUUAGAGAACAUCUCCAACGGAGCUACAGUUCAAAAGAUACAAGCACCGCAAGAUAUGAUGUCAUGAAUGCAAUAUGUGUGCAACGACGGUCACGAGCACUUCAAAACAUACAAUCAGCAAGAGCAAAUGAAACUACACGAGAUUCUAAGCAAGUUCCAUAUAGGACAUGAUCAAAACGGGGCUACGGUUCAACAUCUACGAGCAAAACAAGAAAUCACUACAACCUGCCAAAAUCAGCCACAUAGCAUUUUCUACGCCCCACAACUACGAGCUACACAAAACCAAACUACUCAACCAAGGCAUGACAUGAAAGAGGGCAAGAAGCACUAUUACAAACAACUAACAACAACUAACAAAAGAGCUACAGAUCACAAGAUAGAAGCAAGACAAGACAUCAACAAAGUAUAACAGAUUUUAGACUUGAAAUAUUUCAGCACCUCCAAAUCAGCACUAUUUCUAGCAACUUGAGAGCAAGCAAACCACACCUAAACAUGCAUUUCUAUUGCAACUAAAAUUACCAGGGGCUAGACUAAACAUCCAAAAACAACUCCCUAGUUAACAACUCCUUCAAACGAAGCACGGAAUAAAUCCUACGAAAAAGACAACAGGGCAACAUGGCAAAAUAUCGUGUGAACUAACUUGCUCAAAAGCUAAAACUAAUUGCACAGAAAAAUCCAAUGAAUUUUUCUACCCCGAAAACAUAUAAAAUAUGUGGGGUUGCACAACAAAAAUAAUGCCACACGUAAAUGCGAGAUAAUGUCCUAAACACGGGAAAUAAACUAGCGGCAAAUCCCUACACUCAAGAAUACGAAUGACUACUCUAAAAUUCAUGGCAAAUGGGUCCCUAGAGCAUGAACAUUUUAUCUAAGGCAUUCGGGCAAACCGGACACGCGCAAAAAAUAAAUACGGGACACAAACAUAUUAGGACAGCACGUUAAUCUAUGCAUACGGCAUGCCAAACAACGUCAAACAAAUAUGCAAGUUGUGAAAUCGUGUUCUACGCGCAAAACUACACGAAAUCCAUAUACUACACGUCGCAAACCGAUUAACGGUUUAAAAGAUACACGCGGGUUUUACUAAACGUCUAAUUUCUGGAAUUUAUUAAUUCCUAAAAGUACCUAAAUAUCUAAUGAGCCUACAGGGGGUGCAACCUAACUAAAAUGUUUUCAGGCGGGGGAUAGAGGCAGGGAAAAAAGAUAAAAGGAGUGCUUACCUAUGGGCCGGAUCUGGCAUGGGCGCUGGAGAGGAGGAGCCGGUUGGGCCGGGGCGCUGGAGGCGCGUAGCUGGGCCGAGGCCUCGGGGGUUGGUGUUGGGCCGGCUGCGCAGCUGGGCCAACCGCUGCUGGCCACGCGCGGGCGAGCGCUGCAGCGGGGCGAUGGGAUCGAGCACUUCCGCUCGAUCUGGCGGGCGGCGUCGGCUGCGGUCCACGGGAGCUGGCGGCGGCUGAUCUGGGAAAGACCGUGGGGUCAACGCGGGGGGGGGGGGGNNNNNNNNNNNNNGAGGGGGGGGGGGGGGGGGGGGGGGGGGGGGGGGAACGGAGCGCUGCGGGAGCCCACGCGGGGGUGCAGCGAGCGGGAUACCGCGGCUGCUGGCGCUCUGUAUAAGCACGGGGAGGCCUGACCUCGGUCAACGCGGGGAGGCCCGACUCUCCUCCCGAUCUGGAGGCCCGAACCAGAUCGAGGGAAGGCGGCAGCGCUCCCGAGGGCGACUGUCGGCAGGGGAAAACGCACCGAAGGACUCGAGAUCCGAGCGAAGCUGCCGGCUGGCUGCUCGAGCAGACCGAGGGAAGGGGCUGCACGCGCGAUUGGGGCGGCGGGGAAAACGAGGAAGGGAGACGGCGGCGAUGGGACUAGGGUAGGAUGGGACAGAUUGCUAGGGUUUGCCUGCUUAAAUAAUUAGGUGGGUUUGGAUAGGGCUGAUCUGGACCCUCCGAUUCGAAUGGACGGUUGAGAAAAAUAGGUUCGGGAGUGCAAUGGACAAACCGAUGACUGUUUGCGGUAAAACGGGGUUGAUCCGGAUCCAAUGGUCACGACCGCCGGGUUUGGGUUCCGGGAGGUUUUCGGACUGGGCUGCGCGUAGGGUCGAUGCACUGUGUAGAGGGGCUAGGCGGAGAUGAGAGGGAAAACGGGCACCCAGCAACAUGUUUUAAAAACACCGACAACCUUCCGACGGUAGUCCGAAUACGGUGCCGCUACGGUCGACCGUUCGGGUACCAGACAGACUCCGAUCGCGACGAAAUUCGACAGGCAGCCUAGCUAUAACUAAUCACGACCGCAUGCCAAGUUUCACCUCGAUCAGAGAAAGUUUUCAACACACUUUUAUAACACAGUCUGACGAUGCCGUGGGCGCGUGCGUGUGUGGUCGGGCUCCGAACGGGCAACGACGAGAACCGGCAACUAACAACGGAUGCAAGUUUGAAAACUGGCGGCAACGGAGAUGCCGAUGCAAUGAAGAUGAUGCGAAUGAUGCGAUGAUGAUGCGACAAAAUAAAAUAGACACAUAGAAGGGGAAUCUUCUGGAACGUCGGCAUCGGGCUGUCACAAUCCUGCCGGCGACGACUGCUACACCGACGGUGCCCUACUAUGUGGAGGCCGUUGAAGACCAGGAAUAGUUAGGAGGUUCCCAGGUAGGAGGCCUCGCCUUGUUCGGUCGUUGUAUCUUUUGUGCUAGCCUUCUCUAAGGCACCCCAUGUUUAAUGUCUGUACUCAGAUAUUUGCUGCUUUCGUUGACUCGUGUGUUUAUCGAGCUUCUGUAUUCUAGCCCUCGAGGCCCAUGGCUUGUAAUAUGAAGCUUGUAUGUUUUAUUUGUGUCUAGAGUUGUGUUGCGAUAUCUUCCCGUGAGUCCUUGAGCUUGGUCGUACGCAUUUGCGUGUAUGUUUAGCAUAUGAUCAAAUCGAGGGCGUCACAAGUUGGUAUUAGAGCCGACUGCGUGUAGGUAGCCCCCUUUCCAACUCCUUGGCCGAAGUUGAGUUUAGUACUUGAAAAAAACUUACUAACUUUGAUGUUGUGGCUUACGGGCCCACAUCUCAAUCGGGUGGUAUUAGUAUCUUUUACUCCUUUCCUAUACUCUGGGUUCUACCCUCUCUUCUCUUUCGGGUUAAAGAUUUUUCUAACUCUAACUCUAGGUUCUCGUAACUAUUUCCUCCCGGAGAGCCCCUCAUCCCAGAUGAUGACUUGAUUCAUCAAAAGACUCCAAAGAUACUCUCCGAUGUUCUCUCAAGAGCUGGUGCCCAUUGCUUCAGCGAUUUUCCCUUCCUCCGCCAACCCUUAUGGAUGACUGCAUAAAAUGUCCUUCAUACUUUCUUUUCCAAUUUCUCUUGUUUUACAAGAUGCAACGAAUUAUCUUAUCGGGUUUUCAUCCAUCAUCAGUUGUCAUGGGUUUCGAAAGUUCUUCGAAUUGCUAUUCGAUUUUUCGGAAUCCCGAGUAGCCUAUCGCUCCUGACCUUUCUCACCUGCUUGCAUUAUGGUUAAAUCAAAUGUCUAGUCGCAUUCAUUAAAAUCCUUUGUGAUUUUCAUGUGAUCUUAUUGAUUCUACCUUUGUGUGAAUGAACACAAUCAUCUGUUGAUACUCAUAUAUUAUCUUUCCGGCUCAGACGUCCUUCGAGACAGAGCUGGUUCUCGACAAAUCAACUUUGGUUGGUUGUCCAUCUAAGUCCAUUCAACUUACCUGUAUUUGAUCGGAGCAUCUAAUUAUGAUACACCAACCUAGAAAUCCUAAUUACUUUAGUAAUUAAGUAUCGAUAUUUUUCAGAUGUUCUAUAACCCAAUGCAUUGCAUCCUACCUCGCUCUGAUUGAGUACUGACACUCACAUGAGGUCCUUUGUGAACCAUCAAACCCAUUGUUUUGUUAUUAUCCAAUGACAUUCUUUGCUUUCAAAAAUUCUUGUGAUAUGCUUCCCCUGACACAUGAUGCCAUUGGUAAAUUGUGUUUUCUCCCUCUAAUAAGUUGUAUCCUAUGCUUUUGUCAGUCAUGCUCUUCAAGCAUGUGUUAAUUACUCUUGGAGUUUGCGGUAUAUAUUCCUAAGAUGCCCCAACGGGUUAAACCUAUGCCUUUCUAAAUCAAUAUUAUCCGAAGAGUUUUUCACGAGUCUUGCUCUUCUGGUCUUUUCCCAGAUAAUCUUUCCAAGCUACAACCUCAUGAAAGGCGAGGAGUAAAUGGAAGGUGAUGCAUUGAUGAAGUGGGAUUCGACCUUGAACUUUGUGUUCAUGAUCCUAUCAUAGAAGCUUAUCGUAUCAAUAAUCAUUCAUUAUAUGAUUUGAUCUGGUAUUUGUGGUUUGGUACUUUUCAACCGUGGUUUGGACCAUGAUUGUUCUUCUUUGAUCCCAUAUGUAGACAAAUUAAGGUGCUUGUCUUCCACAGAUCAAUACACCAGUUUAACCUCUAUUCUGAUCUACCUUCGAGUGUAUCCCGAGAAUAUCGCGGAGCUACAUAACUUCUUAUGAGCUCCUCAUCAACCAUGACAUCUCGCUGAUUCUAGUUUCCUCGUGUUUUGAGUUGCUGAACACUCAAGGACACGGAUGACUGAAUCCCGUACGUUUUGCGAUUCCACAACUCUUAAUAACCUUAUUUGCUUAUGAUUUGUACUCGAACAUGUCUUUCCAAUGCUGUUAGGCUGCAUCAUCAUCAGCAUUCUGAGCUCCUUCAGGGUAUCAGUUGAAUGCAUGGUGAGAAAUACCAUCCUUGCCCCUCGAUGAUUUGUGUUUUCAUCGUCAACCUUUUUGCCUUCCCUCCAACACAAACGUGAUCAUGUUUUGUGUUGUCCCUUGAGUUCCUUGCUAUCUAGCUUAUGUUAUCUUCUAUCUUGGAGUAUUACCAUCUUUAUGUCAAGAAUGUCGUGAGAAUUGCACACGUCUUAAGAAUUCUUGAUAUAGUAAUACUUCUCACCAUCAACAUUCAUUUCUUGGUCCCGUGUUGUUUCAAACCGGAAUACCAACAAGCGAACUUUGAUGUGUGAUCCCAAUGCUUCUGGCAACCCUACUACCUUGAGGUUAACAACUGAUUGUGUCAUUCUUGGUGUGUUGGUUCUUAACUCACCAUUCUAGCAUUGGUCGUGCUACUCAUUCAGUAUUUCCGAGUGCACCCUUUUACCAAUGUUUAAUUGUUGUUGUUCCCUCGAGCAUUCGACACUAUACCAUUUGAUUUGACAAAUGAUAUCUCCUUGAUAUUAUAAUUUUGGAAAUUCAUCCCUCUCAAAAUCUUGAGGGAUUGCUUUUUAUCCCAUCAGCCACACCCUCAACCUCUCCAUGUCCCACGAUGGAGCUCUUGAAAGCAUUAUACUUGUGCCUAGCUCAUGAAGAAUGUGUUUGAUACCAGGAAUGUUUUCCCAAAGUUCAUGUGUGUUCUUAUCGUCUAGGAUCAUCCCAAGUCAUUCACGCUUGUGCAAAGUGUUACAUGUUUUGAAGAUUUGCUAUCUUCACUUCAUAUAAGAUCUCUUAGCACCCCAAGCCACUGACUGAUUUGAUCAAGGAAACUAAGUUCCGUCAUACGAGCUAAUCGAGUCUUGCCCAAGGGCCUUGAUAUCCUCGAUGAUAGUUCUCAAAUCAGAACUCCCUUGCAUUUCGUUGUAAGAAUUCCACGUGGGAACGAAUGUCUUGACAUGGUGUUCAUGUGUAUUACAAUCUAACUCGUGAUUCAAGGAUUGCUUGUGUAGUUCAUAUCCCGAGAAUCUUGCAUCAUCGUCUCGUCUGUUUUUGGUGGUCCCCUUUUCUUCUCAAGCACCCUGAGACUGAGGUGUCCUGACACCAAUCAGAUAUCAAUCUCGGCAUAUAUGAUGGUUGGAACAUUUCCCAAUAAUUAUAACUUUGGUCUUUAUGUAACCCGGUACGGUGAUGUCUUGUCUAGCACACCUAGCCAAAGGACCUAUUGUUAUAGCAUCUUGUUCAACAAGAUUCUCCAUUCUUCCCCGCGGAAAUUGUAUGACUUAUUAUAUAAGUUGUUUUUGAUGGAUCCUUUGUGUAUCCAAACUCCAACCUUUAUCUGAUGACCAUGUCGAUGCUACCUCGGAGCAUGAAUGUGGUACUUGAAUUGUCAACAGGAACAUUGGAAGCGCAAUGCUAAAUUGUUCCUGAUCAAUUAUCCAAACCGUAUGUUAUGGGUAAACAUCAUGAUUCUUCUGCCCUUUUUAUCAAAAUGGUUAUGUACUUGAUGACCUAUCAUGUAUACCAUACUCUAUGUUUUCCUCGGGGAUGGUAUACUUUAAUACUUGUGUGUGUGAACACAUUUCCUUCCCAUUGAUCUGUUUGACCUUUCUUGUGGCAUAACUUAUCUAAGCAGUGUUAAUUCCCUGCUUAGGUAAAAAUCUCAAUAUACAACUCUAUCACUGAGACUCUGUUACUAUUGUGGAUAACAUUUCGGUAGCCGACGGUGGACAAGAACUUUGCCUAUUGGUCUGCCUCGUUCUAACGAGCAGGAGAAUGGUUCUAUCUGUUCCCUGUCCUUGGUACCGACGUUGUUGCCAACAUAACUGACAGGCUAUCCUCUGACAUGUCUUGCUACCAAAAUCGUACAAGGUGUCACCCCUCUGCCUACUCUCGGCCCACAUGGUGGACCCAUAACCCAAAGUUCCACAGGAUUGAAACCUAACUCUCUUGUACAUCCUUGACUCCAAGGUAUCCUUUACACUUGGCUUCGUGUGGAAUUCUAGAGCCACCGUUCAAUGGACGAUCACUCUUCGGUCCGUAUAUUAGCCAACAUGCUAAAGAUCAAGUCCGCAUUAUUCAUGACAAUCUGAAGGCUGCUUAGUCUCGUCAGAAGAGUCGGUAUGACCGUCAUCAUCAAGAUAUGGUCUGUCAACCUGGCGAAAAGGCUUAUAUUCGUGUCACACCAAUGAGAGGCGCACACCGUUUUGGGAUCAAGGGCAAGUUAGUUCCUCGCUAUAUUGGUCCUUUCACUGUUCUCGAAAGGCGUGGUAGAGUGGCUUAUCAAUUUGUCGGGGGGAUAACCCCGGGGUAGGCUCAUCAAGCCUGUUCCUUCAUUUCCGGCCCAAAGGACAUGAAUGUAUACAGAUUCCCAAGGCCCAAGUCUUCUGGCCGGCUAGGCUGCACCUACCGGCUAGAAGACGAGGCGGCCGUCCCUCUGGCCGGCCCGGCAACCCCCGCCGGCUAGAGUCAAGGCGGCUACCUCUUUUGAGCCGGCCUGGUCCCGCCAGCCCGGCCAGGAAGAGGCGGCCGCACACAAACCGGCUAGCCAAGCAGGCUAGCCGGCCGAAGAUCACAAGUCACAUCAGAUCGUAGGUCAGGAUAAGACCUUAUGAUUAAAGGUAGCUUCGCGUCAGCAAAGGUACAGGAUCGGGGCGCCCGGCAGGUACGAGCGUCAGCGGCCACGCCGCUGACCUACCCCGGCUGUGAUCCAUCACCUAGCAUAGUGUCAGACCAUCACACUCCCACUCCAUUACUGCACUCGCCGUGGGGAACAGUGGAGGCGGUUGUACUACCUGCCCAUGAUGAAUCUCGCGGGGCGACGCUUGACGUACAACGCGUGCUCAGCAUCAACCUCACGCGAGAGCCUCAUUGGCCAGCCGGCGGGUCCCACUGCCAAACGAGACCAUGCAACCGGCGGGCCCCUCAAGCGACAAGACAAGACUCUCGUGGGCCCCUGGCCAGCCGGCGAGGCUGCCAGCCGGGUCCCACACUUAUACCCUUUAUCCAUAUUGUAGGCCUACGGGUUCGUCUAUAAAACCCCCCGGUCGCCCUCCAUGCAGGGGGGCGAUCAUUCAACAAUCAUACAACACAACACAUUCACCAAACACAGAGAGAGAGGCAGAGACGAGCCGGCUGCUCCCCUCUUCCUCCUCCCAACACAGCUCCAGGAGCAGCAUUGUACUCUGUUCAUACACAUCAAACACUCCGGCAGGAUUAGGGGUAUUAUCUCUACGGAGAGCCCUGAACCUGGGUACAUCGUGCGUCCCAUGCGUGUACCAACCUCGUUCCCAGCGUCCACCAUUGUCCCUUCGGUUCUCACCGACUUUAGCCUACCUAUGGCAUAUGUUGUGAGUAUUCACCGACACAAUUGGAACUACCGGCGAACCUUUCUCAGGUUCAUGAUGUCUUCCAUGUGUCUCAGCUCCGCCGCUGCUUCAAGGAUCCUAUUCGAGCAGUGGAUCAUGAUAUGCUUGAGCUGUAACAAGAUCUCUCUUAUAAAGAGCAUCCGGUCCGCAUUCUCGACUAGGCUGAACGUCAGACUCAUCGCAAAGUCACCAAGUUCUUUAAAGUGCAGUGGUCAAAUCGUUCUAAAGAUGAAGCCACUUGGGAACGCGAGGAUCAUCUUCGUGAUGAAUACCCCGAGCUCUUUCCUUCUACCUCUUAAUUCUCGGGACGAGAAUUCUUGUUAAUAGGGGAGAGUUGUGACAUCCUCAGCUUUUGCUACAGUGUUGUAUGUAAUUAAGCUACAGUGAUCCCACGCUAAUGAUGCCACGUCAUCGUGGUUACUAUUGUUAAACUUGCGAUGGUUCAAACCUCGUUCAAUUUCAUUGCAAAGUUAAUUUGUUCGAAAAGUGGAUUUAUAAGUUUUGCGAAACUGAAAAUAAAAAUGUUGGAUGGGUUGCAACUAUUCUCUAGGAUUUUAUAAAAUUGUAUCGGGUAUUUUUAGAAAUAAUUUAGAGCCUCUAAAUAUUUAAGACACGCACUGUUUAAUAAAAAAAGGAAAACCCCCACCCCACUGGGCGAGUCAGCCCAACCCAACACGUAAACCGGCCCAUCUAGACCACGGGGUAUAGGACCCCCCCUGGAAACCCUAGCCCAAACCGCCCUCACCCCACUCCCCGUCGCCAGAAACCAACCACCAGCGAGGGGGCUGGUUCCCCUCAUCAUCCCUCCCCUCACUCACCCAACGCCCGAGCCCCUCGCUCGAUCCCCAUCGCCAGCCCCCACCGCCCCACGUCGCCCCGCUCCUUCGUCCUAUUCCCUUCGCCAGCCUCGACACCCCGAGCGACGGCCUCCACCUCGCAUCCCUGCCUCAAACCUCCCCAGCGCCACACACCCCGUCGAAUGGCCUCUCCAUCAAACCGGCCGGCCACCACCUCUCCUUUCCCAGUCGCCCCUCCCAGCCACCGGGACCGAGCCCCUGGCUCCACCUCCUUCCCUCGCUCCCUCUCGCCGGCCAUUGACGGGCCACCCCGCUCGAGCCUGUGUCCUCCCUCGCCGGAUCCACCACCGGCUGGUGUCGUCCGCUCCCGCCAGGGCUCCUUCCCGCAUCCUCCUCGCCUUUUCUCUGUCGGGCCCCACCACUCCAUCGCCGGCCUCCUCACCUCGUCCUCGACGGCUCUAUCGAGCCUCGCCGACCCCGCCCCCUGCAACGCCGAUGAGGCUCCGGCCUCCUCUCCUUUUCCCCGUCCGGCGCCCCCUUUUCCUUGCCGCAUCGCGAUCCAGUUGCGCCCUUUUCCCAGCUUGUGCGCGCAGCUGCGGUCACGACCGAGCCCACCCCUGCGUCGUCCCUUACUCGCGCACUGCCUCGCUGUGGCUCCUUCCUCGCGGCGGCCCUGCUCGCCCCUGUGGCUGCCUCGCCAUGCUAGUCGCCACUGGUCGCCCCAUGAGCCCCAGGCGCCUCUUGCCCUUGACCCCGAGCCGAUCUGGUUAGUGGAGGGGAUUAACCUCCCCCCACUAAUCCCCCUAUGUAUGACAACGGGGGCCCACCCCCCUAAUGACUUUUAGAAAUAAAAAUAAUAAAUGGAAAAUAGAAAUUAAUUAAAAUAAUAAUAACAAUNNNNNNNNNNNNNNNNNNNNNNNNNNNNNNNNNNNNNNNNNNNNNNNNNNNNNNNNNNNNNNNNNNNNNNNNNNNNNNNNNNNNNNNNNNNNNNNNNNNNUAAUAAUUGUAUUAACAUUCCAAAAUUUAUAAUUUUGGGAUGUUACAGAUCCCGACCUCAACACAAAGGAUGACAAUCAAUAGAUCAAUGAUGCUCCGACUUCCUAACAUAGCGGUUCACCAUACGUGCAUGCUACGGGAAUCACUAACUUCAACACAAGUAUUUCUAUAUUCACAACACCCUACUAACAUAACUCUUAAUAUUACCAAAUCCAUGUCUCAAAACUAUUUGAGAGGAAUCAAAACUUCUCUUUCUACUCAACGCACAUGAAGAUGGAGGUUUUUGCAUCCUCUUUGGGACCUAUCACAUUUGGGACUACUUUCAAAGCAUAAGCCAACUACCAAAUCACGCACCGCCGUGUUCUAAAAGAUAUAAGUGAAGCACAUAAAGAAAAAGUAUCUAGCUCAAAAGAUAUAAGUGAAGCACUAUGAGCAUUCUAGCAAAAAUCACCAUGAGUGCAUGUCUCUCUCUCUCAAAAAGGUGUGCAGCAAGGAUGAUUGUGACACAACAAAAGGAAAAGACUCCUACGAUACAAGACACUCCAACCAAAAACACAUAUCAUGUGGUGAAUAAAAAUAUAGCUCCAAGUAAUGUUACCGAUGGAUUGAAGACGAAAGAGGGGAUGCCUUCCCGGGGCAUCCGAAACUUAGCCUUUUUGAUGUCCUUGAAUUUGGCUUGGGAUGCCUUGGGAAUACCCAAGCUUGAGCUCUUUCCAAUCCUUGUCUCUUUGUCCAUGAGAACAUCACCCAAAACUUGAAAACUUCACACCACAAAACUUAAAUAGAAACUCGUGAUAACAUUAGCACAAGAAAACAAACUACCACUUCUUUUGGUACUGUAGCAACUUGAAUUCUAUCUAUAUUGAUGAUAGGCUACUAUAUUCUCACUUUUCCAUGGCUAGUACCCCCGAUACUAACCAUAGUUUCAUCAAAACAAGCAACCAACUCAACCAAAACAGAAUCUGUCAAAAACAGACCAGCCUGUAGCAAUCUGUAUACUUCGUAUACUUCUGGUACCUCAAAAAAUCUGAAAACUUACGAAGGCCUGGGAAAAAGCAUAUAAAUCAGCAGCAAAAAGAAUCAACUCAAAAUCUCUUUCUGAGUAAAAAUGAAAAAUCAUCUCGUGAGCGAAACGUUUCUGUCUUUUUCACGCAAGAUCAAACAACCAUUACCAAGACUAGUCAUAAAGGCUUUGCUUGGCUCAAACACAAAAAGAAACACAAAAAACACAAUCACAACAGAAUUGUGAUGGUGUAGACGCAAAAAAACACAAAGAAAAAGAUAAAUUCAUUGGGUUGCCUCCCAACAAGCGCUAUUGUUUAACGCCCUUAGCUAGGCACAAAAGUGAUAGAAUCACGUAUCGUCGUCUUUGGUGCUCAAACCAUAAGUGGCCCUCAUCAUGGAUUCAUAAGGCAAUCUUAUUUUCUUUCUAGGAAAGUGUCCCAUGCCCUUCCUUAAAGGAAAUUGAAAUCUAAUAUUCCCUUCCUUCAUAUCGAUGAUAGCACCGAUAGUCCUUAGGAAAGGUCUACCAAGAAUAAUAGGGCAUGUAGGAUUGCAAUCAAUGUCAAGCGCAAUGAAAUCCAUGGGUACAUAGUUCCUAUUUGCAAUAAUAAGAACAUCAUUGAUCCUUCCCAUGGGUUUCUUGACAGUAGAAUCAACAGGAUGCAAAUUAAGAGAACACUCUUCAAUCUCAUUAAAACCCAGAACAUCACAUAAAGACUUUGGAAUCGCAGAGACACUAGCACCCAAAUCACACAAAGCAUUGCACUCAUAGUUUUCGAUUUUGAUUUUGAUGGUAUGUUCCCACUCAUCAUGAAGCUUUCUAGGGAUAGAGACUUCCAAUUCAAGUUUCUCUUCAAGAGAUUUUAUCAUAGCUUUGACGAUAUGAUCGGUAAAGGCCUUGUUUUGGCUAUAAGUGUGUGGAGAGUUCAACAUGGAUUGCAUCAAGGAAAUGCAUUCAAUCAAGGAGAAACUAUCAUAAUUGAAUCACUUGAAACCCACGGUAGUAAUUUCAUUACUACUCAAAGUUUUAACAUCUUCUAUUCCACUUUUAAUGUUUUUAGUUUCAAGAUAGAUGGACUCCGAAUCAUUGGGGCACUUUUCAACCAAAGUGGAUUCAUAUCCAGCCCCAUAAUAAUUAGGUUUGACACAAGAAAACAAGGAUUCAAUGGGAGUCACACCAAGCACUUUAAGAUCUUCGUGAUUCUCAUCACGAGAACACGCCUUUUUAAGCCAUUCAUGUCUAGCACGAAUUUGGGCGGUUCUUUCUUGGCUCGCAAUCAUGGGAACACGCAUAGCUUUCAAAGUUUCAUCCAUGUUGAUUUUGGGAGGAGCAUAUCUAACUUUGAAAGCAUCAACAUCACUAGAAAUUCUAUCAACGCUCUUAGCCAAAUCGUCAAUUUUGAGUAGUUUUUUCUCUAUGGACGCAUUGAAAAUCUUUUGAGAGUUGAUGAACUCUUCGAUAUUACUCUUUAGAUGAGAGGGUAAUCUAUUGUAAUUUCCAUGAGUAUUGUUAUAGGAGUUGCCAAAGUUAUUAGAGGAGUUACUAGGAAAAGGCCUAUGAACAUAGUUUCUUCUAAAAGCAUUGUUGUUGCCAAAGUUAUUCCUACCAACAAAAUUAACGUCCAAGCUAGCGUUGCUACUCUCAAUCAAAGAAGACAAGGGCAUAUCAUUAGGAUCCAAAGGAGAACUUCUACUAGCAACCAAAUUCAUUAACUCGUCCAUCUUAGCACUUAACGAGUUAAUUUCUUCUAUAGCAUGUACCUACUUACUAGUAGGCGACCUUUCAGUGUGCCACUGAGAGUAGUUUGUCAUGAUGUUGUCUAAGAGCUUUGUGGCUUCCCCUAACGUGAUUUCCAUGAACGUUCCACCUGAGGUGGAGUCCAAGAUAUUUCUAGAAGCGAAAUUCAAGCCAGCGUAAAAGAUUUGAAUAAUCAUCCAAAGACUCAAGCCAUGAGCGGGACAAUUUCUAAUCAUUAAUUUCAUUCUCUCCCAAGAUUGUGCAACAUGUUCAUGAUCAAGUUGCUUGAAAUUCAUGAUAUCAUUACGGAGAGAGAUGAUCUUAGCCGGCGGAAAAUACUUGGAUAUAUAAGAAUCUUUGCACUUAUCCCAAGAAUCGAUACUAUUUUUGGGCAAAGAAGAAAACCAAGUUUUUGCGCUAUCUCGCAAUGAGAAAGGAAAAAGCUUCAAUUUAAUCACAUCAUUAUCCACAUCUUUUUUCUUUUGCAUAUCGCAAAGCUCAAUGAAGGUAUUGAGAUGGGAUGCGACAUCUUAACCAGGAAGGCCAUAGAGUUGCUCUUUCAUAACAAGAUUCAGCAAAGUGGCAUUGAUUUCUUAUGACUCCGCACUAGUGGUCGGAGCAAUCGGAGUACUAAUAAAAUCAUUAUUAUUAGUAUUUGAGAAGUCACAAAGUUUGGUGUUUUUGUUCAUGGUGACUUCAGCAGGCAAGCAAGCACACAAGCAAACAAAGAGCAGGCGAGAAAAGGCGAACGAAAAAGGCAAACGAAAAAGGCAAAUUGGUGAAGUGGGGGAGAGGAAAACGAGAGGCAACUGGCAAACAAAGUAAAUGCAAGAGAUGAGUUUGCGACACCUACUUGGAUGAGUUCUUGACUUGAUCUUCCUCCCCGGCAACGGCGCCAGAAAUUCCUCUGUUGCGGCAACAAAAGUCCUUCCUUGGCGCUAGGAAUUCUUCUUGUUACUUCUCUGGUUUGCGUCGGUUUGUCCCUUGAAGAGGAAAGGGUGAUGCAGCACAGGACUAGUAAGUAUUUCCCUUAGUUUGAGAACCAAGGUAUCGGUCCAGAAGGAGGGCCUCGUCAAGUCCAUAGUACCUGCGCAAACACAAACAAGCUUCCACCCAACGCUUCAAAGCGGUUGUCAAUCCCUUCAAGAUUGUUUGCAAAGUGAGAUCUGAAGGCGGAAAGUGCAAUGAAGUAAAAAGUGUAAGGAUGAAAAUAUGGUGCGGAGUAGACCCUGGGGGCCAUAGUGUUCAUUAUAGGCUUCUCUCAUAAUAGAAAAUAUCACGGUGGGUGAACAAAUUACUGUCGAGCAAUUGGUAGAACCGUGCAAAGUCAUGACGAUAUCUAAGGCAAUGAUCAUACAUAUAUGCAUCACGUCCGAGACAAGUAGACCGAUACUUUCUGCAUCUACUACCAUUACUCCACACAUCGACCGCUAUCCAGCAUGCAUCUAGUGUAUUGAGUUCAUGAUGAAAAGAGUAACGCCUUAAGCAAGAUGACAUGAUGUAGAGGGAUAAUCUCAAACCAAUGAUGAAAACACCAUUUUUUACCCUUGAUGGCAACAACACGAUGCAUGCCUCGCUACCCCUUCUGUCACUGGGUGAGGUCACCGCACGGUAUGAACCUAGAACCAAGCACUUCUCCCAGUGCAAGAAUCAUAGAUCUAGUUGGCCAGACAAAACCCACAACUCGAAGGGAACUACAAGGAUAUGAAAUCAUGCAUAAGAGAGAUCAGAAGAAACUCAAAUAAGAUUCAUAGAUAAUCUGAUCAUAAAUCCACAAUUCAUCGGAUCUCGAAAAACACACCGCAAAAGAAGAUUACAUCGGAUAGAUCUCCAUGAAGAUCAUGGAGAACUUUGUAUUGAAGAUCCAAGAGAGAGAAGAAGCCAUCUAGCUACCAGCUAUGGACCCGUAGGUCUAUGGUGAACAACUCAUGCAUCAUCGGAGAGGUCAUGGUGUUGAUGAAGAAGCCCUCCGUAUCCGAAUCCCCCCUCCGGCAGGGCACCAGCACGUGCCCCAGAUGGGAUCUUGAGGAGAUAGAAGCUUGCGGCGGCGGAAAAGUACUUUCGAUGAUCUCCUGAUUUUCUCUGGAAUUUAUGGGAAUAUAUAGGCGAAAGACCUAGGGCAGUGGUGGCCCAGGGAGCCCACAAGCCUGGGAGGCGCGGGCCUCCCUGGCCACGGCUAUGGGGCUUGUGGGGUCCCUGGCGGCCCCCUGCCUUGGUUCUCAAGCUUCCCGAUCUUCUUAUGUUUCAGAAAAAAUCUUUCUGGAAGUUUCAUUCCGUUUGGACUCCAUUUAAAAUCCUCCUCUGAAAGGGGUUAAAANNNNNNNNNNNNNNNNNNNNNNNNNNNNNNNNNNNNNNNNNNNNNNNNNNNNNNNNNNNNNNNNNNNNNNNNNNNNNNNNNNNNNNNNNNNNNNNNNNNNCGGAGGGUACUCGUCACCAUAAACAUCUUCAUCAGCACCAUCUCAUCUGCAAACCCUAAUUCAUCUCUUGUAACAAAUCUCCGUCUCGCGACUCCGAUUGGUACUUGUAAGGUUGCUAGUAGUGUUAAUUAAUCUUUGUAGUUGAUGCUAGUUGGAUUACUUGGUGGAAGAGUUUAUGUUCAGAUCCUUGAUGCUACUCAUUACCUCUCUGGUCAUGAAUAUGAUUAUUCUUUGUGAGUAGUUACUUUUGUUCCUGAGGACAUGGGAUAAGUCUUGCUAUAAGUAGUCAUGUGAAUUUGGUAUUCGUUCGGUAAUUUGAUGUGUUGUAUGUUGUUUUUCCUCUAGUGGUGUUAUGUGAACAUCGACUACAUAACACAUCACCAUUAUUUCGGCCUAGAGGAAGGCAUUGGGAAGAAGUAAGUAGAUGAUGGGUUGCUAGAGUGACAGAAGCUUAAACCCUAGUUUAUACAUUGCUUCGUAAGGGGCUGAUUUGGAUACACUAGUNNNNNNNNNNNNNNNNNNNNNNNNNNNNNNNNNNNNNNNNNNNNNNNNNNNNNNNNNNNNNNNNNNNNNNNNNNNNNNNNNNNNNNNNNNNNNNNNNNNNGUGGGGCCCCUGAGGCUCCCCUGCCUUGGCUCCCAAGCAUCCCGAUCUUCUUCCUUUACGAAAAAAAUCUUCCGUUUGGACUUUGUUUCAAAAUCUCUUCUGAAAGGGGUCAAAAACAUGGAAAAAACAGGAACUGGCACUUGGCAUUGAGUUAAUAAGUUAAUCCCGUAAAAUAUAUAAAAGGCAUGCAAAACAUCCAAAGUUUGACAAGAUAAUAGCAUGAAACCAUCAAAAAUUAUAGAUAUGUUGGAGACGUAUCAAGCAUCCCCAAGCUUAACUCCUGCUCGUCCUCGAGUAGGGAAGUGAUAAAGAAUGAAUUUUUGAUGUGGAAUGCUACCUAGCAUAGUUGUCCUUUGCAACUUCUUUCACGUGACAUGAAUGUUCAGAUCCGUAAGAUUCAAAACAAUAGUUUGCUAUUGGCAUGAAAACAGUAAUACUUCAAGCAAACUAGCAAGGUAAUCAUGAACUUUGAAAAUAACAAGGCCAAGGAAAGUUAUCCCUACAAAAUCAUAUAGUCUGGCUAUGCUCCAUCAUCCUCACACAACUAAUGUAAAUCAUGCACAACCCCGGAAUUGGCCAAGUAAUUGUUUUCGCGGUCUUACUUUCUCAAACUUUUUAUAACUAUCACGCAAUACAUGAGCGUGAGCCAUGGAUAUAACAUUAUAGGUGGAAUAGAGUGUGGUGGUGGUUGUGAGACAAAAGGGAGGAGAUGGUCACAUUGACUCGGCAUAUCAAAGGGCUAUGGAGAUGCCCAUUAACAGAUAUCAAUGUGAAUGAGUAGGGAUUGCCAUGCAAGAGAUGCACUAGAGCUAUAAGUAUGUGAAAGCUCAAAAGGAAAACUAGUGGGUGUGCAUCCAACUUGCUUGCUCACGAAGACCUAGGGCAAUUUUGAGGAAGCCCAUCAUUGGAAUAAACAAGCCAAGUUAUAUGAUGAAGAUUCCCACUAGCAUAUGGUAGUGACAAAGCAAGAAGCUCUCAAUCAUGAAGAACAUGGUGCUAUUAUGAAGCACAAGUUUGGAAAAAGAUAGUAGCAUUGUCCCUUCUCUCUUUUUCUCUCAUUUUUUUCAUUUGGGCUCUUAGGGCUCUUUUUUCUCUCUUUUUUUGUUUUUGGGCUCUUUGGCCUCUUUUUUGUCCUCACAUGGGACAAUUCUCUAAUAAUGAUGAUCAUCACACUUUUAUUUACUCACAGCUCAAAAUGGUGAUGACUCUAUAGGAAAUGCCUCCGGCAGUGUACACGGAUGUGCGACGAUCUAUCAUGGCGUAUGACGUUGAGACAUCUCGCUAGCUAUCUUACGAUCAUGCAAAGGAAAUAUAAGAGUGAUGGCACAAGUCAUGAGACGGAACGGUGGGAGUUGCAUGGCAAUAUAUCUCAAAAUGGCUAUGAAAAUGCCAUAGUAGGUAGGUAUGGUGGCUGUUUUGAGGAAGGAAUAUGGUGGUUUUGUCCACCGGCGAGAAUUGCGCGGCACUAGAGAGGCUAGCAAUGGUGGGAGGUGAAAGUGAAUCUAUACCAUGGACUCACAUUACUCAUGAAGAACCCACAUACUCGUUGCGGAAGUUUUUAUUAGUAAUCAAAACAAAGUGCAAAACGCAUACUCCGAGGGGAAGGCUUGGUAGGUGUUAACCAUCACGCGAUCCCGACCUCAACACAACGGAUGACAAUCAAUAGAUCAAUUAUGCUCCGACUUCCUAAGAUAGCGGUUCACCAUACGUGCAUGCUACGGGAAUCACUAACUUCAACNNNNNNNNNNNNNNNNNNNNNNNNNNNNNNNNNNNNNNNNNNNNNNNNNNNNNNNNNNNNNNNNNNNNNNNNNNNNNNNNNNNNNNNNNNNNNNNNNNNNGUAGUUAUCCAAAGGGAUAUGAAAACUUCCACCUUCAUGUGCAUUGAAUAGUUAGAGAAGUUUGAUUCAUCUCAAUUAGUUUUGAGUUGUGGUUAUGGUAAUAUUGAAGUUAUAUUAGUAAGGUGUUGUGAAUCUAGAAAUACUUGUGUUGAAGUUAGUGAUUCCCGUAGUAUGCGCGUAUGGUGAACCGCUGUGUGAUGAAGUCUGAGCAUGAUUAGUCUAUUGAUUGUUAUCCUUUGUGUGGCGGUCGGGAUCGCGCGAUGGUUUAUACCUACCAACCCUUCCCCUAGGAGUAUGCGUUGAAUGUUUUGUUUCGAUUACUACUAAAACUUUUUGCAACAAGUAUAUUUGUUCUUCAUGAAUAAUGUUGAGUCCAUGGUUUAUAUGCACUUUCACCUUCCACCAUCACUAUCUUCUUUAGUGCCGUGCAAUUUUCGCCGGUGCACGAAACCCACCAUUAGCCUCCCUCAAAACAGCCACCAUACCUACCUACUAUGGCUUUUUCAAAGUGAUUCCGAGAUAUAUUGCCAUACGACUACCACCAUGACAUGUCCCACCACUUCCACAUUGCCGUUGCAUGAUCGUAAGAUAGCUAGCAUGAUGUUUCCUUUAAUGUCUAUGCGAUGCUAGAUCAUUGUCAUGGUACACUACCGAAGGCAUUCCAUAUAGAGUCAUCAUUGUUCUAAGUUUUGAGUUGUAAGUGUGAUGAUCAUCAUUGAUGGAGCAUUGUCCCAUGUGAGGAAAUUAAAGACGCCAAAGAUGCCCACCAAAAUAAAAAAAUAAAAAAAUAGGCCAAAUAGCCCACAAAAAAAAGAGAGAAAAAGAGAGAAGGGACAAUGCUACUAUCCUUCCACACUUGUGCUGAUUAAGCACCAUGAUCUUCAUGAUUGAGAGUCUCUCGUUUUGUUACCACCAUAUAGCUAGUGGGAAAUUUUCAUUAUAUAACUUGGCUUGUAUAUUCCAAUGAUAGGCUUCCUCAAAUUUGCCUUAGGUCUUUGUUAGCAAGCAAUUUGGAUGCACGCCCACUAGUUUUCUUUAAGAACUUUCACAUACUCUUAGCUCUAGUGCAUCAUUUGUAUGGCAAUCCCUACUCACUGACAUUGAUAUCUAUUGAUGAGCAUCUCCACAGCUCAUUGAUAUGCCUAGUUAAUGUGACCAUCUUCUCCUUGUUUGUCUUGCAACCUCCACCACACUCCACACCACUUAUAGUGCUAAAACCAUGGCUCACACUCAUGUAUUGCGUGAGAGUUGAAGAAGUUUGAGAAAGUAAAGGUGUGAAAAAAUUACUUGGCCAAUACCGGGGUUGUGCAUGAUUUAAAUUCGUUGUGCAAUGAUGAUAGAGCAUAGCCAGACUAUAUGAUUUUGUAGAGAUAACUUUCUUUUGGCCUUGUUAUUUUGAAAGUUCUUGGUUACCUUGCUAGUUUGCUUGAAUUACUAUUGUCUCCACGUCAAUAGCAAACUAUUGUUUUGAAUCUAAUGGAUCUAAACAUUCACGUCACAUAAGAGGAGUUACAAAGGACAUCUAUGCUAGGUAGCAUGAAAGCAUCAAAAUUUCAUUCUUUAUCACUUCCCUACUCGAGGACAAGCAGGAGUUAAGCUUGGGGAUGCUUGAUACGUCUCAAACGUAUCUAUAAUUUUUGAUGGUUUCACGUUGUUAUCUUGACAACUUUGGAUGUUUUGCUUACCUUUUAUAUCUUUGGGACUAACUUAUUAAUUCAGUGACAAGUGCCAGUUCCUGUGUUUUCUGUGUUUUUGACUCUUUUCAGACGUGAUUUUGGAACGGAGUCCAAAUGGAAUAAAAUCCCCUAAAUAAAUUUUUCCAGAACGGAAGAUGGUUAGGGGACUUGAGGGCCAAGGCAGGAGAGCCACAGGGGGCCCACAAGCCCUGUAGCCGCCACCAGGGGGGCGGCGGCUACGAGGCUUGUGGCCU